RNAcentral lists this long non-coding RNA (149272 nucleotides) under Citrus maxima (pomelo). RNAcentral describes it as "long non-coding RNA (CMAX_LNC000709)". Lineage: Eukaryota; Viridiplantae; Streptophyta; Magnoliopsida; Sapindales; Rutaceae. The record is from RNAcentral.
AAUGCUUAUGAUCCUCAACUUUCCUCCUCACUGUCCCAGUGUCCCUGCAAACAAUUCUGAUUUUCCUGCCAGAGAAAAAAAACUGAGAAACAAUGGCGGCUGAACAAGAAGCUGUGAGCAAUAAGCGAGUGAUUCUGAGCAACUAUGUGACAGGUUUUCCAAAAGAAUCAGACAUGAAGAUAACAAGUGGAUCAAUAAAGCUGAAGGUAGCAGAGGGUUCAAAAGACACAGUGCUUUUGAAGAAUCUUUAUCUUUCUUGUGAUCCUUACAUGCGAUGGCGUAUGAGCAAGCUUGAUAGACCUUCUUUUGUUGAUUCAUUCCAUCCUGGUGAGGUUAGUUCAUCACGACCCAUCUCUUGAUUUUUCCAUUUGGUUUAAGUUUUGGUGAGUUUCUGAGUUCAUUUUUACGGUUUUGGAAUGUGAACACAAUUUUGGUGCUGUAACUGUCAUUAAUGAUAUGUAGUAAUUCAAUCAGAAUUUGGAUUUAUUGCUGAUAUAAGCUCUGCUCAUUUUUUAAAAUCUGGUGUCCACAUGCAUGUUUAUAAUCUUUUUGGUUGAGAUUGUAUGUAGAUUCAUACAGUAUUCUUGUCUAACAAUUACUAACCACAACCUUAUAAGACGAUCGAAACUAAGCUCAGAUCAAUAAUCCAAUCAAGAGAGGAUCCUAACUCAAGCUUGUCAUGUAUGGGAAUAUUUCGGUUAAAUUGUAAUCAUGAUCAUGAAUCAUGCAGGAAAAAGGGAAGUUGAGGUCAAUUUAUGCACUUGAUGGAAUUAAAGAACCAAUAUUUGGUUUACAUUAUUUCUUAGUAAUGGUGACUGUGCCUUCUAGCAGAAUUUUACAUGCUUUAUGUUCUAACUAAGCAUCAAUAUUUGAUCGUGAUCAUUAGCGAGGUCAAUAAUUUUUUUUGACUAUUUUUUCAACAUAAGGUCGAUUUGUUGAAGAACAAGUUUGGAUUUGAUGAUGCUUUUAACUACAAGGAAGAGCCAGACUUGGAUGCAGCACUCAAAAGGUCAGCUGCAACAAACGUUUCAACUCUAAUAUUUCAUUUUAAUAUUACAGAGCUUUGGUUGAAGUGUGUGAGUUGAUCCCAAAAACGUAACUUCAUCAGUGUCUCUGUUUUCAAAAAACAGGACAAAUAGAAAUCUGAUUUUGCUUUAAAAAUUUCCUAGAUGCUUCCCUCAAGGAAUCGACAUAUAUUUCGAAAACGUUGGGGGAAAGAUGCUGGACGCAGUGCUACUCAACAUGAGGCUCCGGGGCCGCAUUGCGGUAUGCGGUAUGAUCUCGCAGUACAACCUGGAAAAACCUGAAGGCGUACACAACUUAGAGCAACUAAUCGGGAAACGGAUUCGCCUGGAAGGAUUUCUAGCUGGUGAUUACUAUCACCUCUAUCCAAAAUUCUUGGAACUGGUCAUUCCUGCAAUCAGAGAAGGAAAGAUGGUGUAUGUGGAAGACAUAGCCGAAGGACUCGAGAAUGCUCCCGCAGCCCUUGUCGGGCUCUUCACUGGCCGGAACGUCGGCAAGCAGCUAGUUGCAGUUGCUUAAUACAAAAGCCAAUAUGGAUGAGCUGAGAAUAUGUGACUGAAUCCAUUGUCCGGUUAAAAAUGUUUGCAUGUGUUAAUAUGAACUAUCCUCGUUUAGUAAUGGGAUUGGAUUGUCCUGUCAUUACUUAAUUUUGUUGAGCUAGGGCAUCUGUGUGUAAAGUGUCAAAUAAUUUGGAUUCAGACAAGAACUUAGUGGAUGCAUUGAAGGAUUUUUUUUUUCUUUUUUUUUCUUUUCCAAGAUAUUGAGAUAAUGAUUGGAACAUUUGAGGGAUAAGAUCAAAGUAUCUUUUAGGAUACCUCAUUGGUAAGUAUUAAAAUAUCAAUUGCGUCUUUAUAAGGACAGGUGGUCCAGGAUCAAGAUUAAUGAAGAACAAAUUACAGCCAUUAGAUUAAAGUGAAAUUAAAGCUGUGAAUAGUACACACUUGUUGUGUGAAAAACUUAAAGGAGACAUUCCUCUGUACAAAAUUAACUUAAUAAUAUGUCCUUAUUCAUUCAUUUGAUUCUUCCUUCUCAAUCGUCAUUAAUAAAUUAAUAAUACAAAUAAGUCCCCGUUAAAGGUUAAGUCCCCGAUUGGCUUUACCGUCACGCUCAUGCAUGAUCAAAUUUCAGUUAAUGCUGACGUGAUCGAUGAUGAUUUCAUUGGGAGCUUCCUUUGUCGUGGCACUCUCAUGUUCACAUUUAUUUUUAGGGUUAAUAAUAAUAAUAGCUUCUAGAAACGCUUUGUUUUAAUGAGAUUUUAUUUUUCAAUUAGUGUAAAAAAAAAAUAACAAAAAUUAAUAAAAACUGAUUAUUUAAUGAUGUUCGGCCCUCGAGACAGUUUAUACUCGUAAUUUAUUGUUUGAAAAUUAUUUCAACAUAUGAAAAACAAAAUUUCCCAAAUUUACAACGAAUUUUAAAACAAAAUUUCGAAAUUUCAAAGAAAAUUACAAAUUUGACUAGAUUGACUGGAAAAAAUAAAAUAAAUAAAAUCGUCAAAAAUCCUGGGACCGACCAUUUCAAAAGUCUGGCUCUUUUCCAGGCUUUCCUUCCAAAUUUUCACACACAAAAUUUCUCGUAACUGCUACACAUUAAACGCGUUUCACAUUUUCACUCUCUCUCUAUAAAUAAAUACGCACAUAAAAUUUCUCACCAUCCAAAAACAAAAUCUACAUAAAAAAUGGCGGGUGAAGAAGCAGUGAGCAACAAGCAGGUGAUUCUGAGCAACUACGUGACAGGGUUUCCCAAGGAAUCAGACAUGAAGAUAAUAACAGGCUCAAUAAACCUGAAGGUGCCAGAGGGCUCAAAAGACACAGUGCUUUUGAAGAAUCUUUAUCUUUCCUGUGAUCCUUACAUGAGAGGACGUAUGAGUAAGCUUGAUAAGCCUUCGUUUGUUGCCUCCUUCAACCCUGGCGAGGUCAGUUUCUUCAAUUCCCACCUCUUGGUUUCAUAAUCUUUUAUGGUCUUAGAGGUGUUUUAGGGAAACAUUAUGGUUUUGGUUUGUGGGCAUGAAUCCUUGAAGAGAGUAUGAUGUGUCGGACUAUGUAUGCAAUAAUAAGUAUAGGGGAUCUUGUUAAGAGAAGAUUCUCUUAAUGAGAUUAAAACUUUUGUCUUAUCAAAACAUAUGUUUAGUUAUGAUAUCAUGUUAGCAUUGUUUCUGAGGAUUUGAUUGCUUGCUUUGGGAAAGGGAUGUUGAGGUUACAUUAUUCAGUAAUGAUUUUUUUUUUUUUUCAAAUGUUCAAAUUAUGCAGCCUUUGAGCGGAUAUGGAGUGUCCAAAGUGUUGGAUUCCACACAUCCAAAUUAUAAGAAAGAUGACUUGGUCUGGGGCUUAACCAGUUGGGAGGAGUACAGUCUCAUCCAAUCACCACAACAUCUGAUUAAAAUUCUGGAUACAAAUGUGCCUCUGUCAUACUAUACUGGGAUUCUUGGUAAGUUGUUACUAAAUUUAUCGAUGUCCAGUUUGCAUGAGCCGAAAAUCGUGUUUUAUUCAAUGCAAUGAGAUAGGGAUAUAUAAUAUGCCUGCUUGAACGUCUAGCAUUUUGAAUUUUCAACAAUUGGUCCGUCUGUAUGGGCAUGUAACUGAAGGAUUUCAUUUGAGGAAUUUACUAUUGUUGCUGAUUAUUGGGUAUUUUUCUGUUGAUUCUAGGUAUGCCUGGUUUGACUGCAUAUGGUGGUUUAUAUGAGCUUUGCUCUCCUAAGAAAGGAGAGUAUGUCUAUGUAUCUGCAGCAUCUGGAGCUGUUGGUCAGCUAGUUGGGCAAUUUGCAAAGUUGGUUGGUUGCUAUGUUGUUGGAAGUGCAGGAAGCAAAGAAAAGGUGAGUUUGCACUCUUGACCCUUAAGCUCCAAAUAAAAACAUAAUAACUUCCAAAAGAAUUGUGCAUGUCACAGUAUUUGUGUUCUAACUGAUCAUGGAUAUUUGAUCAGUAGUCUAGUAGAAACAGACCUAUUAAUACAUAGUUGAUUCGUCCUCAAGAAAAUUUAGUUGAUAUAUGCUUGAAAUUAUAUUCUGUUUUUUAUGCCAGAUUAUAUUAUUAGAUGACUAUAUUAACCAGAUUCUUUUUCUUUGUGCUGUUUCUCAUUUGAUUACGUUUUCAACAUUAGGUCAAUCUGUUGAAGAACAAGUUUGGGUUUGAUGAUGCUUUUAACUAUAAGGAAGAGCCAGACUUGGAUGCAGCUCUUAAGAGGUUAGCACGAAUGAAUGCUUUAACCACUUUUCUCACUUCAUUAUUACAAUGCGCUGAUUGAUGUUAUCUGCGUUGGUCCUGUAAAUGUAAAACAGGACAAACAGAGAUCACUGAUCUCAUUUGUUACAUUGAUAUUUUCUACCAUUGCCAUACAUAGUAUAAACUUGGAAUGAAGAUAGAUAUUCAAUUCAGAGGGAAAUUUUCACUUGCAGCUAACAGAAUCAUGUUUGUGAUGUAUGUUUAUUUAGGAAAUGAAAAGAUUCGUUGCAUUAUUUUAUUCCAAGUUUGCUGAAAUCAUAUUUGUUUUCCCAGGUGCUUUCCUGAAGGCAUCGACAUCUAUUUCGAAAAUGUUGGGGGUAAGAUGCUUGAUGCAGUCCUACUCAACAUGAGAAUUCAUGGCCGCAUCGCCGUAUGCGGAAUGAUCUCACAGUACAACCUUGAGAAGCCUGAAGGCGUACACAACUUGAUGCAAGUAGUUGGAAAACGAAUUCGCAUGGAAGGGUUUCUUGCCGGUGAUUUCUACCACCAAUAUCCGAAAUUCUUGGAACUGGUUAUGCCGGCAAUCAAAGAAGGAAAGUUAGUAUAUGUCGAGGACAUAGCUGAAGGCCUGGAGAAAGCUCCAUCAGCCCUAGUUGGGAUAUUCACUGGGCAGAAUGUUGGAAAACAACUGGUUGUAGUUGCUCCUGAAUGAUAUGAUUACAAUAUGCUUUAAAAGUGGACUGUGCCAUGCACUUUAAAAGCUUAGUGAAGAUGCCUCUGUCUUAUUUUUGAUACAUGUUAUGUUUGUUUGAUCAAGUUGUACUCAGCUAUAAAUGAAAGAUUCAGAACAUGUGUAUGGUACUGGUUUCUAAAUCAAUGAACGCUUUGAAAUGUUAGUGUUUUCACUGGAGAAUGCAGUUUAAUUCAUCAACAAUGUCCCAACAAGACCCUCAAGAGUGGUAGCUUGCAAAGUUAAUUACUAUAUUUUUUUCUUUCCGAUAUAUUGUUCAUUUCAUAGAAAGUUUACAUUAAUUAAAGUCUCAUGUUUCUUUGAAAGGUAAGCAAGUGUGAAUGUUUCUAUCUAGAGCUGGAAAAUGCAUUUCCGUGCAACUUACUUGAUGAAUGAAGUUUUCAUCUCUGACCUUGAUGUUUCCCAGAGCUGCAUUCAUUUCAGCUGAUCUAUUUCAUUUCGUUUGCAAAGGAGUGACACAAAACCUCCUUUGUUAAGGGGAGAAUUUAGAGUGGCUUCAACGGUUAACAAAUAGCCUAAUGUAAGACUUAAUCAAUUUCCUGCCCGGUUGCUUACCACUACUUAUCACUUUAACGUAUGAAACCUAAUCAAGAUUCCUUUGAUGAUUUUUCUAUUUGCUAAUUGAUUGAUAAGCUCUUCAGUGAAGAUAUAGUGUCCGCAAGCCAUAUGUUGAUAGAGUUAGAGUUUGCAGAAGCUACUGUACCAUAUGUUGUUAGAGGCGGUAAAAACGGAGGCAGAUCAACACACAUUUAAAUUUCAAUGACAAUUUACUGGAAAUAAAUUUCCUAUGACCCUACAUGUGACUAAUUGAUGAGAACUUGACAAUGACAAAAGAAAGUGUAUGAGCUUUGCAGGCUGGCUUGCCAAUAUUGACUGUAUGGCACCAUCCGCAAGUAAGUAUCAUUACUGUUUAAUCAACUUGGUGGAGUCCACUGGGACCACCCCACAUGGUCAGUCUUAUCUCUACUCCUAAAUUUUCAAUAUUCCAUACAUCAAACCAAUUGCAGUUUUGAUAUCAAAUUCAAUUUUAUUGUUGGUGACGAUUCUGAUUCCUUUCAUUCUCACAAAACGGAACCAUGGUUGCUGUUGGAGAGAUCUUACUCAACGCCUUCCUUGAGGUGUUGUUUGACAGGUUGGCUUCUCGUAAUUUGCUCCGCUUUGUGCGUCAACUCCAAGGCGGGGUUGAUUCGGAGCUCAAGAAGUGGGAGAAAAAGCUGAAGAUGAUUCAGGCUGUGCUCUGCGAUGCAGAGGAGAAACAACUGACCGAUGAGGCUGUGAAGAUGUGGCUGGACGAACUCCAAGACUUAGCUUAUGACGCUGAGGACAUUCUUGAUGAGUUUGCUACUCAAGCUUUGGAAAGCAAGUUGAUGGCGCAAAACCAGGAUAGCUCUGGCCAGGUUCUCAGUCUCAUCCCGGCUAGUUUGAAUCCGAAUGCUAUUAUGUUCAAUUAUAGCAUGGGGUCCAAGAUUAAAGAUAUGACUAGCCGGCUGGAGCAACUCUGCCAAGAAAGAAUUGAACUUGGACUGCAACGGCUUACUGGAGGGGCGUCAUCAACCGCUGCUGCUGCACACCGGAGGCCACCCAGUUCGAGUGUCCGAACAGAACGUGAAGUAUUUGGAAGAGAAGAAGAUAAGGCCAAAAUUCUUGAUAUGGUCAAUACCCCAAGUGAUCACGCCAACUUUGUUGUAAUACCUAUUGUUGGAAUGGGCGGGAUAGGAAAAACAACUCUUGCUCGGGAGGUCUACAAUGACAAGGCAGUUGAGGAUUCCAAGUUUGACGUAAAAGCAUGGGUUUGUGUCUCCGACAACUUUGAUGUUUUCAACAUUUCAAAGGCACUUCUCGAGUCAAUCACCUCCGCAGCUAGUGAUCUCAAGACUUUAAAUGAAGUGCAGGUUCAACUGAAAAAAGCAGUGGACGGAAAAAGAUUCUUGCUGGUCUUAGAUGAUGUUUGGAACGAGGACUACAGCUUGUGGGUAGACUUAAAAGCUCCGUUCCUGGGUGCUGCACCAAACAGUAAGAUGAUCGUCACCACACGCAAUUUAAACGUUGCAUCAACAAUGGGACCAAUUGAACAUUAUAAUCUCAAGAGUCUGUUAGAUGAUGAUUGCUGGUCCAUUUUCAUACAGCAUGCAUUUGAAGGUAGAGAUCUUAACGCAUAUCAAAUUUCAGAAUCAUUCAGCAAGAAAGUUGUUGGCAAGUGUGGGGGCUUGCCUCUGGCAGCAAAAACGCUCGGGGGCCUUCUGCGCACAACAAGGCAUGAUGCGUGGGACGAUAUAUUGGAUAGCAAAAUAUGGGAUUUACAUCAACAAAGCAGCAUUCUCCCUGUGUUAAGAUUGAGUUACCAUCAUCUUCCGUCUCAUUUGAAAAGAUGUUUUGCUUUUUGUGCCAUCUUUCCAAAAGAUUAUGAAUUCACUGAGAAGGGGCUAACUUUCUUGUGGAUGGCUGGAGGUAUUAUUCGACAGUCAAGAAACAGUGAGCAGCUGGAAGAUUUGGGCAGCAAGUGCUUUCAUGAUCUAGUGUCAAGGUCUAUUUUUCAACAAACCAGCUCUGGUAGUUCUAAAUUUGUAAUGCACGACCUUAUCCAUGAUUUUGCUGAAUUGGUUUCUGGAGAGACCAUUUUAAGGUUAGAGGAAUCCACCAACUUGUCGUCAAGGAGAUUUGAAAGAGUUCGCCAUUCUUCCUAUGCCCGUGGUUGGCUUGAUGGUAAAAAUAAGUUUGAGGUUUUCUAUGAAAUUGAACAUCUGCGAACAUUCUUGCCAUUCUGCAUAAGAGGUGGCCCUAAUACUAGUUACGUAACUAGUUUACUUCUAUAUGAUUUGUUGCCGAAGUUUAAAAAGUUGAGGAUGCUAUCUUUAGAAGGAUACCAGAUUGGUGAGUUACCAAUUCCAUUUGAAGAUUUGAGACCUUUAAGGUUCCUCAACCUUGCCGACACUGACAUAAGAAGUUUACCCGAGUCAACAUGCAAAUUGCUGAACUUGGAAAUUUUGAUAUUACGAAAUUGUUCCCGUUUGAUAAAGCUUCCGCCCAAAAUGAGGAAUUUGAUCAAUUUACGCCAUCUCGAUAUAAAAGGUGCAAAGCUGCUGAAGGAGAUGCCAUUGGGAAUGAAAGCGUUGAGGAGUCUUCAAACAUUGUCCAAUUUUAUUGUAGGCAAGGGUGAAUCUGCAUCUGGUUUGGAAGAUUUAAAAAGUUUAAACUUUCUUUGUGAUGAACUCUGCAUUGCUGGAUUAGAGAGUGUGAAUAGUCCACAGAAUGCAAGAGAAACCGCAUUAUGCGAGAAGCACAAUCUUGAAGCAUUGACUCUAGAAUGGGGGUCUCAAUCUAACAGUCCUCGGGAUGCAGUACUAGAGGAGAAUGUACUUGACACUCUACAGCCUCAUAAACGUAUAAAAGAGCUGGCAAUCAGGCACUAUGGUGGUGCAAGAUUUCCACUUUGGAUCGGACAUCCUUCGUUCUCCGAGAUGAAGGUCCUUAAAUUGGAGAACUGUGACAAGUGUGUAUCUCUGCCAUCGCUUGGCCUGAUGAAUUCACUUAAGCACCUUGCUGUUAAAGGGCUGAAGAAACUAAAAAGCAUAGAGUCUGCGGUCUUUCCAUCAUUGGAGAUUCUAAGUUUUGAGAAUUUGCCAGAAUGGGAGCAUUGGGACACCAAUAUCAAUGGAAAUGUGCACGUUGAAAUAUUUCCUCAUCUCCAAGAACUUUCCAUUGCAGAAUGUCCCAAACUCUCUGGAGAACUGCCUGAGCUCCUGCCCUCCUUGGAGACACUUGUCGUUAGUAAAUGUGAACAGUUGGCAGUUCCAUUGUCUUGCUAUCCGAUGCUCUGCAGAUUAGAAGUUGAUGAGUGCAAAGAACUCGUGUGCGGGACUCCAAUUAAUUUUAAGUUGGUAAAGUCUUUGACCAUUUCAAAUAGUUCAUUAGACAUGAAUGGAUGCAAUGGGAUGCUAUACCAUGGUCCAGCUGGCUCUUCACUGUCUAAACGCAUGACUAUUACAAAUGUUUUGGAGUUUGGAAAAUUAUUGAAGCCUGGAUUUCAGAUAUUAGAAUAUUUGGUAAUUGGCAAUUCUGAACAGCUCAAGUCAUGGAGGCGGGCCAGGAGACCUAGACGUUUUAAUGAACCAGAACACGGGCUAAAAAUUCUCGCUUCCCCUGAAGAGGUAACAAUUGAAGAAAGUUGCGUAAAUCUUGUUUUGUUUGCAGAGAUCAAUUUCUUUCCCAGAAAUCUGCGCUCUCUUCUAAUUUUCAAUAACAUACCUUUAAAAUCCUUACCCGAGGAAAUGAUGGACAACAAUUCACAACUGGAAAGCUUGUGCAUCAGAAAUUGCGAUUCUCUAACAUUCAUCACAAGACACAAGCUACCUUCAUCUCUAAAAAGUAUAGCAAUUAAGAAUUGUGAGAAAUUGCAACGUCCGUUCGAUGAUGAAGAGGAUGCUUCUUCUUCUUCUUCUCCUUCAUCCUCGUCUUCCCCAGUGAUGCUGCAAUGCCUGACUAUAGAGAACUGCCCAGAGCUCACCAGUUUAUCAUCGGGAAUCCAAUUCCUUGAGGCGCUUGAAGUACUCGAGCUAAGGGAUUGUCGAAAGCUGGAGUCAUUACCGGAUGGCCUGCAAAAUCUUAACUGUUUACAGAGCAUUCAUAUAGAUGGAUGUCCAAGUCUUGUUUCCUUCCCAGAAAGAGGGCUUCCCAACACCAUUUCGAGAGUUUACAUUCGUGGUUGUGAGAAGCUUGAAGCCCUGCCCAACGACAUGCACAAACUCAACUCUCUCGAAACUUUAAACAUACGGAAAUGUCCAAAUCUUGUAUCGUUUCCAGAGGAAGGUUUUCCUACCAGUCUAGUAUCACUUACAAUUGGAUAUGUCAAAAUGUAUAAGACACUCGUCCAGUGGGGGUUGCAUAGGCUUACCUCUCUUACACACCUCGAGAUUAUUGGAUGUGAUGAUGAAGCAGAGUGUUUUCCAGACGAGGAGAUAGGAAUGAUGCUGCCCACCUCUCUCACUCAUCUGCAACUUUCGGAAUUCAAAAAAUUGAUAUCUCUCUCUUCGACGGGUUUUCAGAGCCUCAACUCUCUUCAAUCUUUGUGGAUAUUGGGUUGCCCAAAUCUCACAUCAUUCCCAGAGGUGGGCCUUCCAUCCUCACUUUUGGAAUUACACAUUGUCAAGUGUCCAAAGCUUAAAGAAGUUUGCAAAAGAGACCAAGGAGAAGAGUGGCCCAAAAUUGCUCACAUCCCUUGUUUUGAGAUAGACUGGAAAUUCAUAUACGAUCCAGAAUCAGAGGAGUAGAUUCUCCUAUUAAGGUCAGUUGAUUUUUUAUUAUCCGUUAUAACAAGCUCCUCCUUUUUUAUUUUUUUAAUAAUAAUUUAGCAGUUCUAUAUAAUUAUAAAUCCUCCGCCCUUAAUUGAAAAUGUCACUCAUUUGAUUCCAUUUUCACAAGUCAGAUCGUAUGUUGAGGUUAUUUGCAUUUUAUCGGUGUUUAUUAAGGUAAUUAGUGCGUUAUAGGUUGAUUACUCACAGAUUAAGUUAUAACAUUUAUCUUAAAAUUUAAUGUCAUAGACAGAGAUGAUUUUUUAAUCCAAAGUUUUCUUGAUUCACUUCAAUUAGCAUUUUCUUUUCCCCAGAUCAGGCACGCGGAGAGUUCCAAUCAAGAAUUGGAGCAUGUGAAUGGGAUUUUUGUGAAAACAUAAUGAUGCAGGAACUGGGAUCUCAAAGUCAACAGAAUUUUAUUUACUCAUUGACUUUUCAACUCCUGUGGUUAUUUAUGGGUGAAAGAAAGAUAAGGGCAAUUUCAAGAAAUUUGCAAACUCUGUCAAUUUCUUUUAAUUGUACCAAUUUGUCGUUUAUGCUUUGGUUUUAUUUUUUCAGUUUUGUUUAUUGCUUAGAUGGUAGCAUACUUGAAAUGAUACAUAGCCUUCACCGGCAGAAUUCUAGUCUUGGCUUUCACCUCUCUAACUCAUCUCAUCUGUUCCUAUUGGGAUUCCAGAAAUUGAAAUUUCUGUCAUCAAUGGGUUUCAAAGCCUCACCGCUCUCCGAUUUUUGUGGAUCGGGAAUUGCACAAAUCUCACAUCAUUUCCAGAGGUGGGCCUUCCAUCCUUGCUUUUUGGAAUUACAAAUUGGAAAAUGCUACUUUCCCCGGGUCAAAUCCCAGGUCAAACCCCGAAUUAAACCAAAACGACACCGUUUUGGUUUCUUUUUUUUGUCCUUUUUGCUUCCAUGAAACGUGGUCGUUUCAGCCAAACAAAAGCAAAUGUCUUCGUUUUUUACUUCCUCUCCUCUUCGAUUCUCCUCUUCGUUUUACCAACAGACCAACAGAGCACAAAUUGCAGAAGUCACUUGCACAUCAAUUCAUCACAAAAUGCAGAGUUUUACUAAAGAAAAAAACGAUGCCGUUUUUCUUGCCAAAUAUUUUCCAUUUCCUUCGUUCAUGGAGCUCCUGCCACCGCCAAAGCCAAAUAUUUCCCCUUUCAUUUCCUUCGUCAAUCAAGCUCCAGCCACUUGCUUCGUCGAUCGAGCUCUAGCCACAGCCAUUCGCAAAUCGCAGUCCACAAUCCGCGCCUGAAAUUGUCAUUCACAAUCCACAACUCACAACCAUGACUUCACACAGAGAACGACUCCCACAGCCUUCACGCGACAGCGAGAUCGAGCUCUUUAACAUUCGAAGAACAUAUCUGGUUGCGAAAGUUGAUUUUUAAUUUGCUUGCGAGCUGAGAUGCUUCGAAUUCUCUGUUUUUUUUUUUUUUUUGUAAAUUACUAAGCCAAAAGCUUUGCAUAAGCUUCUGCUUCGGUUUUGAAGAUUGUGAAGCUGGAAAUGUUUUUUCCCUUUUUAUAAAUGGAUAAUUGAAAGUUUGAACUUUACCUUCGUACUUUCUUUUUCAUAAAUUGCUCAUGGUGCAGUCUCAUUUUGCUAGUUGAAGAAACAGUUAAGGGGGUCUGUAGUUGGGAAGAAAGAGGAAACGAAAAUGAAAAGAAAAAGCUUAAGUCUCGGUGCGUUCAAGUAGCAUUUUUUCAAUUAAAAAAUUUAAUUCUCAAAACGGCGUCGUUUUCUAAAGUUUCGGGGUUUGACCCGGGAUUUGACCCGGGGUAAAUAGCAGAACUCUUACAAAUUUACAGUUGUCAGAAGCUUGAAAAAGUGUGUAAAAGAGAUCAAAAUUCUUGUCUUGGCUUUCACGUAGGGAUGGCAAAAAUCCCCACGGGGACGGGUACCCUCGGGGAUUUUCCCCAUUCGGGGAGGGUAUGGGGAUAAUUUCAUACCCAAUUUCUUAUUCGGGGAGGGGACGGGGAAAUUUUGUUACCCAAUUUCUUAUUCGGGGAGGGGACGGGGAUGAGGUGGAAUCCCCAUCCCCUACCCAUUUCCCCAUUUUAAUUUUUAAUUUUAUUUUAAUUUUUUAAAAUUACUAGUAAAUAAAUAAUAAAAUUUAAAUUAUAAAAUUAUAAAUAUUGGUAAAAAUAAAAAAUAUCAAAAUAUUUAUAUUAUUAAACUUUUAGGCUUAAUUAACUAAUUAAAGUCCUAAAUUUUUAUUUAGGACAUUAAAAAGACCGAGUAGAUUCUAUUAGCCCAAAAGUUUUUUAUUUUUAAUAUUCUUUAAAUAUUUUAAACUUAAAUCUAUUUUUUAUUUAUUUUUAGAUGUUAUAAUUGCCCACAUCGAAUCACAAUUUUAAUAUCUAAUCUAAUCUAAUCUAAUCUAAUAUUUACUCUUGAUUUGCUCCGAUUUAACUAUUGUGUUGUAAAGGGAAUAGUCCACAUUUAUAAAGUGCCCACGCCACCAUUAAAAAAGUUAAUUUUGAAUCUAAAUUCGAUUUUAUUUGUAACAAUUUUGUAUUAAACUAUUAAUUUGUUCAUGAUAGUUUGUAAAAGAAGUUUGUAUCCCUUGCAUGCUGUGUUACUUACUAAUUUAAUGUAUGUGACUUUUGUAAUGGAUAUUAAUGUAAGAUAUAUUUCAAAUUUUACUUUUAUUUGAAUUUUUUAUUUUAAUAUGAUUAACUCAAAAUCGAAAAAAAAAUAUUAGUUAUUCGGGGAUCGGGGACCCUCGGGGAUCCCCUGUUAUUAUUCGGGGAGGGGAUGGAGAUUCGCUCAAGUAAUUCUGACGGGAACGGGGAGGGGACGGGGACAUACGCAAAAUAUCGGGGAUGGGUACGGAGAGAUUGGUCCCCUCCCCUCCCCUCCCCAUUGCCAUCCCUACUUUCACGGAUAGUUUUUAUCACGUAACCACGUGAGGAAGCAUGUGCUGGAGCCUGAAUUCAGUUAGUUAAAGUUUGUUAACCACGUGUCAACAAACUGUAUAAUCUGGAAAAUAAGCUAGCUAUUGAAACAGGGUAUAAAGGCUGGUUUUUCAGGGACUAUCGAGAGCUGAUUCUAGAGUCUUGUAGAAAGAGGUUUGUGAGAGAGAAAGUGUCAUCUUGUUCUCUGUAAAAUCCGAUAUAGGGCUCUGUAACGAUCUCCAUUGUUGAAUCAAUAAAACUCAUCUAGAAGCUUCUCUCGUGGACGUAUUCUGAGCAAUCAAUGCACAGCUGAACCACGUAAUAUCUUGGUUUCUGUGGGUUCUUGUUUUGGUUCUUGAUAAAUUCUUGUUGUUGUAUUGAGGUGUGAUUUGAUCUGUCUAAACUUGUAUCUGUGCAACUUGAAUUGAUUUGAUGAUAAGAAUCUUGGGCAGUGAUCAGAUUCGUUUAGUUUAAAGAACAAGCUGAUUACUACCGUACCUAUGCAUGGACCUGCAACCUGUGCUGACAAAACUGAAACUGUGAGUUUGAGGUAAAAAGGUCCUGGACCCUCACAGUUUAACUUUGACUUGUUGCUUUCUGGAUAAACAUAUUUUAGAAAUUUGCAAUUUGUUGUUAAUUAUGGUAUGUGAUUUUCUUCUUUGUUUUCGCUUUUGUAGAAUCUACCGUAUUACAUAUUGGCAGUUGUAUCUGAGGUACCUUUUUUGCAUUUAACUUGCCUUUAUCUGUUUUGCCUGUUACUUAACAACACAAACACAUCAUUUCCCAAACAUUUGGAGAAGCAUCUCAAGAUGCUUAACAAACUUGACAAACUUCAAGAUGCUCCCAAGCCUUGAUUCUUCACAAUGGAAGACCUGUGAGUACACUUAUGCCCGCAAUUAUUGUGAAGUGAUUGCAACUUUGAUGCAGCGAAAUGGUUUGCUGAUGCAAAGCUUUAAAACUGUUAAGAAUUACCCUGCAGGCUUGUUGGAUGUUGUAUACUCCAAAAGCCACCAACACCAAGAACUAUAACAGCAAGACUAGGUUUGCAUUAAUUCAAUUAGCUGAAAUAAUGAUGCAAAUGGCACUAUCCAGCUCGACUUAGAGACUAGUCAGGUCAAUCAUCCAUUUCAUCAACAGUUAAUGUCAGGAUGGUGGCUAGCAGAGGAAACAAAGGAUAUGUUGGAAUCAAUAAGAACAGUGAGAAGCAUGAGAGGAGCUUUGAUUAUAAGUAGGCUCAAUGAACUAGUGUUGGUAAGUGGUAAUUAGAGCAAUUUGUGAGCUUAGUAGAGUUUCAAUAUUUUCUGUUUGGGAUAUAGUUGAUAAGUUGAUACUCUGAUUAAGAAGGCUGAUUAUAGUAGCUGACUAUAUUAACCGGGUUCUCUUUUUUGGUUUGCUGUUGUUUUUUCUUUCAAUAUCUUUUUCAACAUUAGGUUUAGCUGUUGAAGAACAAGCUUGGGUUUGAUUAUCAGGUAAGAACAAAUGAAUGCUUUAACCAUGUUUCUCACUUAUCACAAUGCACGGAUUGAAGGCGUCUGAGUUGAUCCUGAAAAUUUGAUGGAAACACUUCUCUGUUUUCAUAAAACAGGACAACCAGAAAUAUCUGAUCAUGCCUGAGAAUUCGUCGCAUUGAAAUUUUCUACCAUUGCCAAACAUAGAAUAAACCAGGGAUACAUUAGCUUAAGACUCAAUUUUGAGAAGGAAGUUUGUACUUGCAGACUAUAAAAUCAUGUCUACCUUGUAUGUUUCUGUGGGGAAUGAAAGAUUCUGUGUGUUCUUUUACUUCGGGUUUGCUGAAAUCACAUUUGUUUUCUCAGAUGCUUUCCGGAAGGUAACAACGUCAAUUUCAAAAAUGUUGGGGUAAGAUGCAUCAUGCAGUGCUGCUCAACAUGAGAAUUCCUGGCCGCAUUACCCGUAUGUGGAAUGAUCUCACACUACAACCUUGAGAAGGUUGUAAGGAGUACACAACUAGAUGCGAGUAGUUUCAAAAUGAAUUCACAUGGAAUUAUAUGUUGCCGCUUAUUACUAUCACGUCUAUCCGAAAAUUCUUGGAAUUUGUCACCGGCAUUGAAGGAUUGUAUACGUGAAGACAUAGCUGAUGGCCUUGCGAAAGCUCCAUCAGCACUUAUAUCGGAAACAGCUGGUUGUAGUUGCUCCUGAGUGAUAUGAUUAAUAGAUACUGUAAAAAUGAACUGUGCCACUCAUAUCGAAAACCAGCUGUUAUGAUGUGUUGGUAAUGUGUUUGAUGCUUGUUUGAUUUAUGUUGUAUUCGGCUAUAAAUCAAAGAUCAGAACAUGGGUGUGUUACUGGUUUCCAAAUCAAAAAAUGCCUUGUGAUGUUAGUGUUCACUGUUUUCACAGGAGACCAGGUUCCUUGUUAAUGAGUCAAGAAGAAGACAAGUGAAUCCAUGUCUGAGUUCAAAUGUGUCUUUUCUAUUUCUUUUACCGACACAUUUAUUUUGAUUUCUUUGACUAGAUGACUAAAGAGUAAAGAUAGAAGAAAUCAAAACAAAUGAGUCAGGUCCCACCUGGCCCAUUGGCCCAUCUCUCUUCCAGCCCAAAUCACUCUCAUUCGCUAUUUUGCCACCUUCAUUUCACUGCCCUCAUAGCUCCCCGUUCUCACGGUGGCUGCCAUCUUUCUGCUCACGCAUCUUUCAAAUUUCAAACCUAACAGCAUUCUGUUGCUCUGUCGUGGGUACUUCAACUUCUGUCACCUUCGGUAAGCUUAUCUCUGCCCCUCUGUGGCUGUCUCUCUCUUUACAAUGUUGUUUCUUAUUCAAUUUACAGAAUUGAAUUCACUGUUCAGUUUAUGGGUUAGAUUUUUAUUCAAAAUAAUAUUAAACCCACCUCAGAUUUUAUCCCGUAGUAUGUAAAGUUCAUGUAAAGUUUCCACCUUUACGACCGUCCGAUGUUUAAAGUUCUAAUUUUGUUCCGGGGUUUUAUCAGUGUAUUUAGAAAUUAUGUCCAUUGUUUUUAUGAAAAUGGAACUAUUUUCAUUUGUUUAUUUCUCUAUGGAUGAGAAAACCGGUCUUUAAGCUUUAUAAUCUUUAUUUGAUUAUUAGAUUUCUCUUUUGUUAUUCAGAUGAGUUCAGUUUUCCAAUUCUGUGCAAUUGUUUUGUUGCAUUUUUCAAUUUUAUCUUUUUCCAAUGCGACGUUUAUGUUUGUAUUUUCUUAAAAGUGGACAUGAAUUUUGAUUUGUUGUUGCUUUGUUGUGAUUGAGUAGCCAAUUUUAAGUCCAUAUUAAACUUUCUCAAUUAUUAGUUGAAUUAUUUGGAUUUGAAAUUUUAAGUUCUUAAAACCGCCAUUUUAACUUGUUUGUUAAUGGCUCUGUUGAGCUUCAACAUUUGUUUUCAAGAACAAAAUUGAUGGAACUAUAAACCUUCGUUUCUCACAUGCGGGCAACAUGUUAUGUUAGACAGAGUGAAAUCGACAGAAGAAACCAAAACAUUGGAAACAGAGACACAGAGAGAGAUCAGCAGAAAUGGCUUGGUGCAGAGUACGCUCAGCUUCAUCGACACUCUUCAUUAGGCUUCUCUGCCCUUUCAUUCUCAACAAUAACACUACUUAACGCUAUCAGUCCUGUGGUACUCUUGUUUCUAUACUUGUGGAAUCUCUUUUUUAAUCCUCAAAGUUUGAAUUAAAUUAUAUUGCCUCUGUAUUUCUGCAGAAACGGAAUCAGUUGGUGAUGACAUUAAUUCUCAAGUUGGAAGUUGCAUGCCACUUUCUUGUAUGCAUGUUGGGACCAUCAUCAACAACAUUGAGGUAAACUCAGCCAAGAUUUUGAAAAAGAAUCCACUUCAAGGUACUGCUUAGUUUCUGGAAAUGAGAAAUUGAUUGACACUAGACGUCAACCCACCAUUGAUACAGCGUCUAACCCCAGCCAUGAAGCUAAGAUGCUUAGGAAGGCUGGUCAGAGCCAUUGGUUGGGCCAAAGACCUGUGAUUAGAGGAGUACCCAUGAAUCCAGUUGAUCAUCCUCGUGGUCGAGGUGAGGGACAAGGCAAAAGUAGUGGUAAGCAUGGAAGGUGUUCACUUACACCUUGGGGCAAGCCUUGUAAGUGGUGUAAAACUGCAUCUCGUAAGAAGAAAAGGAAAUUUAGCCGUCUGAUAAUAUUGUCCUUCUGUGCUAUUUAGCCUUUUUAAUAUUGUUACAUUGUUUGUUAUAUCUUUGAUGUUAGUUUUGGACCAGCUUUUAACUGAUCCAUAAUGAAACUGAAGUUUAAUUUUCGAUUGAACUUUUACUGGUUUUACUCCUGUCAUUUCAAUUUAGCUUUGAUUUAAGAUGCUGAAUUCUGUGAUUGGAGUAUGUAGAUUGGAAAGAGAGAUAUUAUGGGAUAGAAUAUAGAUUUUGUGUUUUGGUUUCUCAUGUUUAGAGAUAUUCUGUUCUUUUUCAUUUAUUCAAUUUGGUUAGUGGUGAUCUCUUAAAGAGUUAAUGCAUGUGUGUUUAUGUACUUUUCUUUUGGCCUUGAUUCUAUUUCUUGGGGAGUUUAUACAGAUUCCUCUUUUAUGCUUCACAUGCCACAUGCCACAUGAAAGAUGAAAGCCUUUUGUGUGAUUAGAAUUGACUUGCAUCAUAGUAACUUUGAACCACUGUAACAUUUUUAUAAUAGCAGUCUGCGAUCUCCUUGAAGGAUUCAAAGCAUUUUUUUUGUUAGUCUUGGCUUGCAUUAAAAUCCUUUAUACCGAUUGGUUGGUCUCCUUUAAAGCAAUUCCUGUUUUAAGUAAUCAAAAUCUUGAUUCGGAAGUGUGUUUUAGCACUACUAAAGGUUCUUUUAAAUACUAAAUUGAUUGUGAGUCUUCUAUAUCAUCUGAUUGAAAUACAUGAAAGCGAUAUUGGCUACAAAAGUACACUUGGGGUUGUUUAUAAAGUCUUCAACAGGAUUUUUUUUUCCCCUUCCUCAUGGUUUAUUUUUUAGUUGUUGUUUAACAAAACACUUAAAAGGUUCUCUUUAUAGGUUUCUGAAAAUAAUUUUAACAUAACCAUUUUUCAGAAGCACUUUAGAUACCUGUGGCAUUUAGAAAAUUUUGUUCCAGCAUUCACAUAAUAUACAUAGAAAUUUGAAUUUAUUUAAUUAUGAGCAUGUGCUAGUGCCUAUUGGCAUCCACUUGUAUAUACAAAUGUAUUAUACAAUACAAUAUUAGCUUGACUGUAGCAUAGAGGAGAAUAGGGUCGGAAUUGGUCUGAAUUCUGAUCUUUGAAUAAAUAUAAUAGCUGAUUGAAGCUGCUCAUGUGACUCCAUUGUCAGCAGCUUACACAAGGUCUUUUAGCUUUUUAAAAAGUUUUGUGAUAUUUCAUAGUUCACAUGGAUUGCUACAGUAUAGAAUACCCAAUUAGGGCAUUUUUAAUUCCUAUGCAUAGGAGUCUUCCUUCAUGCGCACGCGCGUACACACAUAUAUUUCCCACUUCCGUUCACUCCAAAAGUGAAAAUUGCGGGCAAUUUUUAUCUUCAGUAAAAUUGGAGUAGAUGUUGUUCUUAUUGGCGCAAAUUUGCGUACCAUGUUUGUGGGACCCUUAACCUUGCGCCUUUGUUACAAUCAUAUGCAUUCAGGCUUUUGGUAGACCCUUGGAUAGUAUGAUCAGUGUAUUAGAAUUUAGAAUUCGUGUUUAUAAGGGUCAGUUUGGUAAUGUUAUAAUUUUUAAAAUAAUUACUGUUAGCUAUACUAUAGAAAUAAUCAGUUGUGAAUAAAAUCAGUUAAACAGUUGAUAAAUUUUGUUUUUAAGGUGUUGUGAGUUUUAAACAAUUUGUAUGUAUUUAGUAAAUCUCGCUUUUAAAGUAUUAUAAGAAUGCAAAGACUUAAAUAGAUAGAAAUCUAUAAAAUUUAUUUACAUGUGCAUUUAUACAAUAAUAUUUUAUGCAUGUAUAUAAUAAUUAAUAACAGAAAUAAAUAUUUUUAUUUUAUUAAUUAUAUAUUUUUCUUAUUAUCUCAAUAUAAUUGGUAAUAAUAAUCUUUUUAAUAGUACAUUUAUUAAUCAGUAAUCGAAAUGGGCUGGAAUCGGAAUGGGGAAUGAAAAUCAUAAUAAUUUGUUUACUUUAGCUGUAGGAAUCAAAAUCACAUGGAGCUAUAUUAUCAUUAAUAUAUUUAUUUUGUCUUGGAAUCGAAAUAGAUUGUUACAAAUUACUAAACUGAUUUUAUUAUUAUCAAUAUUAUUAUUAAACAAGGUAAAGGGAAUUUUUAAUUUUCACUAGGUGUAGAAAUGUCGAUUCACUUCUCAUUCUCAUUCUCUGUUCUCAUUCCCCCUCCUCAUAGGAUUACCAUUUCACAUUCUCAAAAAUUUAUAAUUGACUCACAUUUCAUUCUCAUUCCUCCUUAUUUUGGAAGUAAAUAAGUUAAAGAAUCAUAUUCCUUUAUUCUUGUUUUUCAUUCACAUUCCUUCUCCUUAUUUUGGAAGUAAAUAACUUAAAGAAUCAUAUUCCCUUAUUCUUGUUCUCGUUCUCGUUCUCAUUCUCAAUUAGUAAGCACACUACAAAUGCAAUGAUUUUGUUUCCUAAUUAAACAAGGAUAAUUUUUAGAUUUUUAUAAUAUAUGUUAAGAUAUAUGUAGAAUUGUAUUAAAUAUGAAACUGACUCCCAAAAUCAUAUUUUAAAAAACUAUUUUUUUCUUAUUUUUUGAAAUUUAUUGUAGGCUAGGGUGAUUUUAUCAAAGUAAUUUUUUUAAAAAUUUUCGGACCCAUUUGGGAUUGUUUUUGGAAGACUCAAAAAGGAUUUUGAAUAGCUAAAAUCUAAGUUUGGUGUUUUAUAAUUUUUUUUUAAAAAAAUUACUUCUGAUAAAAUUAUCUUAUCCACGUUAAAUUUUAAAAAGAAAGGAAAAAGUAAUUUUUUAAAAUCUGAUUUUAAGAAUCAUUUUUAUACUUAAUACAAUUUCAUAAAUAUCCUGAUAUAUAUCAUAAAAAUUCAAAAUUAUCUUUAUUAGUUAGGAAAUAAAAUCAAUAAUUUUAAAAAGAUUAUUAUUAUUUCUAAUUAUAUUGAGCUAACAAAAAGAAAUAAAAUUACUAAUAUAAAAUUUAUUUUAACUAUUAAUUAUUAUAUUUACCAAUAAAAAACAUUUUAUAUACACGUUUAUAAAUAUUUAAAUAAAAUUUAUUCAUGUCGAGUUCAACCAUUUAUAUUAUUACAGCAAUUUAACAACUGGUUGUCGUUGCUCGGGAAUUAUAGAAUUACCAUAUGUUGUAAAAAUGCACUAAGCCAUGCCAUGUGUUUGAUACAGGUUAUGCUUGUUCGAUUAAAUUGUACUCACCUAUAAAUCAAAGAUUCAGUACAUGUGCAUGUUAGUGGUCUUCAGAAUCCAGAAUAAUAAAUGCCUUGAAAUGCUUGAGUUCAAUGAUUUCGCAGAAGACCAAGUUCCUUGUUAAUGAGUCAGCAUGACUGAAUCCUUCACUAAGCCAAAUUUGUUUUCACUUUUAGUUUAGAAAUUGUCAUUAAUUAAGAAAGUGUUUGAUAAAAUGCUUUGGAAGGCACUGUUCGUUGGACGUUUGCCCAGAAUUUAUGAAAUCAUUGGUGUUUCAUCCUACUUGUAACACUCUUCUUUAUUUUCUAUUCUAACGAAGAAAUCUUUUAUUAGAAAAGUGACAAGAUUGCACCUUUCAUUUGUAUGUUAAGGAGGUGUAAAAUUUUCUCGUUAAAAUCCCAUCAUGAAAAAAACUCACGGGCAAAAACCUACUGCAAAUUAAAGAAAGAAGAGUAAAUCAUGAUAAAUACACUCUCUUUUACAAUGCAAGCGGAUGCUUCAAUGAGUGGAUCAUGCGCCAAACUUGUAUAUCGUUGUUGGUAGUGCUUUGUUGAAUCAAUAUGAUAGAUUUUCACUUUUCUUUUUUUUCUUUUCUUUUUUUUUUCCUUGUGGAUACGAAAAUGAUUUGGGUUAAACUAUACUUAAUGCCGGUUUGGUACGACUUCUCUACUAAUUAAAAGAGUUUUUUUUCUUAAAUGUUCAAAAAGAUUUUUUAUUAUAAAUUGUAAUUUGAGUGGAUUUCUUGGGAUUAAACAAGUUACAUUUUUGUCUCUAUAAAGAAGUUCAAGUUAUAGAUUUUGGCAAUAGAGAUGUAGAGGUUUUUUUUUUUUCAGAGAACUAAAUUGUGGAGACUAUCUUUAUUUGGUUAUACAACUUUUUUUUUUUUAAUUUCAUAACAUAAUUUUAAAAGACUUAUUUAAUAAAUUUGAUAUUUUUUUGUAAAAAUUAUCAUUCACGUCCAAACUACUGAAGAUUUUUUUGUUAAACGCACUACUUAAAAGUUAUAUUAAUUAUAAACUUUCUAAAAAAAAAAAACAAUUCAAAGAGUUAUAGCAAACAAAGUGCUAGUUAACUUCAGUCGAUAAUAAUCUUCUAAUCCGUCCUACAAAUGACUUUCGACAAGAGUGGUGCUACUCACAUCUCUUCAAAACCCAUUUGACACCCCGUUUUCUUUAUUUAAAAUUUUAUACAUUUGAAAAUUAUUUUUUCUUUUACUUGACACUCUUCAAAUUCUAAAACUAAGCUUCAAAGAACCUUCGUCAUUAAAUCUCAUUGCCUUCCUUUAUUCUUGUUACUUGAGAAGAAGAAUGAGAGUCUGGAAGAAUGAAAGAAAAUUCAGCGAGAUAGAAAUCUAGUAAUUUCAUACCAUGAUUCAGAAUUUUUUUUUUCUCAAAAGAAUCUACUAUUCUUCUAUAUUUUAUAUAAAAAAAAGAGGAAAAGAGGAAACUGAGAGACUCUUUGUUUAAUGCUUGAAAGUUAGAAAGAAAAGGUCAGGAAGCUGCCUGGUAAUGAGAGUGAUGCAUCAGCACUAAUUUCUAUCUCGAUAGCUACCAAUUACCACCCCUAGAAAGGCUGUUGAUCAACAAGCCAUAUCUACUGGUUUCCUUUCUUUAAAAGUUCUAAUGGUCCCCUUAAAAAUCUCUAUAUGCUCAGUCUUCUCAUGAUAUAUCUGAUUUUCGCUGAGAAUUAUAGCAAGCGCUUCAGAUAUCAUAAUACUUUGUGACUGACUACUGUGCAUGCUUAAUUAUAAGAUUAUUCCUUGUGGCCAAAUAAAAUGACCCCCUUUAGAGCCUCUGUAUUUGAAAAAGCAAGACAAUGAGCUUAAUUAUUGUCAAGGUCUCCAGUAGGAUACUCCUAAAUCCAUAUACCCACCCACCAGAACUCCAAUCUUGAAACUUAUAGAUCAAACCAUAACUUAAUGUGCCUGGCAACCAGGGAUAUGUCAGGCCUUUAAAAAACCACUACAUACAUUUGAGUCUGAAAUUGCUCCAAUUAGUAUUAUGAUUAUUAUUUUAAAAAACUCAACCUAAGCAAAGUGCCUCAGCAUACAAUAUUUAUUGACAACUAAAAAGUAAUAGUGGGUGGGGGUUGCCCUGGGUUUUGUUUAAAAAUUGAAGUAAAAAAUUUUCAAAUUUCAAAUUUCUAGUACAAAGAAAAUUGAUGACUAAAUUAAAUUCUGCAAAUUAAUUUCUAAUAUUACAUGAAAAUAUAUCAAGUUAAUUGGUAACAUUGUUAAUCACUUAAUCCUCAAUCUAAUACGUUAUGUAUUUGUUACUCUGUCUUAAAUCAAAAGUGGCGGUGAUUUAUUUUUAUUUUCACUAAUAAGAAAGGCAUGUUAGAGCUUUUAUUUUGUUGAAAAUGAACCAAAAAACUCCGAUUGGGAGAUUAUAAAUGUAUUUAACAAUAAUUUAACUUCCAUUUUGAAAGUCAUUAUAUUGUUUAUUCAGGAGAAGCGUUCUUUUAUAUUUUAUAGAUAUAAUGUUUGCUAAUCCUAAUUUAAGCUAAAGCAUAUGCAUUUCCUAAUUAAUUCUAAUUUAAGCUUAUUCAACUGCAUUCAAUUAAUGUUCGAUAAUACAAAUUCUAAAUACUAUAUACUCUAAGAAUUUUAAUCGUAAUGACAAGGUGAUCAUUUAAUUAUUACCGUUAAAUUAUAUAUGUAUGGUGGAGACGAGUCCACACGGUUUUGACGAGAAAUUAAAGACAAUAUUUAGUUAAGCUAGUAGUAUUUGUUCUGUUUAGUACGUCGUUUUACCAGCAAGCAUCCCGGCAAUGCACGCAUUAAUAAAAAAAUUUAUCUGUUUGGACUGAUUGGUAGUGAAAAAUUCCACAUACUUUAAAUUAAGAAAAUGCUAAGUAUCUUAAAGAAAACAAUUAAAAUAUUGUCACUUGAUGCUUGAAUCAUUAUUGUUAAAUAUCUCCGUUGAGUUGUAUUCCCCAGCUGUGAGUAUCAUUAUUGUCUUUGCUAUCUAAUCAAUUCAAUUUUCUUUCUGGAGACAAGAUUUUGAUUCCUUUCAUCGUUACAAAAACGGAACCAUGGUUGAUGUGGGAGAGAUCUUACUCAACGCCUUCUUUCAGGUGUUGUUCGACAGGUUGGCUUCCCGUGAUUUGCUCAGCUUUGUCCGUCAACUUGGAGGGGGGGUCGAUUCCGAGCUCAAGAAGUGGGAAAGAAAGCUGAAGAUGAUUCAGGCGGUGCUCAACGAUGCAGAGGAGAAGCAACUGACUGAUGAGGCUGUGAAGAUGUGGCUGGACGAUCUCCAAGACUUGGCUUAUGACGCUGAGGACAUUCUUGAUGAGUUUGCUACUCAAGCUUUGGAAAGCAAGUUGAUGGAGCAAAAUCAGGAUAGCUCUGGCCAGGUUCUCAGUUUCAUCCCGGCUAGUUUGAAUCCGAAUGCUAUUAUGUUCAAUUAUAGCAUGGGGUCCAAGAUUAAAGAUAUUACUAGCCGGCUGGAGCAACUCUGCCAAGAAAGAAUUGAACUUGGACUGCAGCGGAUUACUGGAGGGGCAUCAUCAACUGCUGCUGCUACACAGCAGAGGCCGCCCAGUUCGAGUGUCCCAACAGAACGUGAAGUAUUUGGAAGAGCAAAAGAUAAGGCCAAAAUUCUUGAUAUGGUAUUGGCCGAUACCCCAAGUGAUCAUGCCGACUUUGUUGUAAUACCCAUUGUUGGCAUGGGCGGGAUAGGAAAAACAACUCUCGCUCGGGAGGUUUACAAUGACAAGGCCGUUGGCGGUUCCAAGUUUGAUGUAAAAGCAUGGGUUUGCGUAUCUGACGUCUUUGAUGUUUUGGGCAUCUCAAAGGCACUUCUCGAGUCAAUCACCCGCAGGCCAUGUCUUCUAAACAGUUUAAAUGAAGUGCAGGUUGAAUUGAAAGUAGCUGUGGAUAAAAAAAGAUUCUUGCUGGUCUUAGAUGAUGUUUGGAACGAGGAGUACAGCUUGUGGGUAGACUUAAAAGCUCCGUUCCUGGUUGCUGCACCAAACAGUAAGAUGAUCGUCACCACACGCAAUUCAAAUGUUGCAUCAACAAUGGGGCCAGUUGAACAUUACAAUCUCAGGAGUCUAUCGGAUGAUGAUUGCUGGUCCAUUUUCAUAAAGCAUGCAUUUGAAUCUAGAGAUCUUAACGCACAUCAAAUUUCAGAAUCAUUCCGCAAGAAAGUUGUUGCCAAGUGUGGAGGCUUGGCCCUGGCAGCAAAAACACUCGGAGGCCUUCUGCGUACGACGAGGCAUGAUGCGUGGGAUGAUAUAUUAGAGAGCAAAAUAUGGGAUUUACCACGACAAAGUGGGGUUCUCCCAGUAUUAAGAUUGAGUUACCAUCAUCUUCCUUCUCAUUUGAAAAUGUGUUUUGCUUUCUGUGCAAUCUUUCCAAAAGAUUAUGAAUUCAAAGAGAAGGAGCUGACUUUUUUAUGGAUGGCCGGAGGAAUUAUUCGACAGUCAAGAAGCAAAGAGCGGCUAGAAGAUUUGGGCAGCAAGUGCUUCCAUGAUCUGGUGUCAAGGUCAAUUUUUCAGAAAUCAGCAAUCUCUGCUAGUUCUAAAUUUGUAAUCCAUGACCUUAUCCAUGAUCUUGCUGAAUUGGUCUCUGGAGAAACCAUAUUUAGGUUAGAGGAGGCCAAUACUCUGUCAAGAAGAUUUGAAAGGGUUCGCCAUUCCUCCUAUGCUUGUGGUGGAUAUGAUGGUAAAAAUAUGUUCGAUGUUUUCAAUGAAAUUGAACAUCUACGAACAUUCUUGCCAUUACGCUUACGCAUAAGAGGUGGCUUUAGUUCUGGUUACAUAAGUCGAACGGUCCUAUCUGACUUGCUGCCAAAGUUCAAAAGGUUGAGAAUGCUAUCUUUAGAAGGAUACUGUAUUGGCGAGUUACCAAUUCCAUUUGAAGAUUUGAGACUUUUAAGGUUUCUCAACCUUGCUGACACUGACAUAAGAAGUUUACCCGAGUCAACAUGCAAAUUGCUGAACUUGGAAAUUUUUAUAUUAAGAAAUUGUUCCCGUUUGAUAAAGCUUCCAGCCAAAAUGAGGAAUUUGAUCAAUUUACGCCAUCUGGAUAUAAGAGGUGCGAAGUUGCUGAAGGAGAUGCCAGUCGGAAUGAAAGAGCUGAAGAAGCUUCAAACAUUGUACAAUUUCAUUGUGGGCAAGGGUGAAACUGCAUCCGGUUUGGAAGAAUUAAAAAGUUUAAACUUUCUUUGUGAUGAACUUUGCAUUGCUGGAUUAGAGAAUGUGAAUAAUCCACAGAAUGCAAGAGAAGCGGCAUUAUGCGAGAAGCACAAUCUUGAAGCACUGACUCUAGAUUGGGGGUCUCAAUUUGACAAUUCUCGAGAUGGAGUAGUAGAAGAGCAUGUACUGGAAAUUCUACAGCCUCAUAAACGUAUAAAAAAGGUGGCAAUCAGGAACUAUAGAGGUGCAAGAUUUCCACAUUGGAUAGGAGAUCCUUUGUUCUCCAAAAUAGAGUUCCUUGAAUUGGAGAACUGUGACAAUUGUGUAUCUUUGCCAUCGCUUGGCCGUUUGAGUUCACUUAAACACCUUGCUGUUAAAGGGCUGAAGAAACUAAAAAGCAUAGAGUCUAAGGUUUAUGGGGAGGGUUUCUCAAUGCCUUUUCCAUCAUUGGAGAUUCUAAGUUUCGAGAAUUUGCCAGAAUGGGAGCAUUGGGACACCGAUAUCAAAGGAAAUGUACUUGUUGAAAUAUUUCCUCGUCUCCAUAAACUUUCCAUUGUGGAAUGUCCCAAACUCUCCGGAGAACUGCCUGAUCUCCUGCCCUCCUUGGAGACACUUGUUGUUAGUAAAUGUGAAAAGUUGGUAGUUCCAUUGUCUUGCUAUCCGAUGCUCUGCAGAUUAGAAGUUGAUGAGUGCAAGGAACUAGCGUGCGCGACUCCAAUUGAUUUUAAGUUGAUAAAGUCUGUGACUAUUUCAAAUUGUUCACUAGACAUGUAUGGAUGCAAGGGGAUGCUAUACAAUGGUCCAGCUGGCUCUUCACUGCCGAAAUCCAUGACUAUUACAAAUGUUUUGGCGUUUGGAAAAUUAUUGAAGCCUGAAUUUCAGAUAUUAGAAACUUUGGUAAUUGACAAUUCUGAACAGCUCAUGUCAUGGAGGCAGCGUGGGAAUUUCCGAGAAGAAUAUUUGGCCGUUCGCCGAAGGCUUAUCAAACCAUUACAAGGGCUAAAUAUGCUCGCUUCCCCAGAAGAGGUAACAAUUGAAGAAAGUUGUGUGAGUUUUGUUUUAUUUUCAGAGAUCAAUUUCUUUCCCAGAAAUCUGCGCUCUCUUCUAAUUUGCAGCAGCACAGCUUUAAAAUCCUUACCCGAUGAAAUGAUGGACAACAGUUCACAACUCAAAAGGUUGUAUAUCAGAGAUUGCGAUUCUCUAACAUUCAUCACAAGACGCAAGCUACCUUCAUCUCUAAAAAGUAUAGAGAUUCAGAAUUGUGAGAAACUGCGACAUUUGUUCGAUGAUAAAGAGGAUGCUUCUUCUUCUUCUCCUCCUUCAUCCUCGCCCUCCCCAGUGAUGCUGAAACACCUGAGUAUAAAUAAUUGCCCAGAGCUCACCAGUUUAUCAACAGGAAUCCAAUUACUUGAGGCGCUUGAACACCUCGACAUACGGGAUUGUCGAAAGCUGGAGUCAUUACCAGAUGGCCUUCACAAUCUUAACUGUUUACAGGAGAUUACUCUAAACAGUUGUCCAAGUCUUCUUAGAGGGCUUCCCAACACGAUUUCAAGGGUUGACAUUUACAGCUGUCCAAGUCUUGUUUCCUUCCCAGAAAGAGGACUUCCCAACACGAUUUCAAAGGUUGACAUUUUUAAUUGUGAGAAGCUCGAAGCCCUGCCCAAUGACAUGCACAAACUCAACUCUCUUCGAGAUUUAAGCAUAUUGGGGUGUCGAAAUCUUGUAUCCUUUCCAGAAGAAGGUUUUCCUACCAGUCUAACAUCACUUAGAAUUGGAGAUUUCAAAAUGUAUAAGACACUCAUCCAGUGGGGGUUGCACAGGCUUACCUCUCUUAGACGCCUCUAUAUCGUUGAUUGUGAUGACGAAGCAGAGUGUUUUCCAGACGAGGAGAUAGGAACGAUGCUGCCUACCUCCCUAACUCAUCUAUCCUUUCGGGGAUUCCGAAAUUUGAUAUCUCUGUCUUCGACGGGUUUUCAGAGCCUCAACUCUCUUCAAUACUUGUGGAUCAGGGAUUGCCCGAAUCUCACAUCAUUCCCAGAGGUGGGCCUUCCAUCCUCACUUUUGGCAUUAUGCAUUAUCGAUUGUCCAAAGCUUAAAAAAGCGUGCAAAAGAGAUCAAGGAAAAGAGUGGUCCAAAAUUGCUCACAUCCCUCGCAUUGACAUAGACAGGAAAUUCAUAUACGAUCCAGAAUCAGAGGAGUAGAUUCUACUAUUAAGGUCAGUUGAUUUGUAUUAUCCGCCAUAACAAGCUCCUCCUUUUUUUUUAAAUAAUAAUAAUAAUUCUUACCAAUUAAUGAUGGUAAGAUGUGUACUUAUUCUUUCUUCCGGACAACCUUGCCUUCUUUCUUCGGUAGCAUAUCUAAUGAAUAUUUCUCUGUUUAGUUAAGGAUGAAUGCUUGGAGUGGAGUAUUUGGUAACAUUUCUGCCGUAGAUGAAACCUUGAAGAAAUGCCUGCACUUCCUGAGACCAAAUACAGGUCUGAUUCACAACAACACCUGUCCCAGAAAAUAUGAUACAAGCCAAAGCCAUGUUCUGAAGCAGAAAUAACGCAUUUCAAUUUUUAUCUGGUAAAAAUACACAGCCCUCGCCUACAAAAUUCUUAUCUUGGCUUUCACGGAUAUUUUUAUCACGUAACCACGUGAGGAAGCAUGUGCUGGAGCCUGAAUUCAGUUAGUUAAAGUUUGUUAACCACGUGUCAACAAACUGUAUAAUCUGGAAAAUACGCUAGCUAUUGAAACAGGGUAUAAAGGCUGGUUUUUCAGGGACUAUCGAGAGCUGAUUCUAGAGUCUUGUAGAAAGAGGUUUGUGAGAGAGAAAGUGUCAUCUUGUUCUCUGUAAAAUCCGAUAUAGGGCUCUGUAACGAUCUCCAUUGUUGAAUCAAUAAAACUCAUCUAGAAGCUUCUCCCGUGGACGUAUUCUGAGCAUUCAAUGCACAGCUGAACCACGUAAUAUCUUGGUUUCAGUGGGUUCUUGUUUUGGUUCUUGAUAAAUUCUUGUUGUUGUAUUGAGGUGUGAUUUGAUGUGUCUAAACUUGCAUCUGUGCAACUUGAAUUGAUUUGAUGAUAAUAAUCUUGGGCAGUGAUCAGAUUCGUUUAGUUUAAAGAACAAGCUGAUUACUACCGUACCUAUGCAUGGACCUGUAACCUGUGCUGACAAAACUGAAACUAUGAGUUUGAGGUAAAAAGGUCCUGGACCCUCACAGUUUAACUUGGACUUGUAGCUUUCUGGAUAAACACAUUUUAGAAGUUUGCAAUUUGUUGUUAAUUACGGUAUGUGAUUUUCUUUUUUGUUUUCGCUUUUGUAGAAUCUACCGUAUUACAUAUUGGCAGUUGUAUCUGAGGUACCAUUUUUGCAUUUAACUUGCCUUUAUCUGUUUUGCCUGUUACUUAACAACACAUCAUUUCCCAAAGAUUUGGAGAAGCAUCUCAAGAUGCUUAACAAACUUGACAAACUUCAAGAUGCUCCCAAGCCUUGAUUCUUCACAAAGGAAGACCUGUGAGUACACUUAUGCCCGCAAUUAUUGUGAAGUGAUUGCAACUUUGAUGCAGCGAAACGGUUUGCUGGUGCAAAGCUUUAAAACUGUUAAGAAUUACCCUGCAGGCUUGUUGGAUGUUGUAUACUCCGAAAGCCACCAACACCAAGAACUAUAACAGCAAGACUAGGUUUGCAUUAAUUCAAUUAGCUGAAAUAAUGAUGCAAAUGGCACUAUCCAGCUCGACUUAGAGACUAGUCAGGUCAAUCAUCCAUUUCAUCAACAGUUAAUGUCAGGAUGGUGGCUAGCAGAGGAAACAAAGGAUAUGUUGGAAUCAAUAAGAACAGUGAGAAGCAUGAGAGGAGCUUUGAUUAUAAGUAGGCUCAAUGAACUAGUGUUGGUAAGUGGUAAUUAGAGCAAUUUGUGAGCUUAGUAGAGUUUCAAUAUUUUCUGUUUGGGAUAUAGUUGAUAAGUUGAUACUCUGAUAAAGAAGGCUGAUUAUAGUAGCUGACUAUAUUAACCGGGUUCUCUUUUUUGGUUUGCUGUUGUUUUUUCUUUCAAUAUCUUUUUCAACAUUAGGUUUAAGAACAAGCUUGGGUUUGAUUAUCAGGUAAGAACAAAUGAAUGCUUUAACCAUGUUUCUCACUUAUCACAAUGCACGGAUUGAAGGCGUCUGAGUUGAUCCUGAAACGUGCCUCAGCAAGUAUUAUGAUUAUUAUUUUAAAAAACUCAACCUAAGCAACGUGCCUCAGCAUACAAUAUUUAUUGACAACUAAAAAGUAAUAGUGGGUGGGGGUUGCCCUGGGUUUUGUUUAAAAAUUGAAGUAAAAAAUUUUCAAAUUUCAAAUUUCUAGUACAAAGAAAAUUGAUGACUAAAUUAAAUUCUGCAAAUUAAUUUCUAAUAUUACAUGAAAAUAUUAUCAAGUUAACUGGUAACAUCGUUAAUCACUUAAUUCUCAGUCUAAUACGUUAUGUAUUUGUUACUCUGUCUUAAAUCAAAAGUGGCGGUGAUUUAUUUUUAUUUUCACUAAUCAGAAAGGCAUGUUAGAGCUUUUAUUUUGUCGAAAAUGAACCAAAAAAACUCCGAUUGGGAGAUUAUAAAUGUAAUUAACAAUAAUUUAACUUCCAUUUUGAAAGUCAUUAUAUUGUUUAUUCAGGAGAAGCGUUCUUUUAUAUUUUAUAGAUAUAAUGUUUGCUAAUCCUAAUUUAAGCUAAAGCAUAUGCAUUUCCUAAUUAAUUCUAAUUUAAGCUUAUUCAACUGCAUUCAAUUAAUGUUCGAUAAUACAAAUUCUAAAUACUAUAUACUCUAAGAAUUUUAAUCGUAAUGACAAGGUGAUCAUUUAAUUAUUACCGUUAAAUUAUAUAUGUAUGGUGGAGACGAGUCCACACGGUUUUGACGAGAAAUUAAAGACAAUAUUUAGUUAAGCUAGUAGUAUUUGUUCUGUUUAGUACGUCGUUUUACCAGCAAGCAUCCCGGCAAUGCACGCAUUAAUAAAAACAUUUAUCUGUUUGGACUGACUGGUAGUGAAAAAUUCCACAUACUUUAAAUCAAGAAAAUGCUAAGCAUCUUAAAGAAAACAAUUAAAAUAUUGUCACUUGAUGCUUGAAUCAUUAUUGUUAAAUAUCUCCGUUGAGUUGUAUUCCCCAGUUGUGAGUAUCAUUAUUGUUGUUUGUGCGAUAUGUUUCGACGAAGACCAGCAGUGAUGAGCAGGCGUCUGGUAGCAGGGUUCCUCGAACAGGUAUAUCUUGCAAGAGUCUGGUAGCAGGGGGAGCAAGAGCAGGAGUAUCCUGCUCGUCCACGAGUACGUCAUCCACGAGGCCGGUCUCCUGUUGGGAGCGUAAAGCCAUUCCUGCUAUAUUCCUGCUAGCGGUUGAGUCGAGGAGACCCGGUCAACGACAGUUGACGAGACAUGCUCUCCAGUCCGAGAAUCAAGGCGCGAAGGCCACGCAACCACCCACGACUACGGAAAUGGAGCAUCCACUUUCGAGAAGUGGGAGGAUGACAAGCGCAAAGGGAGGAAAUGCAUGGGCUCAGAAGUGGCCUAUAAAAAGGUAACCAACGAAGGUAAAAGGGUUAGCAAUUUUGAGAUUAUAACAGAGACUAAGGAAAUUCUAAAGAAGAGAAAACUAUUAAAAAGCCAUAAGAUCUGUGGCAAGCGUUCCCAGAGCCUUCAUAUCUGACUUGAGCGUCGGAGGGUUUACGCCGGGAAAACAACCGGCGUGCUCUGACUUGUUUCUGUGGACGCAGGAAUACUUGGAGAAGAAAGCAUACAAGGAGAGAUCCUGGUCGAGGUGAGGUUGAUUGAGCAGAUAUCCUGGUCGUAGGAAGAGCGUAACCAGAAUCUCGCAUCAAUAUUUUGGCGCCGUCUGUGGGGAGCUGAGCAAAAAGUUUCUGUUGAUAGCAAAGAAGAGGAGUGAAGCAAGUGAAAAGCAAUGGAGACAGGAGGAAGUAGUGCACAAGGGGGUGAUAUGAGGCUUAACGAUUCCGUGACGCUGAGGGAGAUAGCCAGUGAAGCACGGGAAAAAGCCAUGUUCGACCGGAUGGAACGGAUGGAAAAGCAGAUGGAGACCUUGACAACCAUCCUACAUGAGCUGCGGAGCGAACGAAGGGUAACCCAGGAGGAAAGGGUGAGAGGUGGUGGAGUGGCACCAGGUCCCGAUAGUGCGAGGAGAAGUCAAACCACCGGGAGAUUUGGUGGUGAGAGAGGUAACAUACCUCUGCAGGGAAAUUGCAUAGAGAGGAAGAGCAGUCCCCGGCAAGACAGAUUUUUGACGAGGACGACGGGGUGGCGAAUGCAGAGGAAGCAGAGUUGAGGCAAUACUUGCAUGAUGUAGUGCAAGAGCGGGAUCAAGUCGCAGCACGUGACCCUGGUCGUGCAGAGCAGCUGGAGGAGGAAGUGUGCAGGCUAGCGCAGAUAAUUGACGACAUACAAGGAAGGAGCAGAGCUCCUGGUUGGAGGAUAAUGCUGGACGGAGAAUCACCGCUCGCAGCAGAGAUCAUGAGGGCAGUUAUUCCAAGAGAUUUCCGCCUCCCAGACCUUAGAUAUUCGGGAUGAACUGAUCCGCUGGUGCACAUAGAGCGCUUCAACGACAUAACUGGGGUACAAGGAUUAUCUCAAUCCUAAAGGUGCAGGGUGUUCCCACUAUCCCUUGAGGGACGCGCACGAGAGUGGUACAGGAAACUUCCUCGGGGGAGCAUUAAAACCUUCGAGCAGAUGUGCCAGGAAUUUGCAGAACAGUUCCGUGGGGCAAUGGCACCAGAAGAUGACAUGAUGGAGUUGAAAAACAUGAAGCAGGGGGAACAAGAAACACUUCGGGAAUUCAUCAAGAGGUUUCACCGUGCUGUCCUCGACUUGGGAGCCUUCAACCACCCUCAAACGUUAAGGGGAUUGAAAGAAGGGGUGAAGAUAGGAAGGCUGUGGUACAACUUGAGAAGCCCAGUUAUUCAGACGUAUGCGGCCGCAUACGAGCAGGCUAAGAGAGACAUUGAGAUUGAAGAGGAGAAGGCAGCACAGAUUAAGACAGACCAGUUAGAAGGGUGGGGGAGGAAAGAGAAGAAAGCAUUACCGGGGAAUGGGCCGAUCAGGAGGAGGAACCACCAGGCCUCGAGUAGUGGAGCAGAAGGUCGGGUAACUGCUUACCAGCCUCAUCAGAGGCCACUACAGUAUCAGCACAGCAGGGCGCAACCUCCUCGUUCCCCAGCUGGGGAGCCUUGGAGAAGGCAUGACUCGGCGUAUGGUGGUCUUCAUCAACACUCCCACGGUAGUAGAAGGGGCAGACCAGAAGCGCUGCCACCGCCUCCAACUCAGAACGGAGCAAAUAGAGAAAGGGCAGUGCACCUGAUCGACCAGAACCAGGACUAUGGGCGAUAUACUUCCUUGAAGAUGUCCCUGGCCGAGGUGUACGAGGCCAUAAAGGAUCGAGGGUCGUUAUACCUCCCUGCCCCAAUAACAAAGCUACCCAGCAGGAGGGAUAGGGGACGCUAUUGUAAGUUCCAUGGCACUCAUGGCCACACCACAGCAGAUUACAGGGAUCUCAAGACCCAGGUUGAAGAUUUGGUGAGAAAUCGGUAUCUGGACGAGUUUAUAGAUGGGACCUUCCCAAUGGUAGCCUCGACCAGCGAAUGGGAGCAGAGUGACAGGAACUUGAGGCGCGAGCAGCCUGCAGUAAGGGUGAUAGCUGGGGGCCCAACAUUGGCCGGAGAUUCCAACAGGUUGAGGAAGAAUUACGCUAGAUACGCCAUGACCAGCAAAGAUGUAUUCUUCACCACCCCAGCAGCCAAACGUGCAAGAGUCAGGCAAGUGCCAAUUAUGUGGACAGAUGAGGAUGAAGAAGGGAUUCUAUACCCCCACGAGGAUGCUUUGGUCAUCAAGGCCACUGUUGCCAGCAAGAAGUUUGACAGGAUACUGGUUGACACAGGGAGCUCAGUUGAUGUGUUGUUUAAGUCAACCCUGGAGGAGAUGGGAAUAGCAGACCUGAAGUUGGAUUACACCAAUACCUCCUUGAAGGGGUUUGGAGGAGGAAAGUUGGUCCCUCUGGGCGUGGUCGAGCUGCCUAUCACGAUUGGGAGCUCCCCGACAGAAGGGACAAUGAUACUGGACUUUGUGGUAGUGGAUGAGGAAGGUCCUUAUCAGAUGAUCCUAGGCCGGCCAUUUCUGACGAUGAGCAAAGCGGUGCUGUCCAGCCAUUAUCUGGCUCUCAAGUACCGGGUGAAUGGGGUAGUUGGAGUGGUACGAGGAGACCAGAGGAUCGCAAGAAGCUGCUACUCCUCGGCAGCAAAGGAAGCAAUGCAGAUAACAUCCCUUGAUACCCGAGUGGAAGCCAGGAAUGGCAGCUAGUUGGACCCGGAGUUUACAAGCUGGUUCGCACGGAUGGCCACAAGGUGAAACGCCCAUGGAGCGCGACACACCUCAGGAAAUAUUUCUAGUAAGACUUACUCAUCUUUUAAAGUUAUUUCUGUUCGUGCCCGUUGUUUUCUAUUUUUCAUUUCUUAUUUCAAAGCAAUCUCAUGUAAGCCGAAUUCAAUAAUAAAUGAAUCAAUGAGGAGUUUCAGUCAACUACACUGUUCAAGAAAUUAUCAAAGGCAUGCAAAGGCUAGUCAAGUCUCAAAGCCUGUUUAUGGCGAGACCAGAAGCCAAGCGUGCCAGGAUCUGCUCGACCACGAGAAGGCGAGCAGAGUCCCAAGCUUUCAAGAAAUUAUCAAUGGCAUGCAAAGGCUCACCAAGUCUCAAAGCCUGUUUAUGGCGAGACCAGAAGCCAAGCGUACCAGGAUCUGCUUGACCACGAGAAGGCGAGCAGAGUCCCAAGCUUUCAAGAAAUUAUCAAAGGCAUGCAAAGGCUCACCAAGUCUCAAAGCCGGUUUAUGACGAGACCAGAAGCCAAGCGUUCCAGGAUCUGCUCGACCACGAGAAGGCGAGCAGAGUCCCAAGCUUUCAAGAAAUUAUCAAAGGCAUGCAAAGGCUCACCAAGUUUCAAAGCCUGUUUAUGACGAGACCAGAAGCCAAGCGUGCCAGGAUCUGCUCGACCACGAGAAGGCGAGCAGAGUCCCAAGCUUUCAAGAAAUUAUCAAAGGCAUGCAAAGGCUCACCAAGUCUCAAAGCCUGUUUAUGGCGAGACCAGAAGCCAAACGUGCCAGGAUCUGCUUGACCACGAGAAGGCGAGCAGAGUCCCAAGCUUUCAAGAAAUUAUCUAAGGCAUGCAAAGGCUCGCCAAGUCUCAAAGCCUGUUUUAUGGCGAGAUAGAAGCCAAGCGUACCAGGAUCUGCUCGACCACGUGAAGGUGAGCAGAAUCCCCAAGCAUCGGAAUAUUUUCCAAGGCAUGCAAAGGCUCGCCAAGUCUCAAAGCCUGUUUUAUGGCGAGACAGAAGCCAAGCAUGCCAGGAUCUGCUCGACCGCGCGAAGGCGAGCAGAAUCUCAAGCAUUGAAGAAUUUUCCAAGGCAUGUGGCAAAACCAUAUGCCGAGCCAGAACCUGCUAAACUAGACGAAGACGAGCAGAUUCUCAGACGAAAAAUAACUCAUGAUUACAACACAAGAAAGUAAUCAAAAACAUUUUUAUUAAUUUGUUAAUAAUUAACAGAGGAGAUAAUCUUCACAAACAUUGUUCAUUACAAUACAAGAAAUAUAUUAAGAGGACGGUGGAUCCGUAAGCCGAGCAGCCUCAGUCGGUUGGUCCACCUCAGGUGCUGGGGGAGUAUCACCGGUCGCGUCCGGGGGGGUGCUUGCCUCACCCACAUCAACAGGAACGGCACGAGGAGGAGAGUUUUCCUCAACUACGAUUGGUUCCACCGUUUCGGCAUCUUCCUUUGCAGCCUCCUCGUCCAUAUGUUGGGCGACACCAGUUGCAAGGUCGUCCAUCUUCAGAUCAGGAUGCUGCUUCCCGAGGACGACCAUGAUGCAACGAUAGGAAUGCCGAAGCCCCUAGUCGUACUGGUUGUCGGCCUCCCUCUCCAAGUUCUCGACCUGAGCUCGGUGGGAAUCGCGGAGAGAUUCGAGCUGAGCCUCAUAUAUAGCCUUCUGCCUUUGCAGAUCCUCCUCGACCUUGGUCAGCUCCUCCUCGAGGGUAAUGGCUUUUGCUUGAGCAAGAGAUUCUUGCUCUAUCAGCUUGAGGUUCUCAACAUUCAGCUCCCCUGCUUUCUUCUCGGCAGCGUCAGCUCUGGUCGUCGCCGAUUGAAUGUCCUCCUUAAUCUUGCGGUCGUAGCGGCCAACCUUCGCCUUGUAAUAGGUGGUCAUGCAGCUGAGGUAGAAAGCGCUAUACUGCAUGGCCCCCACCAGCUCACCCAAGGUGCAGCCGUCAAAGUCCUCCAGGUCCUUCUUGCUCACGAGUUUAGAUAACUCAUUGAGGUAGGGGACCAAGUGUUCUGCUUGGCUGUCAGGUAAGCGAGAUCGAGGCCCGACAGGAGGAGAAGAGGAAGCAGGAUCCGUGGCUGCUCCACUAGUUUCCCCAACUUUGGCAGGAGCAGGAGGUAAAGUCUUCAAGGGAGAGACUUGCUGUACGAUGUUGGCCUGCUUUGCAGAAGGGGCGUCCUUGUUCUGGUCCCUCUUCGUGGCUUGAGGUUGAGAACGUUUCCUGUUCAGAGCCCCAAUCACAGCGUCCUCCAUCUUAUGGCCAGGGAGUACCAAGCGAGACUCGAGCAAGUUGUAAACAGUUAUCAAUUCUCGGCUCGGGCAAGAGUUGGCUAGUAUAGCCUCGACCCGUUUGAGCUGAUCAGGUUGGAGCGAGAAGUGAACACCCCAAGAACCUGCAACACAAACAAACAUUUGAUUAGAGACAAACCAGUAAAGUGCAAACAACAAGGGAGACAAGACAUCUAAUACGAGCAGGCAACCUGGGACCAUGAAACGGGGUGGGACGCGACAAUCCUUCCCGUCUAUUUGUGCAACUUGACCCCAAGGACCCCCAGCAAAAAAGAAUUUCCUCUUCCAAGUCCCACCACCACCAGUUGGAAGAUCAGUUAUGGGUUUCUUGCUCUUGGUACUAGAUUGGAAGUAGUACCAGCCGGCAUCUUUGGGGCUGCUCUUUAGCUGGUACAGGUGCUUCACCUCAUCAACCGUGGGCUCGCUUUGGCAACAUCUGUCCCACAAUAUGAACAGACCAGAGAGCACCCUCCACCCAUUGGGGUUCAGUUGACCAGGAGCUAGAUUGAGCCCGUGGAGUAUGCGAGCAAAAUAGGGUUGCAAGGGGCACCUUAACCCGUACUUAAAACUCUCCUGGAACAAGGUGACAUAUCCCCUAGGAGGCCUGCUAGGACUAUCUUUUUUUCCUGGGAUCCUAAGGAGUACUUCACCAGGAAUAUGAUACCUGAGCCAGAGGUCAUCCAGCUCGUUGAAUGUGGUCGUGCAGGUCAUGUAAUCAAUAGCAUAAUCCCGCAACAAGGCUCUACCUCCUACUGUACUACGCCCUUCUGGUCGCAGUGUUCCCGGUGAAGAUCCCUCACCAGAGUCACCUCCUUGAUCCUCACUUAGGGUGUCUUCCGAGCCAGAAGGUCCUUCCUCGCCACUACUUCCGCUCGUGGAGGUUGUUUGGGGGGACAUCCUCCUAGCGCUAGUCCCGACACUAGACCUAGUGGGCUCUAAGGGGAUCCCGGGGUCAAAAGCAGAAUCAGUGAGCAGACUAGGCAAGAAACCUAGUUCGUCGUCAUCAGUCUCAAUGACUUUCUCCUUACCCUUCGACAUUCCCUAAGUUCUAACCAAAACACCACCACCGACUACAACCCCAAGUAAAGCAAAGAGAAAAGAAAUUAUCUACAACUAUCCGAGACCGAGGAGAUAGAAGUAAUACCUGAAGUAAUGGUUCAGUUAGAGAAAGGCAGGGGAGGAGACUUUUAUGCCGAGACUUCUUUGCCGGAGAGACAGAGACAGAGAUGGAGUAAAUGACGAAUUUUCCCUUUGAGAGGUUUUGGGUUUUCCUAAUGGAGAAUGAACUUUUGGAUUGCCAGCAUUUAAUAGCAUCGAAUCCCAAGGGUCUCGUAACCGUCGGUUUAAAAUUCAAAUAGAUGGGUAGAUUUCUGCCACAUCACCUGGUCCACAAUUAAAUGCGACACGACUCUUGGCAGCCUUUUCCUAUCCCGCGCGAGCAAGAACUGUCGAGUUUCUACUGUUGGCUCACUACGCUACCCAACACAAGAAACUGGGGGACUGGUGUUUGUGCGAUAUGUUUCGACGAAGACUAGCAGUGAUGAGCAGGCGUCUGGUAGCAGGGUUCCUCGAACAGGUAUAUCUUGCAAGAGUCUGGUAGCCGGGGGAGCAAGAGCAGGAGUAUCCUGCUCGUCCACGAGUACGUCAUCCACGAGGCCGGUCUCCUGUUGGGAGCGUAAAGCCAUUCCUGCUAUAUUUCUGCUAGCGGUUGAGUCGAGGAGACCCGGUCAACGACAGUUGAUGAGACAUGCUCUUCAGUUCGAGAAUCAAGGCGCGAAGGCCACGCAACCACCCACGACUACGGAAAUGGAGCAUCCACUUUCGAGAAGUGGGAGGAUGACAAGCGCAAAGGGAGGAAAUGCAUGGGCUCAGAAGUGGCCUAUAAAAAGGUAACCAACGAAGGUAAAAGGGUUAGCAAUUUUGAGAUUAUAACAGAGACUAAGGAAAUUCUAAAGAAGAGAAAACUAUUAAAAAGCCAUAAGAUCUGUGGCAAGCGUUCCCAGAGCCUUCAUAUCUGACUUGAGCGUCGGAGGGUUUACGCCGGGAAAACAACCGGCGUGCUCUGACUUGUUUCUGUGGACGCAGGAAUACUUGGAGAAGAAAGCAUACGAGGAGAGAUCCUGGUCGAGGUGAGGUUGAUCGAGCAGAUAUCCUGGUCGUAGGAAGAGCGUAACCAGAAUCUCGCAUCAACAAUUGUCUUUGCUCUCUAAUCUAUUCAAUUUUCUUUCUGGAGACAAGAUUUUGAUUCCUUUCAUCGUUACAAAAACGGAACCAUGGUUGAUGUGGGAGAGAUCUUACUCAACGCCUUCUUUUAGGUGAUGUUCGACAGGUUGGCUUCCCGUGAUUUGCUCAGCUUUGUCCGUCAACUUGGAGGGGGGGUCGAUUCCGAGCUCAAGAAGUGGGAAAGAAAGCUGAAGAUGAUUCAGGCGGUGCUCAACGAUGCAGAGGAGAAGCAACUGACGGACGAGGCUGUGAAGAUGUGGCUGGACGAUCUCCAAGACUUGGCUUAUGACGCUGAGGACAUUCUUGAUGAGUUUGCUACUCAAGCUUUGGAAAGCAAGUUGAUGGCGCAAAAUCAGGAUAGCUCUGGCCAACUUCUCAGUUUCAUCCAGGCUAGUUUGAAUCCGAAUGCUAUUAUGUUCAAUUAUAGCAUGGGGUCCAAGAUUAAAGAUAUCACUAGCCGGCUGGAGCAACUCUGCCAAGAAAGAAUUGAACUUGGACUGCAACGGAUUACUGGAGGGGCAUCAUCAACUACUGCUGCUGCACACCAGAGGCUACCCGGUUCAAUUGUCCCAACAGAACGUGAAGUAUUUGGAAGAGAAGAAGAUAAGGCCAAAAUUCUUGAUAUGGUAUUGGCCGAUACCCUAAGUGAUCAUGCCAACUUUGCUGUAAUACCCGUUGUUGGCAUGGGCGGGAUAGGAAAAACAACUCUCGCUCGGGAGGUUUACAAUGACAAGGCCGUUGGCGGUUCCAAGUUUGAUGUAAAAGCAUGGGUUUGCGUAUCUGAUGUCUUUGAUGUUUUGGGCAUCUCAAAGGCACUUCUCGAGUCAAUCACCCGCAGGCCUUGUCUUCUAAACAGUUUAAAUGAAGUGCAGGUUGAAUUGAAAGUAGCUGUGGAUAAAAAAAGAUUCUUGCUGGUCUUAGAUGAUGUUUGGAACGAGGACUACAGCUUGUGGGUAGACUUAAAAGCUCCGUUCCUGGCUGCUGCACCAAACAGUAAGAUGAUCGUCACCACACGCAAUUCAAAUGUUGCAUCAACAAUGGGACCAAUUGAACAUUACAAUCUCAAGAGUUUGUCAGAUGAUGAUUGUUGGUCCAUUUUCAUAAAGCAUGCAUUUGAAUAUAGAGAUCUUAACGCACAUCAAAUUUCAGAAUCGUUCCGCGGGAAAGUUGUUGCCAAGUGUGGAGGCUUGGCCCUGGCAGCAAAAACACUCGGAGGCCUUCUGCAUACGACGAGGCAUGAUGCGUGGGAUGAUACGUUAGAGAGCAAAAUAUGGGAUUUACCUCAACAAAGUGGGGUUCUCCCCGUAUUAAGAUUGAGUUACCAUCAUCUUCCUUCUCAUUUGAAAAGAUGUUUUGCUUACUGUGCAAUCUUUCCAAAAGAUUAUGAAUUCAAUCAGAAGGAGCUGACUUUCUUAUGGAUGGCUGGAGGAAUUAUUCGACAGUCACGAAACAGUGAGCAGCUGGAAGAUUUGGGCAGCAAGUGCUUUCAAGAUCUAGUGUCAAGGUCUAUUUUUCAACAAACCAGCUCUGGUAGUUCUAAAUUUGUAAUGCCCUAUCUUAUCCAUGAUCUUGCUGAAUUGGUUUCUAGAGGGACCAUUUUCAAGUUAGAGGAGUCCACCAACUUGUCGUCGAGGAGAUUUGAAAGAGUUCGCCAUUCUUCCUAUGCCCGCGGUUGGCAUGACGGUAAAAAUAAGUUUGAGGUUUUCUAUGAAAUUGAACAUCUACUAACAUUCUUGCCAUCACGCAUAAGAGGUGGCACUAAUACGAGUUACAUAACUCGAACGGUUCUAUCUGAUUUGUUGCUGAAUUUCAAAAGUUUGAGGAUGUUAUCUUUACAAGGAUACUGUAUUGGUGAGUUACCAAUUUCAUUUGAAGAUUUGAGACUUUUAAGGUUUCUCAACCUUGCUUACACUGACAUAAGAAGUUAUCUGAGUCAACAUGCAAAUUGCUGAACUUGGAAAUUUUGAUAUUAAGAAAUUGUUCUCGUUUGAUAAAGCUUCCACCCAAAAUGAGGAAUUUGAUCAAUUUACGCCAUCUCGAUAUAAGAGGUGCGAAGUUGCUGAAGGAGAUGCCAUUCGGAAUGAAAGAGUUGAAGAAGCUUCAAACAUUGUCCAAUUUUAUUGUGGGCAAGGGUGAAACUGCAUCUUGUUUGGAAGAUUUAAAAUGUUUAAACUUUCUUUGUGAUAAACUUUGCAUUGCUGGAUUAGAGAAUGUUAAUAAUCCACAGAAUGCAAGAGAAGCCGCAUUAUGUGAGAAACACAAUCUUGAAGCAUUGACUCUGGAUUAGGGGUUUCAAUUUGACAAUUCCUGAGGAGUAGUAGAAGAGCAUGUACUGGAAAAUCUACAGCCUCAUAAAUGUAUAAAAAAGGUGGCGAUCCGGAACUAUGGUGGUGCAAGAUUUCCCCUUUGGAUAGGAGAUCCUUUGUUCUCCAGGAUAGAGCUCCUAAAAUUGGAGAACUGUGACAAUUGUGUAUCUUUGCCAUCGCUUGGCCUAUUGAGUUCACUUAGACGGCUUGCUGUUAAAGGGCUGAAUAAACUAAAAAGCAUAGGGUCUGAGGUUUAUGGGGAGGGUUUCUCAAUGCCUUUUCCAUCAUUGGAGAUUCUAAGUUUCGAGAAUUUGCCAGAAUGGGAGCAUUGGGACACCGAUGUCAAAGGAAAUGUGCUUGUUGAAAUAUUUCCUCGUCUCCAUCAACUUUCCAUUGUGGAAUGUCCCAAACUCUCGGGAGAACUGCCUGAGCUCCUGCCCUCCUUGGAGACACUUUUUGUUAGUAAAUGUGAAAAGUUGGUAGUUCCAUUGUCUUGCUAUCCGAUGCUCUGCAGAUUAGAAGUUGAUGAGUGCAAGGAACUAGCAUGCGGGACUCCAAUUGAUUUUAAGUUGAUAACGUCUGUGACUAUUUCAAAUAGUUCCUUAGACAUGAAUGGAUGCAAGGGGAUGCUAUACGAUGGUCCAGCUGGCUCUUCACUACCAAAGCCUAUGAUUACUACAAAUGUUUCGGAGUUUGGAAAAUUAUUGAAGCCUGGAUUUCAGAUAUUAGAAACUUUGGUAAUUGCCAAUUCUGAACAGCUCAAGUCAUGGAGGCAGAAUGGGGAUUUUCCGGAAAAAUACACGGCCCCUGAACAUAGGUUUAAGAAACCAGUACGAGGGCUGAAUAUGCUCGCUUCCCCUGAAGAGGUAACAAUUGAAGAAAGUUGCGUACGUCUUGUUUUGUUUCCAGAGAUCAAUUUCUUUCCCAGAAAUCUGCGCUCUCUUCUAAUUAACAACAACACUGCUUUCAAAUCCUUACCCGAGGAAAUGAUGGAAAACAAUUCACAACUCGAAAGGUUGUAUAUCAGAGAUUGCGACUCUCUAACAUUCAUCGCAAGACGGAGGCUACCAGCAUCUCUUAAAAGGCUUGAGAUAGAAAAUUGUGAGAAAUUGCAACGUCUGUUCGAUGAUGAAGAGGAUGCUUCUUCUUCUUCACCUUCACCCUCGUCUUCCCCAGUGAUGCUGCAACACCUGAGUAUAGAGAACUGCCCAGAGCUCACCAGUUUAUCAUCGGGUGUCCAAUUCCUUGAGGCGCUUGAAGACCUCGACAUACAGGGUUGUCCAAAGCUGGAGUCAUUACCGGAUGGCCUGCCCAAUCUUAAAUGUUUACAGAGCAUUUAUAUACGGGGAUGUCCAAGUCUUGUUUCCUUCCCAGAAAGAGGGCUUCCCAACACGAUUUCAAGGGUUGACAUUUGCAGUUGUGACAAGCUCAAAGCCUUGCCCAAUGAUUUGCACAAACUCAACUCUCUUCGAGAUUUAAGAAUACGGCUGUGUCGAAAUCUUGUAUCGUUUCCAGAAGAAGGUUUUCCUACCAAUCUAACAUCACUUACAAUUGGAAAUUUCAAAAUGUAUAAGACACUCGUCCAGUGGGGGUUGCACGGGCUUACCUCUCUUAAACGCCUCUCGAUCAGUGGAUGUCAUGAAGCAGAGUGUUUUCCAGACGAGGAGAUAGGAAUGACGCUGCCCACCUCUCUCACUCAACUGCUCCUUUAGGGAUUCGAAAAACUGAUAUCUCUGUCUUCGACGGGUUUUCAAAGCCUCAACUCUCUUCAAUACUUAUUGAUCUGGGGUUGCCCAAAUCUCACAUCAUUCCCAGAGGCGGGUCUUCCAUCCUCACUUUUGGAUUUAGGCAUUUACAAUUGUCCAAAGCUUAAAAGAGCGUGCAAAAGAGAUCAAGGAAAAGAGUGGCCCAAAAUUGCUCACAUCCCUCGCAUUGAGAUAGACAGAAAAUUCAUAUACGAUCCAGAAUCAGAGGAGUAGAUUCUAUUACAAAGGUCAGUUGAUUUCUAUUAUCCUCUAUAACAAGCUCCUCUUAAUUUUUUUUUUCUAAGUAAUAAUUUUGCAGUUCUGUAUAAUUAUUAAUCGUCUGCUCUUAAUUGAAAAUGUCACUCACUUGAUUCCGUUUUCACUAGUCAAAUUGUAUGUUGAGGCUAUUUGCUUUUUAAUUAUAACACUUAUCUUAAAAUUUAAUACCAAAUUUUUUUGAUUCACUUCAAUUAGCAUUUUGUUUUCCCCAAAUUAGGCAAGCCGAGAGCUUCAUUAACUAGAGUUUUUUAUUUUUCGGACCUUGCAUCUGAAAGGUUCAGUGUAUUUUUUUUUUUUUCAAAUUUAUUGUUCAGAUCUCAGACGAGUAUACGGUUUAGAUUACAAAACACCUAUGAUUAAUUUCUUUUUUUUUUUUUUAAUUUCAGGGAGAAGAAGUGGUCAGUUUCAAUCCGGAAUUGGAAUAUGGCAAUUUGGUUCAAGCACACACACCUGGUCACUUGGUCAGUGAACCUGAACUUUACGCAGUUUUUUCAACUCAGUGAUUUUUGGAACGCAUAUUGGUGUAAGGAAAUCAAUAGAAAUUUAUGCAUAGUCAAAUUCUGAUAUUUGCUAUAAUAUUAUACAUUCUAAAGUUUCUCCAGUUUGUUCUCAGAUUACCAUCAUUUUUUGCCUUCACCAAAAAAAAAUCGAGUGGCUUUCCAGUGGAUAUUUAAUCGGAGGUAUGACUGGAUUUUUUUCACUUCUGUAAAUCUUGCAUUUUAAACUGGCAAAUUUAACUUUAAUUUUAAUACGACUUGUUUGAGGGAAAUACUCCGACGAGACCAGACGUGAUGAGCAGAUGUUUGGUGGCAGAAGUCUGCGAGCAGGUGUGUCCUGUAAGAGCCAGGUAGCAGGGAAACAGGGGCAGAAAUAUCCUGCUCAUCCACGAGCAUGUCAUCCGCGAGGCCAAUUUCCUGUAAGAAACAUAAAGCCAUUCCUGCUGUAUUCUUGCUAAGGGUUGAUUCGAGGAGACCCGGUCAACGACAGUUGGCGAGGCAUGCUCUCCAGCCCGAGAAUCUAGGCACGAAGGCCACGCAACCACCCACGACUACGGAAAUGGGGAAUCCACGUUCGAGAGGUGGGAGGAUAACAGACGUAGACUGCGGAAAACUGGGAUUCAGAGGAAGCCUAUAAAAAGGUAGCCAACGAAGGUAAAAGGGUUAGCAAUUUUGAUUCUAAAAGAGAGAAAACAACCUAACAACCAUAAGAUUUUUGGCAAGCGUUCCCCGAACCUUCAUAUCUGACUUGAGCGUCGGAGGGUUUGCGCCGGGAAAACAACCGGCGUACUCUGACCUGUCUGUGUGCGCAGGAACCUCUGGAGAAGAAGCUUUACGAGGAGAGAUCCUGGUCGUGGUGAAGUUGAUCGAGCAGAGACCCUGGUCGUAGAACGAGGAGAACCAGAAUCUCGCAUCAACACGACUUUGUUGGUGCCUUGUGUUCCAGAAACUAGAAUGAUGUGUAGUUUUCAGAUUAAGGGGCUUGUAAAUUCUCUAGUAAGAAUCCAAUAAUUUGCUUUUGCACAUUCAUUUUAUUUGUGGAUCCUUGCAUCUGAAUUUGAUCAAUCCAAAAGGAAUUGCUUUUAGACAGAAGAAGAAUUGCAGUACCUAGCCUACGACAUAGUAAAUGGACCUGCAAACCUGUAACUAUUAGUUUGAGGUAAAAAAUUCAUGACCCUCACAUGUUAACUUCUUCUAGUUACUUUCAUCAAAAACACAUUUAAGAAAUUUGCAAUUUUUUGUUAGUUUUGUAUACCGAUGUUGUUUUCUGUUUUAGCAUUUGUAUAAUCUACUGUAUUAUAUUUUGGCGGUUGCAGUAUCUGAGGUAUCUUUUGCAUUUAACUUGCUUUAUUUGUUUUGCUUGUGACUUAAGAACACCAAUAUUUGCCAGAGAUUUAGAGAAGCAUAUCAAGAUGCUUGGCAAACUUGACAAACUUCAAGAUCCUUCAUUCUUCACGACCCAAAACUUGUGAGUACACUUAUGCCCGCAAUUAUUGUGAAACGCUUGCAAUUUUGAUGCAGCGAAAUGGUUUGUUGAUGCAAAGGUUUAAACUUUUAAGAUUUACACUGCAGGGUAGUUGGAUGCUGUAUAGUCGAACGGCCACCAACAUCAAGAACUAUAACUCCAAGACCGGGUUUGCAUUAAUUCAAUCAGCUGAAAUAAUGAUGCAAAUGACACUAUCAGCUGGACUUAGAGACCAGUCAGAUCAAUCAUCCUUUUAUCAACAGUUAAUGUCAUGAUGGUGUCUAUCGGAGGAAACAAAGGAUGUGUCGGAAUCAAUAUGAACAGUGAGAAGAAUGAGAGGAGCUUUGAUUAUAAGUAGGCUCAAUGAACUCAUGCUGGUAAGUGGUAAUUAAAGAAAUUUGUGCGCUUAGUAGCAUUCAAUAUUUUCUGUUUGGGAUAUAGUUGAUGAGUUGAUACUCUGAUUAAGAAGCCUGAUUAUAGUAGCUGACUUUUUUUUUGUGGUUUGCUGUUGUUUAUUCUUUCGAUUAAUUUCAACAUUAGGUUGAUCUGUUGAAGAACAAACUUGGGUUUGAUUAUGCUUUAACUACAAGGAAGAGCCAGACUUGGAUGCAGGCGUUCAGCUUUUAAUGGGUAAGAACAAAUGUAUGCUUUAACCAUGUUUCUCACUUAUUACAAUGCACACAUUGAAGGCAUCUGAGCUGAUCCUGAAAAUGUGAUGGAAAUACUUCUCUGUUUACAUAAAACAGACAAAUAGAGAUCUCUGAUCAUGCCUGAGAAUUCGUUGCAUUUAAAAUUUCUACCAUUGCCAAAAAUAGAAUAAACUACGGAUACAUUAGCUUAAGACUCAAUUUUGAGAAGGAAGUUUGCACAUGCAGCCUAAAAAAUCACGUCCGUGUUGUAUACUUGUAUGUUUCUUUGGGAAAUGAAAGAUUCUGUGUUCUUUUAUUUCAAGUUUGCUGAAAUCACAUUUGUUUUCUUAGAUGCUUUUGGGAAGGUAACAACAUCAAUUUCAUAAAUGCUGGGGUAAGAUGCAUCACGCAGUGCUACUCAACAUGAGAAUUCCCGGCCGCAUUACCUGUAUGUUGAGUGAUCGCACAGUACAACCUUUAGAAGCUUGUAAGGAGUAGACAACUAGAUGCGAAUAGUUUCAAUAUGGAUUCGCAUCAAAUGAUCUCUUGCCAGUGAUUACUAUAACCUCUAUCCCAAAAUUCUUGGAACUGGUCAUACCAAUAAUGAAGUAUUGUGUACGUUGAAGACGUAGCUCAAGGCCUUGCGAAAGCUCCGUCAGCCUUUGUAUUGGAAAACAGUUGGUUGUAGUUGCUUCUGAAUGAUAUUAUUAAUAGAUACUGUAAAAAUGAAGUGUGCCACUCAUUUUCAGAGCCCUGUUAAGAUGUGUUGGUAAUGUGUUUGAAGGUUGUUUGAUUUGUGUUGUAUUCAGCUAUAAAUCAAAGAUUCAGAACAUGGUUAUGUUACUGGUUUCCAAAUAAAAAAAUUGCCUUGUGAUGUUAGUGUUCAUUGUUUUCACAGGAGAUCAGGUUCCCUGUUGAUGAAUCAAGAAGGCAAACGCAUCCAUGCCUUAAGUUCAAAUGUGUCUCUUCUAUUUUCUAUUACUGACUCCUUUAUUUUGAUUUCUUCAUUGUAAUGGAAUUGGUUUUCAUUCCAAAUUAGUCAAAACCUCCUAGAGUCAUUAAGUUCUGUUAGCAUUUGAAGAUAGAACUAGAACUAAAUGAUUGACUGGAUUAAAUUCCGAUAAAGAAUUAAGUUAUGUAUUUAGAGAUAUUUUGUUUUUUUUUUCAUUUGUUCAAUUUGGUUAGUGGUGAUUUCUUAAAGACUCAAUCCAUGUGCGUUUAUGCAUUUUUCUUUUGCCUUAAUUUCUGUUUCUUGGGGAGUUUAUACAGAUUCUUAUUUUAUGCUUCACAUGCCACAUGAAAGAUCGAAGCAUUUUGUGUGAUUAGAACUGACUUGCAUCACAGUAACUUUAAACCACUGCCACAUUUUUAUAAUAACAGUCUGAGAUCUCCCUGAAGGAUUCAAAGCAUUUUAUUUUAUAUUAACCUCCUUUAAGUGGGUUUCGACACUACCACAAGUUCUUUAAAUACUAAAACGAUUUUGAGUCUUUUGUAUCAUCUGAUUGAAAUACCUGAAAGCACUCGUGGCUGCAAAAAUAUAUCGAUUUUGAGUAUGGCGUGCAUGUAAAUUAUAUCGAUUUUUUCUAUAUGACAAGUAAGACUCUCUUUUACAAUGGCACGGAUGCGUCAUUGAGUAAUCAUGAUUCUUGCUGGUAGUGCUUUGUUGUAUCAAUCUGCUAGCUAUUCAGCUUUCUUUCUUUCUUUCUUCUUUUUUUUUUUUUUUUUUUGUUUUCAAAUAGCUUGUGGUUGUAGAAAUAUUUCAAUUAAACUAUACUUAAGUACUUAUUUAGUAUAACUUCUUUACUAGCCAAAAUAAUUUUUUUUUGGUUUUUUAUAAUUUAAUUAUACUUUAACUAGAGUUUUUGGGAUUAAACAAGUGAUAAUUUCUCUCUAUUAAGAAAAACUCAAAAUUUUUUAAUUACUAGAAUGCGUCUAAAUUAAAUUACAAUUAUAGACACUAAAAUAUAGUAAAUUUUUUUUUUUACUCUUUAAAACUGUCUUUACAUUCGAUAUCAUAUUUUUUUCUUAAAAUCUAAAUUGAUAUUUUUAUUUUAUUUUUGAUUAAUCUUAGAACACAUAUAAAGUGAUUCAUAUUGAUUUUAUACUAACAAACUAUCAUAGCACAUUCGAAAAUAAUUAACUCGUUCUUAUUUGCAUAGUGAAAAAGGCAAAUAGCUCACCCAAAUGUUAAGGAACUGGAGAGCUGCUGCUGGAGACGAAAGGAUGUGAAAAGCAUGGUAAAGAAAAAUUGCAUAAUUCUCACUUAGAAGAGGAAGAAAAAAAAAAUACAAUUAGAAUGAGAGGUAGCCAGUAGCCAGUAGCCGCCACCACCACCAGUCAAACUAUUUCGACACACUAAUACUGUAAUACAUAUCAAAAUGCAAUAUCGGUCCUAACAAAAUGAAAAUAAAAAUUCAUUACGAAUAUGUGUUAAAGAUAUCCCAAGUAUUGAUGUGAUUGAAAUAUUUGAGAUUGAAGUAGAAAUAAGACUCAAAAUCAAUUGAGAGGAAUAAAUGAGAAACUCUAAUACUAAUAAAAUAUAUUCACAAAUCCUAAUGCUAAUUAAAAUCACGGAUUAAAAAAAAUAAUAUGAAUGAAUUACAGGCGCAACUGUUUCAUUAAAAAAUUAAUAAAAUCGUGUAUUAAUAUUUUGUACACAUACAUUUUUCCAUAUAUAACUUUUGGUAAUUUAGUUUUCCACUUAUCAUUUUUACUCCAAAAAAAUAAUUGAGAAUAUUAUUUAUGUUUUGGUGCAAAAUAUUUAAACAACAUAAAAAUUUUCAGUUUAAUAAAUCUAAACAAUUCUCAAGUUAUAAAUGAAUUUAAUGGGUUUAAUUAGUAAAAAUACUAUUAUUUUAUAAAUUGGGUUUAGUAAUGGUAUAUUGGGUAUUUAAAUGGGUUUGUUGAGUAAAUUUUAAAAUUUUAAAGUUCAAGGGUAGGUUUAUUUAGUAAAUGGGUUAAUGCAGCAAUUUUCAAACUAAAUUUUUGGAAAAAGAGGCUAUUGAGUUUUUUUUAAGAAAAAGAAUUAAAAUGUUGAGAAUACCUUUAUUUAAUUUUAUAAUCUAAUUUUAAAAAAUUUACCCAAUAAAUUUUAUAAUUUUUUAUAAAAAUUAUCAUUAACAUCCAAACAGCUGAAGAUUAAAAAAAAAAAAAGAAGGGAACUGUACUAGCAAAAGUUAGAUUAACAAUAAAUUUAGUCCAAAGAAUAAAGUUAUAGCUAAAAAGUGCUCCUAUCCUAUUUUUCUCUAUUUUAACAAUAAUCUUCCAAUCCAUUUUACAAUGGACUUAACAAAUGGGCUCAAUCUCUAAACUUCAUUUUCUUUUGCUAACCCAUGGCCAUUAGCCAGAAAGCCUAAAACAAUUUUAGGAUCACAUGUGUAAAUGGAACCCCAAGAUUGAUCAAGAAUUAACAAGACAAGAUGAAGAGAUGAUCUUGUAACUAAGAAUGAAGAAAUUGAAUCAAGACAGUACUCUAGUAAAACCCAGAAAACAGAGCUUGAAGAAUCACGCACAAAGCAGUAAAUUUGUAAAACCAGAAUUGGAGCUUCACUUCUCAAGAUAGACGAAACAGGAUACAAUCUAGCUUUGGUCAACUUCGUUUGGCCACGUCAUAAAGUCUUCCCCCACAGUCUUUCCCGCCAAAACAGAAAAGCUUUAAAAGCCAUUUACCCUCCUGAGUUACUUGCUCCUAUUACAUCAAGGCCCUGUAAGUCUAUAUUUAUUAUUACAAAAGCACCCUUAAACCGAGAUUUGAGAUAUUUUUUCAAAGAUCGAAGCGCAUGAUUUCACGGCUAUGUUGCAUAGUGAAUUUUAGUGCUUUACAGUUAAGGGAUAGUUUAAAUUCAUUACAAAGCAUUCGCAAAGAAAUUGUUUUUAAAUGAAACUCCUCGUCUUGACCAGAUUAUUUAUUAUUAUUAAAAAAAAAAUGUUCAAAACUUAGCCAAAGUGAUAAACUCGUAAUUAUUCUACAAAGGGAACAAUUUUGAACGGUGGGAAAUUCCAUAAUUAUGCUUUUCUGUGAAUUAUUUUAAAUAAAAUUAUAAAAAUUAAUAUAAAAUUAUAAUAAUGAUAGAGCCACAAACUCUUGUACAAAUUUAUUUUAUACAAACUCAUGUGGCAUGAUAAGAUUGGUUGAAUUAAAUAUUACUUGGCCCACAUGAUUUGUUUUUAUUAUUUUAUAUUUUUAUUCAACCAAUAAAUUAAUACCACGUCAGUUUGUACAAAAUAAAUUUAUACAAAAAUUUGUGACUCGAUCAUCACUCAUAAAAUUAAUACCCGGUAAAGACUGUAGAGAGACAAGUGCCCCCAACAGAAUCAAGUGAAUAUGCCCCACAAAGAUCACAUGAUCAUUUCUGUUCUUUUUCUUUUUGAUAAUUUUAUCUGUGGUUUCAACUUUUAUGCUUUAUUGUCGUAUCCCGUUGAGGGCUCCGCUGCACCCAUUACAACUUACCCCUAAAUUGCCUCUUACUAACUAAACCGUUAGAUUUUAUGGAAGCACGUUCAAUGUUGAAUUUUAAUUAUGUCAUCGAAUUUCGUUUAGCUCCUUAAACUCCAUUUUAUUUGUAAUUUCUUCAUAAAAUAUUCAAAGCUUCAUCAAGCUCCUGAUGGACCAUCAUGGCUAGGGGUGCAUUAGAGCCGAACUGAAAUAUGUUAGUUCAGUUCAGUUUGGUCAGUUUAAAUCGAAUGGUUUAGAAUAUAUAAACUGAUCAAUUUUAAUUUUGAAUUGAACCGAACCGAAAAUCAAUUGGUUCACUAUUAGUAUUUUUGUAUAAACAAGAAUGAUUAGUGAUUAUAAUUAAAUUGGACUAAAAAAAAUUCAAACUAAGGUGAAAAAUAUCAAAUCUUAGACAAUAUAAAAAAAAAUAUUAAAUUUUUUUAACCGAAACGAACCGAAUUAUUUUGACUCAGUUUGGUUCAUAAUUUUUUAAACCAAACUGAUUUAUUCCCACCCCCUAAUCGUGGCUCUCUAUCUUUAGUCAUUCACCCUUGAGUUUGAUGCCAAUUGUUGGGUUUCAAAUGAUUAUACACUCAAAUGGAACCCUCAUAACAAAAAACUAACAGAAACAAUAAGAACACGAUGUUAAAAUCUUAAAUCAAUCGCAAAAAAGCACCCAAAACAGAUCGAUUAGGAACAGUUAAGAACAAAAGAUUUGAUGGUUCAAAAUCAUAAUGUGACCUACGUACUUUCAUCCAAGAAUCAUACUAAUUGCUUUACUAGUUGUCAAACUCAAGAUCACAAGAUUGUUUAUCACUCUACAUAAAAAUUUUUUUUAGAAGAAAUACUCCCCAAUUUUUCUCUUAAUAGUUAUGAAUCAACACCCCUAGGAAGCCUGUUGAUUUACUUUUCCUUAUUUCCUAUGAUCGGUUGCUGCAACUUAAUCCUUGCCAAGCUCCAACAUAGUCCAAACACUUUUAACGGUACAGGCAUAGUGCACCUUCAGAAACUUUACAGCUCCUCUUAAAACCUCAGGCAUCGUAAGCACAUUAAGCAGCCGACAACACUCUUCUUCAUUUCUUCAUUGUCAAUUUCCUUCUUGGAACAUUGCUCCAUUGAGAGUCUGCUAGAAUUGCUCCAAUUAUUAUUAUUAUUUAAAAAAAAAAGAAAACCCUGCAAUAAGAGUAUAAGACUAAGCAACGGUCCUUUUUUUUUCCCCAUUCUUGAACCUAAAGUAUUUGAGUAUGCAAAUUAAUAAAUAAAUUCAUUUAUUUUUAUUAAAAUUUUGUAAAAUUAUAAUUUUUAAUAAAAAUAAUUAUUAAAAUUUUGUAAAAUCUAAAUUUAGAAAAAUUCAGUUGGGCACCUCUAUUUGAGAUUUAUUUUUUAUUAAAUUUAGGGAUAUUUUUAUAAUUAUAAUUUUUAAUUUUAAAAGUUUUUAUAAGAUAAAAUAGUCUUUUAAUUUAUUUAGGGGGUAAAAUUGGUGUUUUAUUAAAAUUAUUUAAUUGUGUUAAUGCAAAAGUGGCUAUUUGAUACAAAUGUGAAAAGAAAGGUGGUGCAAAAUAUAUGUUAAAAUUUUAUAUUGGUUGGAUGAACAUAAGCUAAAAUAAAGGUGGUGCAAUGAUAAUUUCCCUAUCCUAAAACUUAAUUGACUUAAUUCUUACGGUGCAAGGAAGAGGUUUCCAAGUUUAAAUCUAAAGGCUUGUAUUUAAUUUGGGGUUGGGAAAGCACUGAGAAAUAAAUGUAACUAAGGAAAAAAAAAAAGUCACGCAGUCCAAAUAAGUAGAUAUAUUUAAUAUGAGGUGGGGAUGGGUGAACUGUAAUUCAGAAAAAAAUAAAAUAAAAUUUUAUAUAAAGUUGAGGGUGUGUUUUAAUGGUUUCUUAUGCUGCGUUUAUUUUUUGGACUAGAGUGAGAAUUCUAAAAAGUGAGAAUCCUAUGAUUAGGUGUGUGGAGUGGGAGUGGGAGUAUGGUAUUUACUUAGACUAAAUAAAAGUAUGGAUUGUCAAUCAGAAUCUCAAUUAUUUGUUACUUUGUCUUGGAUUGAGAGUAAAUUAUUUUAAAUUACAAUUUUAUCCUUAUGUAAAGAAUUAUAAUUUGUAAUUAAAAAAUUAAUAAAAAUAUAUUGGAAAAUAAAAUAAAUAUUUUAUUAUAUUUAUAAAAUAAUAAUAAUUAAUAAAAUUCUUAAUUAUGUAAAUCAUAAUUUUUUAUUAAUUUAAAUUUAAAUUAUGUGAAUAAAAUUAUUAAUAAUAGCAACACAAAUGAAACAUUAUUAUUAAUAAUAUAGUAUAAAAUUAAUAUUUUUUUAGAAUAAAAUAUUUAUUAUUAUUAAAUAAAUAAAUAAUAUUUAUUAAAAUUAAUGUUUAAUAUUAUUAAUUUAAAUAUAAUAUUUAUUUAUUUUUAUUUUAUUUUAUUAAAUUUAAUAAAAUAAAUAUGUUAUAAUUAUUAUUUUUAAUAAAUAUGAUAUUAUUUAUUUUAUUAAAUAUUAUUUAUUUAUUUUAAUUAUGAGGGUAAAAAUGGAAGAGGGGGAGUGGAUUCCCACUCCCACCUCCCCCCAUGGGAGUGGGAAUCCCACUCUCCCCUUAAAAAUGGUAAGUAAAUAUUAGAAUGGGAAGAAUCUACACUCUACACUUUCUAGAAAAUAAACACUACCUUUAUUUAAAUCGAUUUGUUGGAUAUUUAGCUAAAAUGAGAGUAGCUCUCUAAUAAUUAUUGCAUUAUUACAAACAUAUCCAACGGUUAUAAUAGCGCGCUGAAUCAAUGCUUCAGAAGGAUGACAGUCUGAGUGAAAAGGAAAUAAACGCUUUCAAUUGAAUUACUACCACUACACUCCAAUACUCUAUUAUUGUUUGUGUGCUUGCUUGUGGACCUUUUUACUUCUUACUAUCAUUAUUGAAUUCCAUUUCCAAAUUUUCAGCAUACUUUUGCUUUCUUUCAGUAUCUUCAGUUUCUCUUUUGCUUGCUAUCAAUUCAGUUUUCUUCUUGUGAAGAUCGAACGGAACCAUGGUUGCUGUGGGAGAGAUCUUACUCAACGCCUUCUUUCAGGUGUUGUUUGACAGGUUGGCUUCCCGUGAUUUGCUCAGCUUUGUCCGUCAACUUGGAGGCGGGGACGAUUCCGAGCUCAAGAAGUGGGAAAGAAAGCUGAAGAUGAUUCAGGCGGUGCUCAACGAUGCAGAGGAGAAGCAACUGACCGACGAGGCCGUGAAGAUGUGGCUGGACGAUCUCCAAGACUUGGCUUAUGACGCUGAGGACAUUCUUGAGGAGUUUGCUACUCAAGCUUUGGAAAGCAAGUUGAUGGCGAAAAAUCAGGAUCGCAUUGGCCAGGUUCUUAGUUUCAUACCGGCUAGUUUGAAUCCGAAUGCUAUUAUGUCCAAUUAUAGCAUGGGAUCCAAGAUUAAAGAUAUUACUAGCCGGUUGGAGCAACUCUGCCAAGAUAGAAUUGAACUUGGGCUGCAACGGAUUGCUGGAGGGGCAUCAUCAACUACUUCUGCUGCACAUCAGAGGCGAGACAGUUCGAGUGUCCCAACAGAACGUGAAGUAUUUGGAAGAGAAGAAGAUAAGGCCAAAAUUCUUGAUAUGGUAUUGACCGAUACCCCAAGUGAUCGUGCCAACUUUGUUGUAAUACCCAUUGUUGGCAUGGGCGGGAUAGGAAAAACAACUCUUGCCCGGGAGGUCUACAAUGACAAGGCCGUUGAAGAUUCCAAGUUUGAUGUAAAAGCAUGGGUUUGUGUCUCUGAUGUCUUUGAUAUUUUGGGCAUCUCAAAGGCACUUCUCCAGUCAAUCACCUCCGCAGCUAGUGAUCUCAAGACUUUAAAUGAGGUGCAGGUUCAACUGAAAAAAGCAGUUGACGGAAAAAGAUUCUUGCUGGUCUUAGAUGAUGUUUGGAACGAGAACUACAACUUGUGGGAAGACUUAAAAGCUCCGUUCCUGGAUGCUGCACCAAACAGCAAGAUGAUCGUCACCACACGCAAUUCAAGUGUUGCAUCAACAAUGAGACCCAUUGAACAUUUCAAUCUCAAGAGUCUGUUGGAUGACGAUUGCUGGUCCAUUUUUAUAAAGCAUGCAGUUGAAGGUGGAGAUCUUAACGAGGAUCAAAUUUCAGAAUCAUUCCGCAAGAAAGUUGUUGGCAAGUGUGGAGGCUUGCCUCUGGCAGCAAAAACUCUCGGGGGCCUUCUGCGUACGACGAGGCAUGAUGGGUGGGAUGGUAUAUUGGAUAGCAAAAUAUGGGAAUUACAUCAACAUAGCAGCAUUCUCCCUGUGUUAAGAUUGAGUUACCAUCAUCUUCCGUCUCAUUUGAAAAGAUGUUUUGCUUUUUGUGCCAUCUUUCCAAAAGAUUAUGAAUUCACUGAGAAGGAGCUGACUUUCUUAUGGAUGGCUGGAGGUAUUAUUCGACAGUCAAGAAACAAUGAGCAGCUGGAAGAUUUGGGCAGCAAGUGCUUUGGUGAUCUAGUGUCAAGGUCAAUUUUUCAACAAACAGCAAUCUCUGAUAGUUCUAAAUUUGUAAUGCACGACCUUAUCCAUGAUCUUGCUGAAUUGGUCUCUGGAGGAACCAUAUUUAGGUCAGAGGAGGCCAAUACUCUAUCAAGAAGAUUUGAAAGGGUUCGCCAUUCUUCCUAUACCCGUGAUUGGUAUGAUGGUAAAAAUAAGUUCGAGGUUUUCAAUGAAAUUGAACAUCUACGAACAUUCUUGCCGUUAAGAGGUAACUAUUGUACUAGUUACAUAACUCGACCGAUUCUAUCUGAUAUGCUGCCAAAGUUCAAAAGGUUGAGAACGCUAUCUUUACAAGGAUACUGUAUUGGUGAGUUACCAAUUCCAUUUGAAGAUUUGAGACUUUUAAGGUUCCUCAACCUUGCUGACACUGACAUAAGAAGUUUACCUGACUCAACAUGCAAAUUGCUGAACUUGGAAAUUCUGAUAUUAAGAAAUUGUUCCCGUUUGAUAAAGCUUCCGCAGAAAAUGAGGAAUUUGAUCAAUUUAUGCCAUCUGGAUAUAAGAGGUGCGAAGUUGCUGAAGGAGAUGCCAGUCGGAAUGAAAGAGCUGAAGAAGCUUCAAACAUUGUCCAAUUUUAUUGUAGGCAAGGGUGAAUCCGCAUCUGGUUUGGAAGAUUUAAAAAGUUUAAACCUUCUUUGUGAUGAACUUUGCAUUGCUGGAUUAGAGAAUGUGAAUAAUCCACAGAAUGCAAGAGAAGCCGCAUUAUGUGAGAAGCACAAUCUUGAAGCAUUGACUCUAACAUGGUGGCCUCAAUUUGACAGUCCUCGAGGUGUAGUAGUGGAAGAGAAUGUACUUGACGUUUUGCAGCCUCAUAAAUGUAUAAAAAAGGUGGCAAUCAGGAACUAUGGUGGUGCAAGAUUUCCACCUUGGAUAGGAGAUACUUUAUUCUCCAAGAUAGAGCUCCUUGAAUUGAAGAACUGUGACAAUUGUGUGUCUUUGCCAUCGCUUGGCCUAUUGAGUUCACUUAAACACCUUGCUGUUAAAGGGCUGAAGAAACUAAAAAGCAUAGAGUCUGAGGUUUAUGGGGAGGGUUUGUCAAUGCCUUUUCCAUCGUUGGAGGUUCUAAGUUUUGAGAAUUUGCCUGAAUGGGAGUAUUGGGACACCAAUAUCAGAGGAAAUGUGCUCGUUGAAAUGUUUCCUCGUCUCCAUAAACUUUCCAUUGUGGAAUGUCCAAAACUCUCUGGGGAACUGCCUGAGCUCCUGCCCUCCUUGGAGACACUUGUUGUUAUUAAAUGUGAAAAUUUGGUAGUUCCAUUGUCUCGCUAUCCGAUGCUCUGCAGAUUAGAAGUUGAUGAGUGCAAGGAACUAGCGUGCGGGACUCCAAUUGAUUUCAAGUUGAUAAAGUCUGUGACUAUUUCAAAUAGUUCCUUAGACAUGGAUGGAUGCAAGGGGAUGCUAUACGAUGGUCCAGCUAGCUCUUCACUGCCAAAGCCCACGAUUACUACAAAUGUUUUGGAGUUUGGAAAAUUAUUGAAGCCUGGAUUUCAGAUAUUAGAAACGUUGGUAAUUGGCAAUUCUGAACAGCUCAAGUCAUGGAGGCAGCAUGGGGAUUUUCUAGAAGAAUAUAUGGUCGCUCGCCAAAGGUUUAAGAAACCAGUACAAGGGCUGAAUAUGCUCGCUUCCCCUGAAGAGGUAACAAUUGAAGAAAGUUGCGUACGUCUUGUUUUGUUUCCAGAGAUCAAUUUCUUUCCCAGAAAUCUGCGCUCUCUUCUAAUUAACAACAACACUGCUUUCAAAUCCUUACCCGAGGAAAUGAUGGAAAACAAUUCACAACUCGAAAGGUUGUAUAUCAGAGAUUGCGACUCUCUAACAUUCAUCGCAAGACGGAGGCUACCAGCAUCUCUUAAAAGGCUUGAGAUAGAAAAUUGUGAGAAAUUGCAACGUCUGUUCGAUGAUGAAGAGGAUGCUUCUUCUUCUUCUUCUCCUUCAUCCUCGUCUUCCCCAGUGAUGCUGCAACGCCUGAAUAUAAAGAACUGCCCAGAGCUCACCAGUUUAUCAUCGGGUGUCCAAUUCCUUGAGGCGCUUGAAGGCCUCGAGAUAUGGGAUUGUCCAAAGCUGGAGUCAAUACCGGAUGGCCUGCACAAUCUUAAAUGUUUACAGAGCAUUCAUAUAGAUGGAUGUCCAAGUCUUGUUUCCUUGCCCAAUGACAUGCACAAACUGAACUCUCUUCGAGAUUUAAACAUACGGGCGUGUCCAAUAUCGUUUCCAGAAGAAGGUUGUCCUACCAAUCUAACAUCACUUACACUUGGAUAUGUCGAAAUGUAUAAGACACUCGUCCAGUGGGGGUUGCACAGGCUUACCUCUCUUAGAAGCCUCGACAUUUUUGGAUGUGAUGAUGAAGCAGAGUGUUUUCCAGACGAGGAGAUAGGAAUGACGCUGCCCACCUCUCUCACUCAUCUGCACCUUUUUGAUUUCGAAAAAUUGAGAUCUCUGUCUUCGACGGGUUUUCAGAGCCUCACCUCUCUUCAAUCUUUGGAUAUCUGGUUUUGCCCAAAUCUCACAUCAUUCCCAAAGGUGGGCUUUCCAUCCUCACUUGUGGAAUUACGCAUUAGAGAUUGUCCAAAGCUUAAAAAAGCGUGCAAAAGAGAUCAAGGAAAAGAGUGGCCCAAAAUUGCUCACAUCCCUUGCGUUGAGAUAGACGAUAAAUUCAUAUACCAUCCAAAAUCAGAGGUGUAGAGUGUAUUAUUAAGGUCAGUUGAUUUAUGUUAUCCACCAUAACAAGCUCCUCCUUUUUUUUUAAAUAAUAAUUUUGCAGUCACUCGCGUGAUUCCGUUUUCACAAGUCAGAUUGUAUGUUGAGGCUAUUUGCCUUUUAAUCGCAGAUUAAAUUAUAACACUUAUCUUAAAAUUUAAUACCAUAGACAGAUAGACGAUUUUUUAAUCCAAAGUUUUUUUAUUCACUUCAGUUAGCAUUUUUUUUUUCCCCAAAUCAUGCAAGCCGAGAGUUUCAAUCAACAGAAUUUUAUUCACUCAUUGACUUUUCAACUGCUGUGGUUAUUUAUGGGUGAAAGAUAAAUUUCUUAGAUGGUAGAUAUAUCGACAUUUUAGAUUUCAGAUAUUUGUCACCAAUUUCAUUCCUUUUUUUAAAAUUUUUUUUAAGCAAGUUUGACUAAUUUUAACCAGAAUUGGAGUAUAAUAUUUUGGAGCAAGCAUACUUGAAAUUUCUGUCUUCAAUUUUUUUGAUGCUUUUUUAAUUUUGAUCUAGUAAAAAUACAUAGCCUUCACCGGCAGGAUUCUAGUCUUGGCUUUCACCUCUCUAACUCAUCUGUCCCUAUUGGGAUUCCAGAAAUUUAAAUUUCUGUCUUCAAUGGGUUUUCAAAGCCUCACCUCUCUUCGAUUUUUGUGGAUUGGGAAUUGCACAAAUCUCACAUCAUUUCCCGAGGUCGAGGAAAAGAGCGGCCCAAACUAUCAGCGGUGUUGAUUCUCUUAUUAAGGUCAGCUGAUUUCUAUUAUCCACUCUGACAAUCUCCUAUUAGUGUUUUUUUUUUAAAAAAUUUGCAGUUCUGUAUAAUUGAAAUGCCACUCACUUGUUUCCUUCUUCACAGGUCAGAUAGUAUGUUAAAGCUAUUAGUGCUGCCUCAUAGGUUGAUUACUCACAGAUGAAAUCAUAACUUUUAUCUUAAAAUUUAAUAGCAUACACAGAUAGACGAUUUUUAGUCCAAAGUUUUUUUUAUUCACUUCAAUCAAAAUUUUAGAUUGCAGAUUUUUGUCGAGUAUUUUCAUUCCAAUUUUUUCAUUUUUUAUUUUAAACCAGAAUUGGAGUAUAAAAUUUUGGAGCGCGCAUACUCUGAUGCAUGCAAUUAACUGUUUUUAAUCGUUGGAUUUUGAAAUUAAUGAUGGUAAGAUGUGUACUUAUUCUUUCUUCCAACAACCUUGCCUUCUUUCUUCGGUCGCAUAUCUAAUGAAUAUUUCUCUGUUUAGUUAAGGAUGAAUGCUUGGAGUGGGGUACUUGGUAACAUUUCUGCCUUAGAUGAAUCCUUGAAGAAAUGCCCGCAGUUCCUGAGACCAAAUACAGGUCUGAUUCAAAACAGCACCUUUCCCAGAAAAUAUGAUCCAAGGCAAAGUCAUGUUCUGAUAAUGUUUCCUUAAGUACUAAGUUGCAAGGAAACUUGAUUCAUUAACUACAGUUUUUUAUUUUUAGGACCUUGUAUCUGAAAGGUUCAGUGUUUUUUUUUUUCAAAUUUAUUGUUCAGAUCUCAGAGGAGUAUAUGGUUUAGAUUACAAAACACCCAUGAUUAAUUUCAUUUUUUUUUUAAUUUCAGGGAGAAGAAGUGGUCAGUUUCAAUCCGGAAUUGGAAUAUGGCAAUUUGGUUCAAGCAAACACACCUGGUCACUUGGUCAGUGGUCACUUGGUCAGCGAACCUGAACUUUACGCAGUUUUUUCAACUCAGUGAUUUUUGGAACGCAUAUUGGUGUAAGGAAAUCAAAAGAAAUUUAUGCAUUGUCAAAUUCUGAUAUUUGCUAUAUAUUAUACAUUCUAAAGUUUCUCCAGUUUGUUCUCAGAUUACCAUCAUUUUUUGCUUUCACCAACCAAACAAAAACAAAAUGAGUGGCUUUCCGGUGGAUAUUUAAUCGGAGGUAUGACUGGAUUUUUUUCACUUCUGUAAAUCUUGCAUUUUAAACUGGCAAAUUUAACUUUAAUUUUAAUAGGACUUUGUUGGUACCUUGUGUUCCAGAAACUAGAAAGAUGUGUAGUUUUCAGAUAAAGGGGCUUGUAAAUUCUCUAGUAAGAAUCCAAUAAUUUGCUUUUGCACGUUCAUUUUAUUUGUGGAUCCUUGCAUCUGAAUUUGAUCAAUCCAAAAGGAAUUGCUUUUAGACAGAAGAAGAAUAGCAGUACCUAGCCUAUGACAUAGUAUAUGGACCUGCAAACCUGAAACUAUUAGUUUGAGGUAAAAAAUUCAUGACCCUCACAUGUUAACUUCUUCUAGUUACUUUCAUGAAAAACACAUUUAAGAAAUUUGCAAUUUUUUGUUAGUUUCGUAUCCGAUGUUGUUUUCUGUUUUAGCAUUUGUAGAAUCUACUGUAUUAUAUUUUGGCAGUUGCAGUAUCUGAGGUAUGUUUUGCAUUUAACUUGCUUUGUUUGUUUUGCUUGUGACUUAAGAACACCAAUAUUUGCCAGAGAUUUAGAGAAGCAUAUCAAGAUGCUUGGCAAACUUGACAAACUUCAAGAUCCUCCAUUCUUCACAACGCAAAACUUGUGAGUACACCUAUGCCCGCAAUUAUUGUGAAAUGCUUGCAAUUUUGAUGCACUGAAAUGGUUUGUUGAUGCAAAGGUUUAAACUUUUAAGAUUCACCCUGCAGGGUAGUUGGAUGCUGUAUAAUCGAAAAGCGACCAACAUCAAGAAUUAUGACUCCAAGACCGGGUUUGCAUUAAUUCAAUCAGCUGAAAUCAUGAUGCAAAUGACACUAUCAGCUGGACUUAGAGACCAGUCAGAUCAAUCAUCCUUUUAUCAACAGUUAAUGUCAUGAUGGUGGCUAUCGGAGGAAACAAAGGAUGUGUCGGAAUCAAUAUGAACAGUGAGAAGAAUGAGAGGAGCUUUGAUUACAAGUAGGCUCAAUGAACUCAUGCUGGUAAGUGGUAAUUAAAGAAAUUUGUACGCUUAGUAGAGUUUCAAUAUUUUCUGUUUGGGAUAUAGUUGAUAAUUUGAUACUCUGAUUAAGAAGCCUGAUUAUAGUAGCUGACUUUUUUUUUGUGGUUUGCUGUUGUUUAUUCUUUCGAUUAAUUUCAACAUUAGGUUGAUCUGUUGAAGAACAAACUUGGGUUUGAUUAUGCUUUAACUACAAGGAAGAGCCAGGCUUGGAUGCAGGCGUUCAGCUUUUAAUGGGUAAGAACAUAUGUAUGCUUUAACCAUGUUUCUCACUUAUUACAAUGCAUGCAUUGAAGGCAUCUGAGCUGAUCCUGAAAAUGUGAUGGAAAUACUUCUCUGUUUACAUAAAACAGGACAAGAGAUCUCUGAUCAUGCCUGAGAAUUCGUUGCAUUUAAAAUUUCUACCAUUGCCAAAAAUAGAAUAAACUAGGGAUAGAUUAGCUUAAGACUCAAUUUUGAGAAGGAAGUUUGCACAUGCAGCCUAAAAAAUCAUGUCCGUGUUGUAUACUUGUAUGUUUCUUUGGGAAAUGAAAGAUUCUGUGUGUUCUUUUGUUUCAAGUUUGCUGAAAUCACAUUUGUUUUCUUAGAUGCUUUUGGGAAGGUAACAACAUCAAUUUCAUAAAUGCUGGGGUAAGAUGCAUCACGCAGUGCUACUCAACAUGAGAAUUCCCGGCCGCAUUACCUGUAUGUUGAGUGAUCGCACAGUACAACCUUUAGAAGCUUGUAAGGAGUAGACAACUAGAUGCGAAUAGUUUCAAUAUGGAUUCGCAUCAAAUGAUCUCUUGCCAGUGAUUACUAUAACCCCUAUCCCAAAAUUCUUGGCAUUGGUCAUACCAAUAAUGAAGUAUUGUGUACGUUGAAGACAUAGCUCAAGGCCUUGCGAAAGCUCCGUCAGCCUUUGUAUUGGAAAACAGUUGGUUGUAGUUGCUUCUGAGUGAUAUUAUUAAUAGAUACUGUAAAAAUGAACUGUGCCACUCAUUUUCAGAGCCCUGUUAAGAUGUGUUGGUAAUGUGUUUGAAGGUUGUUUGAUUUAUGUUGUAUUCAGCUACAAAUCAAAGAUUCAGAACAUGGUUAUGUUACUGGUUUCCAAAUCAAAAAAAUGCCUUGUGAUGUUAGUGUUCAUUUUUUUCACAGGAGAUCAGGUUCCCUGUUGAUGAAUCAAGAAGGCAAACGCAUCCAUGUCUUAAGUUCAAAUGUGUCUCUUCUAUUUUCUAUUACUGACUCCUUUAUUUUGAUUUCUUCAUUGUAAUGGAAUUGGUUUUUUAUUCCAAAUUAGUCAAAACCUCCUAGAGUCAUUAAGUUCUGUUAGCAUUUGAAGAUAGAACUAGAACUAAAUGAUUGACUGGAUUAAAUUCCGAUAAAGAAUUAAGUUAUAUAUUUAGAGAUAUUAUGUUUUUUUUUUUUUCAUUUGUUCAAUUUGGUUAGUGGUGAUUUCUUAAAGACUCAAUCCAUGUGCGUUUAUGCAUUUUUCUUUUGCCUUAAUUUCUGUUUCUUGGGGAGUUUAUACAGAUUCUUAUUUUAUGCUUCACAUGCCACAUGAAAGAUCGAAGCCUUUUGUGUGAUUAGAACUGACUUGCAUCACAGUAACUUUAAAUCACUGCGACAUUUUUAUAAUAACAGUCUGAGAUCUCCCUGCAGGAUUCAAAGCAUUUUAUUUUAUAUUAAACUCCUUUACGUGGGUUUGGACACUACCACAAGUUCUUUAAAUACUAAAACGAUUUUAAGUCUUUUGUAUCAUCUGAUUUAAAUACAUGAAAGCACUCGUGGCUGCAAAAAUACAGUUGGGGCUAUUUCUAAAGUCUUCAACAGCAUUUUCUUUUUAACCUUUAUCCUCAUGGUUGUUUUUGCAGUUGUUCUUUAAGAAAACAUUUAAAAGGUUCUCUUUAUGGAUUUUUGAAAAUAAUUUUAACAUGAGCAAUUUUCAGAAGCACUUUAGAUGUCUGGCAUUUAGGAAAUUUUAUUUCGGUGUCACAUAAAAUACUUAGGAAGUUAAAUUUAUUUAUUUAUGAGCAUGUGCCAGUGCCCAGUGGCAUCCUCUUCACUUGUGAUAGUCAAAUGUAUUAUACGAUACAAUAUUAGCUUGACUGUAGCACAGAGGAGAAUAGGGUUGGUGUUGGUCUGAACCAGCUUAUGUAACAGCUGCCAAAGGAUAAUUUAAUUGUACUUUGAGUAAAGCUUUUGCGAAUUAAACAAGUGAUAAUUUGUUUUUAUUAAGAAAAACUUAAGGAAUUAGGCUAUUUUAACUGACCAAAUUACACAUUAAAAAUUCAUUUACAAAAAUAGUUUUUAGUUAUUAAAAUAUUCCUAAAUUAAAUUAUAAUUAUGGACACUAAAAUAUUUUUUUUAUAUUUUACUCUUUGAAACUGUCUUUAUAUUCGAUAUUAUAUUUUUUUCUUAAACUCUAAAUUGAUUUUUUUUUUUGAUUAAUUUUAAAACACCUAUAAAGUGAUUCAUAUUGAUUUUAUACUAACAAACUAUUAUAGCACAUUCGAAAAAUAAUUAAAUCGUUCUUAUUUACAUAGUGAAAAUGCAAAUAGCUCGUUCAAAUGUUAAGGAAUUGGAGAGCUGCUGCUGGAGAUGAAAGAUGUGAAUUAAACAUCAGAAAAAAAAUUAUGUUUACUAUCUUGCCAGACCAAGCACCGAAAAGCAUCGUAAAGAAAAAUUAGAUAAUUUAGAAGAUAAAGCACGUGGAAUGGAGGCAGAAAGCAAGUAAUGAUAACUCUUUCGACAAACUAAUAUAUACCAAAAUGCAAUAUCAAAAAUGAAAAUAAAAAUUCAUUACGAAUACGUGUUAAAGAUAUCCCAAGUAUAGAUGUGACUGAAAUAUUUGAGAUUGAAGAAGAAUUAAGACUCAAAAUCAAUUGGGAGGAAUAAAUGAGAAACCUCAAUACCAAAAAAUACACGCGCAAAUCCUAAUACUAAUUGUAAUUGCAGAUAAAUAGCAUAAUACGAAUAAAUUCCAUGGGCAACUAUUUCAUUGAGAAAUUAAUUAAAUCGUGUAUUAAUAUUUUGUAUACAUAUAUUUUUCUAUAUAUGACUUUCGGUAAUUUAAUUUUCCACUUAUCAUUUUUACUCCAAAAAAAUAAUUGAGAAUAUUAUUUAUGUUUUGGUGCAAAAUAUUUGAACAAUAUACAAAUUUUCAGUUUAAUAAAUCUAAACAUCUAUUAAGUUAUAAAUGAAUUUAAUGGGUUUAAUUAAUAAAAUUACUAUUAUUAUAUAAAUUGGAUUUAGUAAUGGUACAUUGGGUGGGUUUGUUGAGUAAAUUUUAAAAUUUUGAAAUUUAAGGAUGGGUUUAUUUAGUAAAUGAGUUAAGGGAGUAGUUUGUUGGGAUUCACAUAACGCCACCAAAUUCAAAUGUAAAAUUUAUGGAAAAAGAAGCUAUUGAGUUAUUCUUUUUAAAAAAAGAAUUAAAAUGUCAAGAAUACCUUUAUUUAAUUUUAUAAUCUUAUUUUAUAGUCAUAUUUUAUUUCCACCUUAACAUAAUUUUAAAAAACCUUAACUAAUAAAUUCUAUAUUUUUUUUAUAAAAGUUAUCAUUAAUAUCCAAACGGCUAAAGAUUUUUUUUUUUAAAAAAAAAGAAACUAUGCUUACAAAAGUUGUAUACAUUAACAAUAAAUUUAGUCCAAAGAAUAAAGUUAUUCCAAACAAGCACUCCUAUUCAUCUUGCUAAUGAAUCAAGAUGACUGAAUCCAUUCUCUAAGCCAAAUCUAUUUUCACUUCUAGGUCAGAAAUUGUCAUUAAAAAAGUGUUUGAUAAAAUAUGCUCUGGGAACACUAAUUCGUCAGAUGGUUACUCCAAGUUUAUGAAAUCAAUGGGGUUUCAUCAUAUUCAUAACAUUCUUCUUUAAUGUCUAUUCUAACAAAGAAAUUACUAGAAAACUUUUACUAGAAAAACUAACCACAAUUCAUCAUUCAUUUAUAUCUUAAGUAAGCGUAAGAUUUUAUCAUUAAAAUCUCAUCAUGAAAAAACUCAUGGGAGAAAAACUAUAAAAAUUGAAGAAAAAAGAGUAUGGCGUGCAUGUAAAUUAUAUCGAUUUUAUCUAUAUGACAAAUAAGACUCUCUUUUACAAUGGCACGGAUGCUUCAUUGAGUAAUCAUGAUUCUUGCUGGUAGUGCUUUGUUGUAUCAAUCUGCUAGCUAUUCAGCUUUCUUUCUUUCUUUCUUCUUUUUAUUUUUUUUGUUUUCAAAUAGCUUGUGGUUGUAGAAAUAUUUCAAUUAAACUAUACUUAAGUACUUAUUUGGUAUAACUUCUUUACUAGCCAAAAGAUUUUUUUUUUGGUUUUUUAUAAUUUAAUUAUACUUUAACUAGAGUUUUUGGGAUUAAACAAGUGAUAAUUUCUCUCUGUUAAGAAAAACUCAAACGGUAGGGUUAUCUCAAUCCACCAAACUAUUUAUUAAAAAUCCACUUAUGAAAAUAAUUUUUAAUUAUUAGAAUGCCUCUAAAUUAAAUUACAAUUAUAGACACUAAAAUAUAGUAAAAAAAAUUUUUUUUUACUCUUUAAAACUGUCUUUACAUUCGAUAUCAUAUCUUUUUCUUAAAAUCUAAAUUGAUUUUUUUUUUAUUAAUCUCAGAACACAUAUGAAGUGAUUCAUAUUGGUUUUAUACUAACAAACUAUCAUAGCACAUUCGAAAAUAAUUAACUCGUUCUUAUUUGCAUAGUGAAAAGGCAAAUAGUUCAUCCAAAUGUUAAAGAAUUGGAGAGCUGCUGCUGGAGAUGAAAGAUGUGAAAAGCAUGGUAAAGAAAAAUUACAUAAUUCUCACUUAGAUGAGGAAGAAAAAAAAAAGAAUACAAUUAGAAUGAGAGGUAGCCAAUAGCCACUAGCCGCCGCCACCGCCACCAGUGAAACUAUUUCACAUAAUAGAAGAUAAAGCACGCGUAAUGGAGGCAAAAAGCAAUUAAUGAUAACUCUUUUCGACACACUAAUACAUAUCAAAAUGCAAUAUCGGUCCUAACAAAAUGAAAAUAAAAAUUCAUUACGAAUAUGCGUUAAACAUAUCCCAAGUAUUGAUGAUGUGAUUGAAAUAUUUGAGAUUGAAGUAUAAAUAAGACUCAAAAUUAAUUGAGAGGAAUAAAUGAGAAACUCUAAUACUAAUAAAAUACAUUCACAAAUCCUAAUGCUAAUUAAAAUCACGGAUUAAAAAAAAUAAUAUGAAUGAAUUACAGGCGCAACUGUUUCAUUAAGAAAUUAAUUAAAUCGUGUAUUAAUAUUUUGUACACAUACAUUUUUCCAUAUAUAACUUUUGGUAAUUUAGUUUUCCACUUAUCAUUUUACUCCAAAAAAAUAAUUGAGAAUAUUAUUUAUGUUUUGGUGCAAAAUAUUUAAACAACGUAUAAAUUUUCAGUUUAAUAAAUCUAAACAUUUCUCAAGUUGUAAAUGAAUUUAAUGGGUUUAGUUAGUAAAAAUGCUAUUAUUAUAUAAAUUGGGUUUAGUAAUGGUAUAUUGGGCAUUUAAAUGGGUUUGUUGAGUAAAUUUUAAAAUUUUAAAAUUUAAGGGUGGGUUUAUUUUAGUAAAUGGGUUAAGGCAGCAAUUUCCCAAACUAAAAUUUUUAGAAAAAGAGGCUAUUUAGUUUUUUUUUUUAAAAAGAAUUAAGAUGUUGAGAAUACCUUUAUUUACUUUUAUAAUCUUAUUUUAAAAAAUUUACCCAAUAAAUUUUAUAAUUUUUUACAAAAAUUAUCAUUAACAUCCAAACAGCUAAAGAUUAAAAAAAAAAAAAAAGAAGGGAACUGUACUAGCAAAAGUUAGAUUAACAAUAAAUUUAGUCCAAAGAAUAAAGUUAUAGCUAAAAAGUGCUCCUAUCCUAUUUUUCUCUAUUUUAACAAUAAUCUUCCAAUCCAUUUUACAAUGGACUUAACAAAUGGGCUCAAUCUCUAAACUUCAUUUUCUUUUGCUAACCCAUGGCCAUUAGCCAGAAAGCCUAAAACAAUUUUAGGAUCACAUGUGUAAAUGGAACUCCAAGAUUGAUCAAGAAUUAACAAGACAAGAUGAAGAGAUGAUCUUGUAACUAAGAAUGAAGAAAUUGAAUCAAGACAGUACUCUAGUAAAACCCAGAAAACAGAGCUUGAAGAAUCACGCACAAAGCAGUAAAUUUGUAAAACCAGAAUUGGAGCUUCACUUCUCAAGAUAGACGAAACAGGAUACAAUCUAGCUUUGGUCAACUUCGUUUGGCCACGUCAUAAAGUCUUCCCCCACAGUCUUUCCCGCCAAAACAGAAAAGCUUUAAAAGCCAUUUACCCUCCUGAGUUACUUGCUCCUAUUACAUCAAGGCCCUGUAAGUCUAUAUUUAUUAUUACAAAAGCACCCUUAAACCGAGAUUUGAGAUAUUUUUUCAAAGAUCGAAGCGCAUGAUUUCACGGCUAUGUUGCAUAGUGAAUUUUAGUGCUUUACAGUUAAGGGAUAGUUUAAAUUCAUUACAAAGCAUUCGCAAAGAAAUUGUUUUUAAAUGAAACUCCUCGUCUUGACCAGAUUAUUUAUUAUUAUUAAAAAAAAAUGUUCAAAACUUAGCCAAAGUGAUAAACUCGUAAUUAUUCUACAAAGGGAACAAUUUUGAACGGUGGGAAAUUCCAUAAUUAUGCUUUUCUGUGAAUUAUUUUAAAUAAAAUUAUAAAAAUUAAUAUAAAAUUAUAAUAAUGAUAGAGCCACAAAUUCUUGUACAAAUUUAUUUUAUACAAACUCAUGUGGCAUGAUAAGAUUGGUUGAAUUAAAUAUUACUUGGCCCACAUGAUUUGUUUUUAUUAUUUUAUAUUUUUAUUCAACCAAUAAAUUAAUACCACGUCAGUUUGUACAAAAUAAAUUUAUACAAAAAUUUGUGACUCGAUCAUCACUCAUAAAAUUAAUACCCGGUAAAGACUGUAGAGAGACAAGUGCCCCCAACAGAAUCAAGUGAAUAUGCCCCACAAAGAUCACAUGAUCAUUUCUGUUCUUUUUCUUUUUGAUAAUUUUAUCUGUGGUUUCAACUUUUAUGCUUUAUUGUCGUAUCCCGUUGAGGGCUCCGCUGCACCCAUUACAACUUACCCCUAAAUUGCCUCUUACUAACUAAACCGUUAGAUUUUAUGGAAGCACGUUCAAUGUUGAAUUUUAAUUAUGUCAUCGAAUUUCGUUUAGCUCCUUAAACUCCAUUUUAUUUGUAAUUUCUUCAUAAAAUAUUCAAAGCUUCAUCAAGCUCCUGAUGGACCAUCAUGGCUAGGGGUGCAUUAGAGCCGAACUGAAAUAUGUUAGUUCAGUUCAGUUUGGUCAGUUUAAAUCGAAUGGUUUAGAAUAUAUAAACUGAUCAAUUUUAAUUUUGAAUUGAACCGAACCGAAAAUCAAUUGGUUCACUAUUAGUAUUUUUGUAUAAACAAGAAUGAUUAGUGAUUAUAAUUAAAUUGGACUAAAAAAAAUUCAAACUAAGGUGAAAAAUAUCAAAUCUUAGACAAUAUAAAAAAAAAUAUUAAAUUUUUUUAACCGAAACGAACCGAAUUAUUUUGACUCAGUUUGGUUCAUAAUUUUUUAAACCAAACUGAUUUAUUCCCACCCCCUAAUCGUGGCUCUCUAUCUUUAGUCAUUCACCCUUGAGUUUGAUGCCAAUUGUUGGGUUUCAAAUGAUUAUACACUCAAAUGGAACCCUCAUAACAAAAAACUAACAGAAACAAUAAGAACACGAUGUUAAAAUCUUAAAUCAAUCGCAACGGUCCUUUUUUUUCCCCAUUCUUGAACCUAAAGUAUUUGAGUAUGCAAAUUAAUAAAUAAAUUCAUUUAUUUUUAUUAAAAUUUUGUAAAAUUAUAAUUUUUAAUAAAAAUAAUUAUUAAAAUUUUGUAAAAUCUAAAUUUAGAAAAAUUCAGUUGGGCACCUCUAUUUGAGAUUUAUUUUUUAUUAAAUUUAGGGAUAUUUUUAUAAUUAUAAUUUUUAAUUUUAAAAGUUUUUAUAAGAUAAAAUAGUCUUUUAAUUUAUUUAGGGGUAAAAUUGAUGUUUUAUUAAAAUUAUUUAAUUGUGUUAAUGCAAAAGUGACUAUUUGAUACAAAUGUGAAAAGAAAGGUGGUGCAAAAUAUAUGUUAAAAUUUUAUAUUGGUUGGAUGAACAUAAGCUAAAAUAAAGGUGGUGCAAUGAUAAUUUCCCUAUCCUAAAACUUAAUUGACUUAAUUCUUAUGGUGCAAGGAAGAGGUUUCCAAGUUUAAAUCUAAAGGCUUGUAUUUAAUUUGGGGUUGGGAAAGCACUGAGAAAUAAAUGUAACUAAGGAAAAAAAAAAAGUCAUGCAGUCCAAAUAAGUAGACAUAUUUAAUAUGAGGUGGGGAUGGGUGAACUGUAAUUCAGAAAAAAUAAAAUAAAAUUUCAUAUAAAGUUGAGGGUGUGUUUUAAUGGUUUCUUAUGCUGCGUUUACUUUUUGGACUAGAGUGAGAAUUCUGAGAAGUGGGAAUCCUGUGAUUAGGUGUGUGGAGUGGGAAUGAGAGUAGGGUAUUUACUUAGACUAAAUAAAAAUAUGGAUUGUCAAUCAGAAUCUCAAUUAUUUGUUACUUUGUCUUGGAUUGAGAGUAAAUUAUUUUAAAUUACAAUUUUAUCCUUAUGUAAAGAAUUAUAAUUUGUAAUUAAAAAAUUAAUAAAAAUAUAUUGGAAAAUAAAAUAAAUAUUUUAUUAUAUUUAUAAAAUAAUAAUAAUUAAUAAAAUUCUUAAUUAUGUAAAUCAUAAUUUUUUAUUAAUUUAAAUUUAAAUUAUGUGAAUAAAAAUUAUUAAUAAUAGCAACACAAAUGAAACAUUAUUAUUGAUAAUAUAGUAUAAAAUUAAUAUUUUUUUAGAAUAAAAUAUUUAUUAUUAUUAAAUAAAUAAAUAAUAUUUAUUAAAAUUAAUGUUUAAUAUUAUUAAUUUAAAUAUAAUAUUUAUUUAUUUUUAUUUUAUUUUAUUAAAUUUAAUAAAAUAAAUAUGUUAUAAUUAUUAUUUUUAAUAAAUAUGACAUUAUUUAUUUUAUUAAAUAUUAUUUAUUUAUUUUAAUUAUGAGGGUAAAAAUAAAAGAGGGGGAGUGGAUUCCCACUCCCACCUCCCCCCAUGGGAGUGGGAAUCCCACUCUCCCCUUAAAAAUGAUAAGUAAACACUAGAAUGGGAAGAAUCCACACUCUACACUUUCUAAAAAAUAAACACUACCUUAAUUUAAAUUGAUUUGUUGGAUAUUUAGCUAAAAUGAGAGUAGCUCUCUAAUAAUUAUUGCAUUAUUACAAACAUAUCCAACGGUUAUAUAUGCUUGCCUGUGGAAAUAAAAGUCCCAAGUUUCUUUGAAAGGUAAGCUAGUGUGAAUGUUUUCAUCCGUGCAACUUACUUGAUGAAUGAAGUUUUCAUCCCUGACCUUGAUGUUUCUGGUGGCUACAAUCAUUUCAGCUGAUCUAUUCCAUUUUGUUAAGGUGAGAAUUUAGAGUGGCUUUAACUGUUAGCAAAUAGCCUAAUGUAAGACUUGAUCAACUUCCUGCCCUGUUGUAUGCUUAUGAAUUUUGAUAGAGUUAUGAGUUUGCAGAAGCUACUGUAUUAUAUGUUGUUAGAGGCUGUAAAAAUGAGGCAGAUCAAACACACAUUUAAAUUUCAAUGACAAUUUACUAGAAGUAAAUUUCCUAUGACCCUCCAGGUGACUAAUCAAUGAGAACUUGACAAUAACAAAAGAAAGUGUAUGAGCUUUGCAGGCGGGCACGCCAAUCUUGACUGCAUGGCACCAUCCGCCAUUUGCAAGUGAAUAUCAUUAUUGUUUAAUCAACAUGGUGGAGUCCACUGGGACCACACCACAUGGUCAGUCUUAUCUCUAUUCCUCAAUUUUCAGUAUUCCAUACAUCAAAACAAUUUCAGUUUUGUUAUCAAUUAUAAUUUCAUUGUUGGAGACGAUUCUGAUUCCUUUCUUUCUGACAAAACGGAACCAUGGUUGCUGUGGGAGAGAUCUUACUCAACGCCUUCUUUCAGGUGUUGUUUGACAGGUUGGCUUCCCGUGAUUUGCUCAGCUUUGUCCGUCAACUUGGAGGCGGGGUCGAUUCCGAGCUCAAGAAGUGGGAAAGAAAGCUGAAGAUGAUUCAGGCGGUGCUCAACGAUGCAGAGGAGAAGCAACAGACUGACGAGGCUGUGAAGAUGUGGCUGGACGAUCUCCAAGACUUGGCUUAUGACACUGAGGACAUUCUUGAUGAGUUUGCUACUCAAGCCUUGGAAAGCAAGUUGAUGGCGCAAAAUCACGAUAGUUCUGGCCAGGUUCUCAGUUUCAUCCCGGCUGGUUUGAAUCCGAAUGCUAUUAUGUUCAAUUAUAGCAUGGGGUCCAAGAUUAAAGAUAUCACUAGCCGGCUGGAGCAACUCUGCCAAGAAAGAAUUGAACUUGGACUGCAACGGAUUACCGGAGAGGCAUCAUCAACUGCUGCUGCUGCUGCACACCAGAGGCCACCCAGUUCGAGUGUCCCAACAGAACGUGAAGUAUUUGGAAGAGAAGAAGAUAAGGCCAAAAUUCUUGAUAUGGUAUUGGCCGAUACCCCAAGUGAUCAUGCAAACUUUGUUGUAAUACCCAUUGUUGGCAUGGGCGGGAUAGGAAAAACAACUCUUGCCCGGGAAGUCUACAAUGACAAGGCCGUUGAAGAUUCCAAGUUUGAUGUAAAAGCAUGGGUUUGCGUAUCUGACGUCUUUGAUGUUUUGGGCAUCUCAAAGGCACUUCUCGAGUCAAUCACCCGCAGGCCUUGUCUUCUAAACAGUUUAAAUGACGUGCAGGUUGAGCUGAAAGCAGCUGUGGAUAAAAAAAGGUUCCUGCUGGUCUUAGAUGAUGUUUGGAACGAGGACUACAGCUUAUGGGUAGACUUAAAAGCUCCGUUACUGGUUGCUGCACCAAACAGCAAGAUGAUCGUCACCACACGCAAUUCAAGUGUUGCAUCAACAAUGAGACCCAUCGAUCGUCACCACACGCAAUUCAAGUAUUACGAUCUCAAGAGUCUGUUAGAUGAUGAUUGCUGGUCCAUUUUCAUAAACCAUGCAUUUGAAUCUACAGACCUUAGCGCACAUCGAAUUUCAGAAUCAUUCCGCGAGAAAGUUGUUGGCAAGUGUGGGGGCUUGCCUCUAGCAGCAAAAACACUCGGGGGCCUUCUUCGUACUAAAACGCAUGCUGAGUGGGACGGUAUAUUGGAUAGCAAAAUAUGGGAUUUACCUCGGCAAAGCAGCAUUCUCCCCGUGUUAAGAUUGAGUUACCAUCAUCUUCCUUCUCAUUUGAAAAGAUGUUUUGCUUUUUGUGCCAUCUUUCCAAAAGAUUAUGCAUUCACUGAGAGGGAGCUGACUUUCUUAUGGAUGGCUGGAGGUAUUAUUCGACAGUCAAGAAACAAUGAGCAGCUGGAAGAUUUGGGCAGCAAGUGCUUUGGUGAUCUAGUGUCGAGGUCAAUUUUUCAACAAACAGCAAUCUCUGAUAGUUCUAAAUUUGUAAUGCACGACCUUAUCCAUGAUCUUGCUCAAUUGGUCUCUGGAGAAACCAUAUUUAGGUUAGAGGAGGCCAAUACUCUGUCAAGAAGAUUUGAAAGGGUUCGCCAUUCCUCCUAUGCCCGUGAUUGGUGUGAUGGUAGAAAUAAGUUGGAGGUUUUCAAUGAAAUUGAACAUCUACGAACAUUCUUGCCAUUUUGCAUAAGAGGUGGCGUUACUUCUGGUUGGAUAACUAGCACGGUUCACUACGAUUUGUUGCCGAAGUUCAAAAGGUUGAGGAUGCUGUCUUUAGAAGGAUACCAUAUUGGUGAGUUACCAAUUCCAUUUGAAGAUUUGAGACUUUUAAGGUUCCUCAACCUUGCUGACACUGACAUAAGAAGUUUACCUGAGUCAACAUGCAAAUUGUUGAACUUGGAAAUUCUGAUAUUAAGAAAUUGUUCCCGUUUGACAAAGCUUCCCCAGAAAAUGAGGAAUUUGAUCAAUUUACGUCAUCUGGAUAUAAGAGGUGCAAAGCAGCUGAAGGAGAUGCCAUUUGGAAUGAAAGAGUUGAAGAAGCUUCAAACGUUGUCCAAUUUUAUUGUAGGCAAGGGUGAAUCUGCAUCUGGUUUGGAAGAUUUAAAAAGUUUAGACCUUCUAUGUGAUGAACUCUGCAUUGCUGGAUUAGAGAAUGUGAAUAGUCCACAGAAUGCAAGAGAAGCCACAUUAUGUGAGAAGCACAAUCUUGAAGCAUUGACCCUAGAAUGGGGGUCUCAAUCUGACAGUCCUCGGGAUGCAGUACUAGAAGAGAAGGUACUUGACACUCUACAGCCUCAUGAACGUAUAAAAGAGCUGGCAAUCAGGAACUAUGGUGGUGCAAGAUUUCCACCUUGGAUCAGAGAUCCUUCGUUUCCCGAGAUGAAGGUCCUUAAAUUGGAGAACUGUGACGAUUGUGAAUAUCUGCCAUCACUUGGCCUGUUGAGUUCACUUAAGCACCUUGCUGUUAAAGGGCUGAAGAAACUAAAAAGCAUAGGGUCUGAGGUUUAUGGGGAGGGUUUGUCAAUGCCUUUUCCAUCAUUGGAGGUUCUAAGUUUUGAGAAUUUGCCUGAAUGGGAGUAUUGGGACACCAAUAUCAGAGGAAAUGUGCUCGUUGAAAUGUUUCCUCGUCUCCAUAAACUUUCCAUUGUGGAAUGUCCCAAACUCUCUGGGGAACUGCCUGAGCUCCUGCCCUCCUUGGAGACACUUGUUGUUAGUAAAUGUGAAAAGUUGGUAGUUCCAUUGUCUCGCUAUCCGAUGCUCUGCAGAUUAGAAGUUGAUGAGUGCAAGGAACUAGCAUGCGGGACUCCAAUUGAUUUUAAGUUGAUAGAGUCUGUGACUAUUUCAAAUAGUUCCUUAGACAUGAAUGGAUGCAAGGGGAUGCUAUACGAUGGUCCAGCUGGCUCUUCACUGCCAAAGCCUAUGAUUACUACAAAUGUUUCGGAGUUUGGAAAAUUAUUGAAGCCUGGAUGUCAAAUAUUAGAAACUUUAGUAAUUGGCAAUUCUGGACGGCUCAAGUCAUGGAGGCAGCAUGGGGAUUUUCUAGAAGAAUAUAUGGUCGCUCACCAAAGGUUUAAGAAACCAGUACAAGGGCUAAAUAUGCUCGCUUCCCCUGAAGAGGUAACAAUUGAAGAAAGUUGUGUGAGUUUUGUUUUGUUUCCAGAGAUCAAUUUCUUUCCCAGAAAUCUGCGCUCUCUUCUAAUUUGCAACAGCACUGCUUUGAAAUCCUUACCCGAGGAAAUGAUGGAAAACAAUUCACAACUGGAAAGGUUGUAUAUCAGAGAUUGCGACUCUCUAACAUUCAUCGCAAGACAGAGGCUACCAGCAUCUGUUAAAAGGCUUGAGAUAGAAAAUUGUGAGAAAUUGCAACGUCUGUUCGAUGAUGAAGAGGAUGCUUCUUCUUCUUCUUCUUCUCCUUCAUCCUCGUCUUCCCCAGUGAUGCUGCAACACCUGAUAAUAGGGAAAUGCCCAAAGCUCACCAGUUUAUUAUCGGGUGUCCAAUUCCUUGAGGCGCUUGAAUUCCUCAAGAUAGAGCAUUGUCCAAAGCUGGAGUCAAUACCGGAUGGCCUGCCCAAUCUUAAAUGUUUACAGAGCAUUUAUUUACUCAAUUGUCCAAGUCUUGUUUCCUUCCCAGAAAGAGGGCUUCCCCACACCAUUUCAUUUGUUUGCAUUUGCGGAUGUGACAAGCUUGAAGCCCUGCCCAAUGACAUGCACAAACUCAACUCUCUUCGACAUUUAAGCAUACAGCUCUGUCCAAAUCUUGUAUCGUUUCCAGAAGAAGGUUUUCCUACCAAUCUAACAUCACUUACAAUUGGAGAUUUCAAAAUGUAUAAGAUACUCGUCCAGUGGGGGUUGCACAGGUUUACCUCUCUUAGACGCCUCUAUAUCGUUGAUUGUGAUGACGAAGCAGAGUAUUUUCCAGACGAGGAUAUAGGAAUGACGCUGCCCACCUCUCUCACUCAACUGGAACUUUCGGGAUUCAAAAAAUUGAUAUCUCUGUCUUCGACGGGUUUUCAGAGCCUCACCUCUCUUCAAAGAUUGCGGAUCUGGGAUUGCCCAAAUCUCACAUCAUUUCCAGAGGUGGGCCUUCCAUCCUCACUUUUGGAAUUACACAUUUACAAAUGUCCAAAGCUUAAAAAAGCGUGCAAAAGAGAUCAAGGAAAAGAGUGGCCCAAAAUUGCUGACAUCCCUUGCGUUGAGAUAGACAAUAAAUUCAUAUACGAUCCAGAAUAAGAGGAGUAGAUUCUACUAUUAAGGUCAGUUGAUUUGUAUUAUCCGCUAUAACAAGCUCCUCCUUUUUUUUUUUUAAAUAAUAAUUUUGCAGUCACUCACGUGAUUCCGUUUUCACAAGUCAGAUUGUAUGUUGAGGCUAUUUGCCUUUUAGUCGCAGAUUAAAUUAUAACACUUAUCUUAAAAUUUAAUACCAUAGACAGAUAGACGAUUUUUUAAUCCAAAGUUUUUUUUAUUCACUUCAGUUAGCAUUUUUUUUUUUCCCCAAAUCAUGCAAGCCGAGAGUUUCAAUCAAGAAUUGGAGCAUGGGAAUGGAAUUUUUGUGAAAACAUAAUGGAUGAACGAACAUUUCAUCUGUGAUCUCAAAGUCAACAGAAUUUUAUUCACUCAAUGACUUUUCAACUGCUGUGGUUAUUUAUGGGUGAAAGAAAGAUAAGGGCAAUUACAAAAAAUUUGCAAAAUUUGUCAAUUUCUUAGAUGGUAGAUAUAUCGACAUUUUAGAUUUCAGAUAUUUGUCACCAAUUUCAUUCCUUUUUUUUUAUUUUUUCAAGCAAGUUUGACUAAUUUUAACCAGAAUUGGAGUAUAAUAUUUUGGAGCAAGCAUACUUGAAAUUUCUGUCUUCAAUAUUUUGAUGCUUUUUUAAUUUUGGAUCUAGUAAAAAUACAUAGCCUUCACCGGCAGGAUUCUAGUCUUGGCUUUCACCUCUCUAACUCAUCCGGCCCCAUUGGGAUUCCAGAAAUUGAAAUUUCUGUCUUCAAGGGGUUUUCAAAGCCUCGCCUCCCUUCGAUUUUUGUGGAUCGGGAAUUGCACAAAUCUUACAUCAUUUCCCGAGGUCGAGGAAAAGAGCGGCCCAAACUUGCUCGCAUCCCUUGGGUUAUGAUAGAUGGAAAAUUCAUAUACGAUCCAGAGUCAGAGGUGUUGAUUCUCUUAUUAAGGUCAGCUGAUUUCUAUUAUCCACUCUGACAAUCUCCUAUUAGUGUUUUUCCCUUUUUUUUUUUCAAAAUUUUGCAGUUCCGUAUAAUUGAAAAUGCCACUCACUUGUUUCCUAUUAGUAUGUUGAGGCUAUUUGCUUUCUAUCGGUGUUUGUUAAGGUAAUUACUCACAGAUGAAAUUAUAACUUUUAUCUUAAAAUUUAUUGCCAUUGACAGAUGGACGAUUUUUAGUCCAAAGUUUUGUUAUUAACUUCAAUCAAAAUUUUAGAUUGCAGAUUUUUGUCAAUUAUUUCAUUUUUUAUUUUUAUUUUAAAGCAGAAUUGGAGUAUAACAUUUGGAGCGCGCAUACUCUGAUGCAUGCAAUUAACUGUUUUUAAUCGUUGGAUUUUGAAAUUAAUGAUGGUAAGAUGUGUACUUAUUUUUUCUUCCGGACAACCUUGCCUUCUUUCUUCGGUAGCAUAUCUAAUGAAUAUUUCUCUGUUUAGUUAAGGAUGAAUGCUUGGAGUGGUCUGAUUCACAACAACACCUCUUCCAGAAAAUAUGAUACAAGGCAAAGCCAUGUUCUGAAGCAGAAAUGAUACAGCAGUUGCGGUACCCGAGGUACCUUUUGCAUUUAACUUGCCUUUAUUUGUUUUGCUUGUGACUUAAGAACACAUCAUUUCCCAGAGAUUUGGAGAAGCAUCUCAAGAUGCUUAACAAACUUGACAAGCUUCAAGAUGCACUUGCUCCCAAGCAUUGAUUCUUCACAAUGGAAAACCUGUGAGUACACUUAUGCCCGCAAUUAUUGUUAAGUGUUUGCAAUUUUGAUGCAGCGAAAUGGUUUGUGGAUGCAAAGCUUUAAAACUGUUAAGAACUACCCUGCAGGCUUGUUGGAUGUUGUAUACUUCAAAAGCCACCAACACCAAGAACUACAACAGCAAGACUAGGUUUGCGUUGCUUCAAUCAGCUGAAAUAAUGAUGCAAAUGACACUAUCAAGCUGGACUUAGAGACUUGUCAGGUCAAUCAUCCAUUUCAUCAACAGUUAAUGUCAUGAUGGUGGCUAUCAGAGGAAACAAAAGAUCUGUUGGAAUCAAUUCAAACAGUGAGAAGCAUGAGAGGAGCAUUGAUUAUAAAUAGGCUCAAUGAGCUCAUGCUGGUAAGUGGUAAUUAAGAAAUUUGUGAGCUUAGUAUAGUUUCAAUUUUUUUCUGUUUGGGAUAUAGUUGAUAAGUUGAUACUCUGAUUAAGAAGCCUGAUUAUAGUAGCUGACUGUGCUAACUGCGUUCUUUUAUUUUUUAUUUUUUUGGUUUGCCGUCGUUUUUUCUUUUGAUUAUUUGUUCAACAUUAGAUUGAUCUGUUGAAGACUACGAGGAAGAUCCAGACUUGGAUGCAGGCGUGCAGCUCGUAAUAGGUGAGAACAAAUGAAUGCUUUAACCAUGUUUCUCACUUAUGACAAUGCACGGAUCAAAGGCAUCUGAGUUGAUCCUGAAAAUGUGAUGGAAAUAGGUCUCUGUUUUCAUAAAACAGAACAAAUAGAGAUCUCUGAUCACGCCUGAGAAUUCAUUGCAUUGAAAUUUCUACCAUUGGCAAACAUAGAAUAAACUGGGGAUACAUUAGCUUUAGACUCUAUUUUGAGGAGGAAGUUUGUACUUGCAGCCUAUAAAAUCAUAUCCCUGUUGUAUGUUUCUUUGGGAAAUGAAAGAUUCUGUGUGUUCUUUUAUUUCAAGUUUGCUGAAAUCACAUUUGUUUUCUAAGAUGCUUUACAGAAGGUACCAACAUCAUUUUCAAAAAUGCUGGGGUAAGAUACAUCGUGCAGUGCUCCUCAACAUGAGAAUUCCUGGCCGCAUUACCCAUAUGUGGAAUGAUCUGAGAGUACAACCGUGAGAAUGUUGUAAGGAGUACACAACCAGAUGUGAGUAGUUUGAAAAUGAAUUCGCAUGGAAUGAUUUCUUGCCAGUGCAGAAAUGGCUUGGUUCAAAAUAUGCUCAGCUUCAUUGACACUCUUCGGUAGGCCUCUCCGUCCUUCCAUUCUUAACUACAAUACUACUCUUGUCUGUCUAGUUAUGGAAUCUCUCUUUUAAUCCUCAAAGUUUGAAUUAUAUUAUAUUGCCUCUGUGUUACCGCAGAAACUGAGUCAGUUGGUGAUCCUUCAAAACAAGAAAAACCAAAAACAGAUACAGCGCGCGAUAAGAUAAUGAGACAGAUGGCUCCCGUUGCUGCAUGCCACUUGCUUGUGUGCGUAUUGGGACCAUCAUCAACAACAUUGACGUAAACCCAGCUCAAGGUGGGAAGCUAGUUCGAGCUGCAGGGACGUUAACCAAGAUUUUGAGAAAGAACCCACUUCAAGGUGUUGCUUAGUUAGGCUACGUUGUGGAAAUGAGAAAGUGAUUGACCCUAGAUGUCGCGCCACCAUUGGUACAGUGUCUAACCCCAGCCAUGGAGCUAAAAAGCUUAGUAAGGCAGGUCAGAGAAGUUGGUUGGGUCGAAGAGCUGUGGUUAGAGGAGUAGCCAUGAUUCCAGUUGAUCACCCUCAUGUUGAACAAAGCAAAAGUAGCGGUAACAAUGGAAGGUGUUCACUCACACCUUGGGGCAAGCCUUGUAAGUCUGGGAAUUAAACUGCAUCUCCUAAGAAGAAAGAGAAAUCAGCUGUCUGAUAAUAUUGUCCUUUUCUGCUAUUUGGUCUUUUUAACAUUGUUACACUGUUUUUACAUCUUUGAGGUUAGUUUUAGACCAAUUUUUAACUGAUCCAUAAUGAAACUGAAGUUUAAUUUUUGAUUAAACUUUCACUGGUUUUACUCUUCUGUCACUUCAAUUUAGCAUUGAUUUAAGAUACUGAAUUCUGUGCUUGGAGCUUGUAAAUUGGAAAGAGAUAUUUUGGGAUAGAAUGUAGAUUUUGUGUUUUGCUUUCUCAAGCUAGUUGUGACUUCUUAAAAGAGUCAAUCCAUGUCUUUAUAUAUUUUUCUUUUGUCUUGAUUCUGUUUCUUCAUACAGAUUCUUAUUUUAUGCUUCACAUACCACAUGAAAGAUGAAAGCCUUUUCUGUGAUUAGAAUUGACUUGCAUUAUAGUAACUUUAAACCACUUGGAUAUUUUUAUAAUAGCAGUCUGAGAUCUCCUUAAAGGAUUCAAAAGCAUCCACUGGCAUCCACUUUACUCGUAUCGGUCAAAAGUUUUGUGCAAUACAAUAUUAGCUUGACUGUAGCGCAGAGGAGAACAGGUUGGUGUUGGUCUGAAUUCUGAUAUUUGAAUAAAUAUAACAGCUCAUGUGACUCCACCACUUUUUACUUGUUCUGUAGUCUGUACCUACCUCCAUUGUCGGCACUGCCCAUACAAGGUCUUUUAGCUUUUUAAAAAGUUUCAUGAUAUUCCAUAGUUCACAUGGAUUUCUACAGUUUGUAGAAAACCUAAUUAGGGCACAUUUAAUUACUAUGCAGAAGAUUCUUUUAUCUUGCUCACCAAUAAUUCUUUGUACUUAUUUGAAAGAUGUGUUUCAAAAAAAUAAAAAAAAACUAUUUGAAAGAUGAGAAAUCCCUUAGCCGAACGACAAACUCAUCUAUCAGUCCUAUCAAAAAAAAAAAAACUCAUGUUUUAGUGGUUUUUUUUUUUCACUUGUAUUCAGUCGCACAAGUGAAGAUUGUGGGCAAUUUUUUCCUUGAGUAAAAUUGGAAUAGAUGUUUUUAUUGACACAAAUUUUUGAGCUAUGUUUGGGAAACCCUUAGACUUAAGACUUUGUUACGAUGAUAUGUAUCUAAGCUUUCAACAGACCGUUGAGGUCUUAUUAUCAAAAUACUAGAAAUUUACAAUUCAAUUUUGGUAAGGACCAAUUUAAUAAUGCUGUAAUUUUUAAAAUAAUUACCGUUAACUGUGUUGUAAAAAUAAUCAAUUAUGAAGAAAAUUAAUUAAACAUUUAGUAAACUUUAUUUUUACAAGUGCUUUGAAUUUUAAAAAUAGUCAUAUGUGUUCAGAAAAUCUCACUUCUAAAAUAGUAUAAGAAUGGAAAAAACUUAAAAAGACAAAUGUAUAAUAUUUAUUUACACAUGCAUUUAUAAAUAUGUGUAUAUAAUAACAUUUUAUGUGUACAUAUAAUAAUUGAUAACUAAAAUAAAUAUUUUUAUUUAUUAAUUAUUUUUUUGUCUCAAUGUAAUUGGUAAUACUUUUUUUUAAUCUUCUCAUCCUAAGUUUUUUUAUUGUUUUGUACAAAAUUCAAGGUUUGGACUUUUAUAAAAUGUCCACUCAAAAAUAAAUUGUUUUCUAACUAAGAUUUGUUGCUAAUGUAUAACUCAAAGUAAUACUAGCUAUUUGUAAUUUUAUUUCAAAAUUUUUAUUCAAAUGAUAUGGUAACUAAUGUACAUUAGUUGAUAGCAAUUUUUUUUUUUUUACAAUAUUCAAAUCAAUCAAUUGCAUCAUCUCAACAUUUUUAUGAUGUCGUGUUAUUUUAAACGAAUUUUUUAUUUUUAUAUAAAAUUUAUUAUGUUUAACAUCAUUUGCAUAACUUGACCUUUUUUUUUUCCUACAAAUAUUAAGUCAAAUUUACUCACCCUAUAUUUCUAUCUAAAAUCUACCUAAAACUCAUGCAUCACUGUAAAACAAAUCCAAAGAUUGCGGUACGUUUUUCUUGGUAACAAAUCAAUAAUUAGGUCAAGUACUACUACUAAGCGUGCUCAAUUAAUUCUAAAAUACUACGGUGAUCAAAAUCAUACUUGACGCAAGAGGAUAAGGGCUAAACCUCAAUUAGGCAUUAUUCAUCCAAAAUUCGUUGACCCGGCAUUCUUUGCAAGUUGUAGCACGGGACAGCUAAGAUUAGCAAAUGCUGUGGACCAUAUGCCCCCAUACAUUUGUGACAUGUGAAACUUGGCAUUAAAGGAAAGGCAACGUGUUAAAAUUUAAUAGCGCCCAAUUCUUCAUUGAAUGAUUAUCAGAUCCAAUGAGCAUCCUUUGAUUGGAUUAUUUUAAGUCAAUUAUUGGUGGAUUGGGGCCCACUUGACUCUACCAAAUCGGGCUCCACCAUAUCACCUAUUAACGACCACCUGUCCUUAUCAUAAAUAGCAAAUGUCACUUGUUUUAUUUUGUAUUUUACCAAAAGCAAAGUCACUAUGAACCCAAAUGAAAGUGACCCCAAUUUUGGGGGUCAUGAGCUUUGGAUUAUUAUGGACACAAGAGACAAGCGCAAAGUUUCUCAUUUAUCACCGGAUAAGAUUUAAGUUAUCAACCCAACAUUAAUAAAUUCUGCUUAAAGUAAAGUUUGAAGCUUCAUUUUGCGAAUAUUCAAUGGUUAACAUUUAAGUAAUUAACCUGAUAUUAAUCCAAUUAAACUUUUUAUGUAAUCCAAGUCAAAAAUAUGUUGAUAAACCUAAAUUAAUCUAAUUGGACAUAUUAUUUCAACUUGAAAAGGCGAAUCUAUCAUUUUUCAAUUAAUUUUGAAUCAAGCUAUGUAAAAUAUAAGCUUAUUAAAGACAUAUUUUUAUCAUGUUAAAAUAUCGAAAUACUUCUUACUCGUUUCGUAAUAACAUUAACAAACCUUUUGGUAAAUUUGACAGUCCAAUCAAUUCAGUUGGUUUUUUGUUAUUGAAACUCCAACAAAAUUCAUCACGAUUAUUAAAAACCCAUUAAAAAAAAAUGAAGGUAACUAUUUAAAAAAUUCUAAUUGAAUUAUUUAACAACUACAUUUCAACUAAAUUGUGUUGCUAAUUAACUUCCUCAACUUAAACUAUAUUUUUCUCAAUUAAUUCAUAACAAAUAAUGUUAGAUAUUUUAUUCGAAUAAUAACAUUCAACAUCCUUAUUCUUUAUGAUUAUUGCAUAAAAACAUAUUUUAUCCAUUUACAUCACAUAUGUUCCUAAAUUGUAUAAGAAAAUCACCAAAUUUACUCUUGUAAGUUACUAUAUCAAUGAACAUGAAAUUCACUAAUCAUUAAAGUCUCGGAAUGACAUCAUGAGAGGGAUUCAGUUACAUUUAUUGAUAGGAUUAGAUAUAUGUCUUCUCAAAUAUUAGUAGGAGCAAUUUAACAGAUGCAGCUACUAAAAAUAUAGAAUUACUUAUCUCGUCAAUAACUAACGAUAUUUUUUAUCUAUGCUCAAUAAAUUGUAAUAUUUGUAGAUUGUAACAAUUGUUAAAAAAAAAGAGCUCCCUGAGACUAAAUGACAAAAGGACUGUUUUGAAAUAGAUAGAUAAAAUAUGCCCUUAUUUGAGAAAAUGUAAAACACUAGGGAUCUAAAUGUUAUUAUAAUCCCAUGCACAAAAAUACCAAAAAUAACUAAUAACAACUAACCGAAAAUCCCAGGCGUCAUAUUCCUUUUUUCCGCGUUUUAAAAUGCCCUCUGAUUCAUUCACAGUCAGACGCUGUCGGCAUUUCUCUUCUCUCCCUCUCUCUCCACGUAUUAAAACAUGUAAAGUACGGAAAAAUUUAAAAAAAAUUUUAAAAUUACAUAAUUUAAAAGAUAUAAAAUUAUAAAUUUUUAAAAUUAUACGGUUUUAAAAUUUUUUUAAAUUUUUUCGUAUUUUAAAAUUUCAGACUAAAAAAUUAUUAUACGAAUACUUCGUAUAACCGCUUUGCGCUUAAAAUCUGUGCCUAACAAACUCACGAAAUCACUCCUCAUUUUCCUCUCUCCCUCUCCUCCUCUCAUUCCCUUUCAAAUCCUUCCACCACCUUCCCCGCCUCUCUCUCUUUCUCUCUCCCCUCACCGCCACAGCUCAACUUUUCCAUGUAAACCACCACGGGCGCCGUCGUUUCAACCUCCCACUCAUCCGACGUCGUUUUGUGUGAAUAAGAUAACGAUUUAAAUUAAAAUACGAAAAUGGAGAACUUAACGGCGCAGUUGAAGCGAGGGAUAUCGCGGCAGUUCUCGACGGGAUCGCUGCGGCGGAGCCUGACGAGGCAGAUGUCGAGGCAGUCGUCGUUCGAUCCGAGGAGGAAUAACAUGAGGUUUAGCUUCGGGAGGCAGUCGUCGUUGGAUCCGAUACGCAGGAGUCCGGUUCAGGACGAGUUGACGGUGCCGGAGAACCUUGACUCGACGAUGCAGCUGUUGUUUAUGGCAUGCAGAGGUGACGUCAAGGGAGUCGAGGAUUUGCUGAACGAAGGCAGUGAUGUCAACAGCAUUGAUCUUGACGGACGGUUUUGGCGAGAAAUCAAAGAAUUAAGAGACAAUAUUUAGUUAAGCUAAUAGUAUUUGUUCUGUUUAGUACGUCGUUUUACCAACAAGCAUCCCGGCAUUGCACGCAUUAAUAAAUUUUUUUUAUCUGUUUGGACUGAUGGUGGUAAAAAAUUCCACAUACUUUAUAUUAAAAAGGAAAAAGGACAAACACACCCCUAACGUCAACUUGGAGGGGGGUCGAUUCCGAGCUCAAGAAGUGGGAAAGAAGAAAGCUGAAGAUGAUUCAGGCGGUGCUCAAUGGUGGGUAUGACGGCAAAAAUAAGUUGGAGGUUUUCUAUGAAUUUGAACAUCUAAGAACAUUCUUCCCAUUACACAUAAGAGGUGGCUCCAAAACUGGUUACAUAACUCGUAUGGUUCUAACUGAUUUGUUGCCGAAGUUUAAAAGGUUGAGGGUGCUAUCUUUACAAGGAUACCAUAUUGGACCAAUUCCAUUUGAAGAUUUGAGACUUCAAAGUAUAAUUACCCAAAGUGUAUACAAUAAAAGCCAAAUUUAAGAAAUUCCUGAACCUUGCUGACACUGACAUAAGAAGUUUACCAGAGUCAACAUGCUCAAUGUUGAACUUGGAAAUUUUGAUAUUAAGAAAUUGUUUCCGUUUGAUGAUACUCCCACCCAAAAUGAGGAACUUGGUUAAUUUACACCCAGACUCUUUUCUUUUGACAUGGGGUUAACGAUCAAAGUUGGUUUCGUGCGGUAUAUAUUUACAAAUUGAUAGGUAUGCCUGGUGUUGAUGCAGGAUUCCGGUUCUUCUCGUUCUACGACCAGGAUCUCUGCUCGAUCAACUUCGUCACGACCAGGAGGUCUCCUCGCAAGACUUUUUCUCCAGAGAUUCCUGCGCACACAGACAAGUCAGAGUACGCCGGUUGUUUUCCCGGCGCAAACCCUCCGACGCUCAAGUCAGAUAUGAAGGUUCGGGGAACGCUUGCCACCGAUCUUAUGGCUUUUUCGUGGUUUUCUCUUCUUUUUAAUUCCUUUUCUAAUGAGAAAAAUGCCAACCCUUUUACCUCGUCGGCUACCUUUUUAUAGGCUUCCUCUGAAUCCCAGUUUUCCGCUCUUUUCGAGACGGUAUGGGACUCUGACUGCUGUGUUAUGGGCAAACGUGGGAUCUUGCGUGUUACGCCACCGUUCUGGGAAAAGCGCGGCAGUCGUGGUUCUGUGAGAUCUUGCGUGUUACGCCACGGUUCUGGGGAAAGCGUGGCUGUCGUGCUUAGGUUCUCGGGCUGGAGAGCAUGUCUCGUCAACUGCCGUCGACCGGGUCUCCUCGCCUCUCGACCUCUAGCCGGAAUGACCUUAUGCCUCUUACAGGAAAUUGGCCUCGCGGAUGACCUGCUCGUGGACGAGCAGGAUAUUUCUGCUCCUGUUCCCCCGCGUACCAGGCUUUUACGGGACACACCGGUUCGCAGAACUCUGCCAUCAGAUAUCUGCUCACCGUGCCUGGUCUCGUCGACGUAUUUCUCCCAAACACCGGUCCCCCAGUUUCUGGUGUUGGGUAAUGUAGUGGACCAGCAGUAGAAACUCGUUAGUACUCGCCCGCGUGGGAUUGGAAAAGGCUGCCAAGAGUCAUGUCGCAUUUAAUUGCGGACGAGGUGACGUGGCAGAAAUCCCCCCCUCCAUUUGAAUUUCAAACCGACGGUUAUGAGAUCCUCGGGAUUCAGCGCCGUUAAAUGCUGGCAACCCAAGAGUCCGUCCUCAUUAGGAAAACCAAAUCCUCUCGAACGGCAUAUUCGUCAUUCACUCCGUCUCCGUCUCUGUCUCCCCGGCAAAGAGGUUCCGGCAUAAAAGCCCUCCAUCUCUGAUUUUCACCGACUGAACCGUUACUUCAGGUAUUUCUUCUAUCUCCUUGGUCUCGGAUAGUUGUAGAUAAUUUCUCUUCUCUUCUGUUGGGUAGUAGUUGGUGGUGUUGUGGUUAGAGCUUAGGGAAUGUCGAAAGGCAAAGAGAAGGUCAUUGAGGUUGGUGACGACGAGUUGGACUUCCUGCCUAGUCUGCUCACCGAUCCUGCUUUUGACCCCGGGAUCCCCUUAGAGCCCAUUAGGUCUAGUGUCGGGACUAGUGCUAGGAGGAUGUCUCCCCAAACAACCUCUACGAGCGGAAGUAAUGGUGAGGAGAGAUCUUCUGGCUCCGAGGAUACUUUGAGUGAGAAUGGCGAAGGUGACUCUGGUGAGGUGUCUCCAUCUGGAACAUCACGACCAGAAGAACGGGGUAUAGUAGGAGGCAGAGCCUUGUCGCGCGAUUAUGCCAUUGAUUACAUGACGUGCACGACCUCGUUUGACGAGCUCAAUGACCUCCGGCUUAGGUAUAGCAUUCCUGGUGAGAUACCUCUCAAGGUCCCAGGAAAGAAGGAUGCUCCCAGCCGGCCUCCUAGGGGAUAUGUUACCCUGUAUCUGGACAGCUUUAAGUACGGGCUGAGGUGUCCCUUGCAACCUUACUUUGCCCGGAUACUUAACGGGCUAAAUCUAGCUCCUGGUCAGCUGAAUCCCAAUGGGUGGAGAGUGCUCUCUGGUCUGUUCAUAUUGUGGGACAGAUGUUGCCAAAGCGAGCCCACGGUUGAUGAGGUGAAGCACCUGUACCAGCUAAAGAGCAGCCCCAAAGAUGCCGUCUGGUACUACUUCCAAUCUAGCACCAAGAGCAGGAAACCUAUAACCGACCUCCCUACUGGUGGUGGUGGGAAUUGGAAGAGAAAAUUCUUUUUUGCUGGGGGUCCUUGGGGUCAGGUUGCACAAAUGGACGGGAAGGAUUAUCGGGUCCCACCCCGUUUCACGGUCCCAGGUUGCCUGCUCGCUUUAGAUGUCUUGUAUCCACAAUUGUUAUUGCUUUAUUGGCUUGUCUCUAACCAAGUGUCUGUUUGCGUUGUAGUUUCUUGGGGUGUUCACUUCCCGCUCCCACCUGACCAGCUCAAACGGGUCAAGGCUGUGCUCGCCAAUUCCUGCUCGAGUCGAGAACUGCUAACUACAUACAACUUGCUCGAAUCUCGCUUGAUACUUCCUGGCCAUAGGAUGGAGGACGCCGUGAUUGGGGCUCUGACCCGAAAACGUUCUCGACCUCCAACCACGAAGAGGGACCAGGGUAAGGAUGCCCCUGCUGCAAAGCGGGCCAGCAUCGUGCAGCAGGUCCCACCCUUGGAGAUUUUACCUCCUGCUCCUGAAAAAGUCGGGGAAGCUAGUGGAGCAGCCACAGAUCCUGCUUCCUCAUCUGUUCCUGUCGGGCCUCGAUCUCGCUUACCUGACAGCCGAGCAGAACACCUGGUCCCCUACCUCAAUGAGUUGUCUAAACUCGUGAGCAAGAAGGACCUGGAGGACUUCGACGGCUGCACCUUGGGUGAGCUGGUGGGGGCCAUGCAGCAUAGCGCUUUCCACCUCAGCUGCAUGACCACCUAUUACAAGGCUAAGGUUGGUCGAUACGAUCGGAAAAUGAAGGGGGAUAUUCAAUCGGCGACGACCAGAGCUGACAUUGCCGAGAAGAAAGCAGGGGAGCUGAACCUCGAGAAUCUGAAGCUGAUAGAGCAAGAAUCACUUGCUCAAGCAAAGACCAUUACCCUCGAGGAGGAGCUUACCAAGGUCAAGGAGGAUCUGCAAAGGCAGAAGGCUAUGUAUGAGGCCCAGCUCGAAUCUCUCCGGGACUCCAACCGAGCUCAGGUCGAGAACUUGGAGAGGGAGGCAGAGAAUCAGUACGACCAGGGACUUCGGCAUUCCUAUCGUUGCAUCAUGGCCGUCCUCGGGAAGCAACACCCUGAUCUGAAGAUGGAUGACCUUGCGGCUGGUGUUGCCCAACAUAUGGACGAGGAGGCGGCCAAGGAAGAUGCUGAAGGGGUAGAGCCGAUCGUGAUCGAGGAGGAAAGCUCUCCUCCUCGUGCAGUCCCUGCUGAUGUUGGCGAGGCGAGCACCCCUCCGGACGCAACUGGCGAUACCCCUCCCGCACCUGAGGAGGUCCAGUCAACCGAUGCUGCUCGGCUCACUGAUCUACCAUCUUUUUGAUAUAUUUCUUUUUGUAUUGUAAUAAACAACGUUUAUGAAAUUUAUCCCCUCUGUUAGCCAUUAACACAUUAAUAAAGAUGUUUUUUGAUUACUUUCUCGUCUUGUAAUCAUCACUUAUUUUCCGUUUGGGAAUCUGCUCGUCUCGUCUGGUCGAGCAGGUUCUGGUUUGGCAUAUGGUUUUGCAACAUGCCUUAGAAAAAUUUCUUUUUUUUUUUUUUUUUUUUUUUUUUUUUUUUUUUUUGCUUGGGGAUUCUGCUUGCCUUCGCGUGGUCGAGCAGGUCCUGGCAUGCUUGGCUUCAGUCUCGCCAUAAAAAGGCUUUGAGACUUGGUGAGGCCUUUGCAUGCCUUAGAAAACUUUUUCGAUGCUUGGGGAUUCUGCUCGACUUCGCUCGGUCGAGCAGACCCUAGCAUGCUUGGCUUCCGUCUCGCCAUAAAAAGGCUUUGAGACUUAGUGAGCCUUUGCAUGCCUUAGGUGGCUUCUUCAAAGCUUGGGAUUCUGCUGCCUUCUCGUGGCCGAGCAGAUCCGGGCAUGCUUGGCUUCUGUCUCGCCAUAAGACAGGCUUUGAGACUCGACGAGCCUUUGCAUGCCUUAGAUGGCUUCUUCGAAGCUUGGGAUUCUGCUGCCUUCUCGUGGCCGAGCAGAUCCGGGCAUGCUUGGCUUCUGUCUCGCCAUAAGACAGGCUUUGAGACUUGACGAGCCUUUGCAUGCCUUAGAAAUUUUCUUGGUUUCAAGCGAAAGGAAUUCCUCGACGUUCCAUUAAUGGCAGGAUUCGGCUUACAUGAACUUGUUUGGACAUAAAGCGUGAAAGAUAAACGAUAAUGAUCAUGAGCAAAAAUAGCUUUCAGAUGUGAACAAAUCUUACUGGAAGUAUUUUCGGAGGUGUGCUGCGUUCCAUGGGCGUUUCAGCUCGUGGCCGUCCGUGCGAACCAGCUUGUAAGCUCCGGGUCCCGCUAUCUGCUUGACUCUAUAUGGCCCUUCCCAAUUCGGUCCCAGCACUCCUUGAGUCGAAUCUUUGGUGCUCUGAUUCACUCUUCUCAGUACCCAGUCUCCGACCUUGAAUUGCCGUAUGUUCACCUUCUGGUUAUAAUACCGAGCAACCCUCUGUUGGUAAAGGGCUGAUCGCUCGGCUGCUUGCUCCCUCCUUUCCGUUAGCAGAUCAAGAUUCAAACAUAUCUGCUCGUCGUUCUCCUGCUCGUUGAAAUGACCUGUCCGGUGUGUGGUCGUUCCUAUCUCAGCCGGCACGACCGCUUCAUGUCCGAAAGCCAAAGCGAACGGUGUCUCCCCAGUUGCGGUUUUGUGGGUUGUUCUGUAUGCCCAUAGCACACCUGACAGCUCGUCAACCCACGCACCCUUUUUUGCUCCAAGCCUGGUUUUCAAAAGCCUCUUGAUGGUCUUGUUGGCUGCUUCUACUUGUCCAUUCGAUUGAGGGUGAGCAGGCGAGCAAUACUUCAGCUCUAUCCCGAGGUUCUGGCAGAAAUCCCUGAAGCUGUGAUUAUCGAACUGCCUGCCAUUAUCCGUUACCAAGGCAUAAGGGAUCCCGUAUCGACAGACCAGGUUUCUCCACACGAAGUCUGUUGUUUUCUUCUUUGUGAUCCUGCUAAGGGCUUCUACCUCUAUCCACUUCGUGAAGUAAUCUAUAGCAACUAUUGCAUGUGUUGCUGCUCCUUGUGCCUUUGGCAAUGGGCCGAUCAGAUCAAUUCCCCAUUGAGCAAAUGGCCAAGGGGAGGCCAUGGAGGUGAGCUUCUCUGGGGGUUGGUUAGAGAAAUUUGCAAAACUCUGGCAGCUUACACAACUCCUGGUCUUCUCUUGCGCAUCCUGGUGCAUUGUCGGCCAGAAAUAUCCCUGCCUAAGAACCUUGUGGGCCAGGGACCUCCCGCCAGAAUGAUUUCCGCAAAUUCCUUCAUGUACUUCUCUCAGUACGUAAUCCGCGUCGUCCUCAUCCAAACACCGAAGGAACGGUAGUGUAUAUCCUCGCCGAUACAGCGCCCCAUCAAUCAUCGUGUAUCUCGAGGCCUGGGCUCUAAUCUUGCGAGCUCGCAGCUUAUCUGGUGGUAAUACUCCGUCUCUAAGGUAUGAAACUAUCGGGUCCCUCCACGAGCAUUUUUGUUCUAUCCGCAACACCCCCGAAUUCUGAUCGAUACUUGGGCUGGACUUCACCUCCAGAGGGACCGACUUUGGCAUUUUUGGGUCGGCUACUGCUGCCAUCCUCGCCAAAAUGUCUGCUCGACUAUUCUGCUCCCUGGGGAUCUGUACCACCUCCACUGCUUCGAACUUCCCCAUCAUCUGCCUGACUAUCUUCAGGUACUGCUCCAUCUUCUCCUCUCUUGGUUGGAAUCUUUCACUGACGUGAUUCGCAACCAGCUGGGAAUCAGUUCUGAUCUUAACUCUGUCUUCUUUCACGGCCUUAGCCAAUUCCAGACCUGCUAUCAAGGCUUCAUACUCUGCCUGGUUAUUUGUGGCUGCAAAUUCCAACUUUACAGCAUAAGAGAUCUCCUCCCCCUCAAGGCCUUCCAGGACAAUCCCUGCUCCUGAACCCCGCUCCCCUGAUGACCCGUCCACAGACAUCUGCCAUACUUGAUUUUCGUCAUUGCCUAUAACUGCAUCCUGUUGAUCUGAGCAUACUUCGGGCUCUGUGAAUUCAGCUACGAAAUCGGCCAUUGCCUGGGCUUUUAUCGCUGCGCGGGGUUUAUAGUCUAUGUCGAACUCGCUCAGCUCUACAGCCCACUUGACGAGCCGACCAGAGGCAUCUGGCUUGUGCAGAGUUUGACGCAAUGGCUGGUUUGUUAUUACCGAGACCGGGAAUGCUUGAAAAUAUGGCCUCAACUUCCGAGCAGCAACCACAAGGGCAAGUGCCCAUUUCUCCAACAGUGGGUAUCUAGUCUCAGCGUCGAGUAGGGCCUUGCUGGUGUAGUAUAUCGGAUACUGAACUCCUUCUUCCUCUCUCACCAGAACAGAACUGGCGGCCCGAUCCGACACCGCCAAAUACAGAUACAACUUGUCCCCAUCCCUUGGUGUGGACAGCAGCGGAGCUUGCUGCAAGUAUUGCUUCAAGUUCUGGAAGGCUUCCUCGCACUCUGGGGUCCAUUCUGUUUUCUUUCCCCUCCUUAUCACUUGAAAGAAUGGCUGACACUUAUCUGUAGCCUUGGAGAUGAAUCUGCUCAACGCCGCCAACCUCCCUGUGAGGCUCUGCAUCUCCUUCAGGUUACGAGGAGACGUCAUUUGCACAAUCGCCUGGAUUUUCUCGGGAUUUGCUUCAAUCCCCCUAUGGCUCACCAUGAAUCCAAGGAAUUUCCCUGACUCGACCCCAAAAGCACACUUUUCCGGGUUGAGCUUCAUCUUAUACUUCCUCAAAAGCUCGAAUGUCUCCUCGAGGUGUCUGACAUGUUCCUUCGGGAUUUUGGACUUGGUGAUCAUGUCAUCCACGUACACCUCCAUGGUUUUCCCAAUCAACGGCUUAAAGACUUUGUUCACCAGCCUUUGAUAGGUGGCCCCAGCAUUUUUGAGACCGAACGGCAUUACCCUGUAACAGAACAAACCUUGGUUAGUGACGAAAGCCGUGCUCUCCUCAUCCUGCUCGUACAUGGGGAUCUGGUUGUAUCCCGAGAACGCGUCCAUGAAGCUGAGCAGACCAUGUCCAGCCGUUGAAUCUACUAGCUGAUCGAUCUUUGGUAGAGGGAAGCUGUCUUUUGGGCACGCCUUAUUGAGGUCUGUGAAAUCCACACACAUCCUCCACUUGCCGUUUGCCUUCUUUACCAACACCACAUUCGAUAUCCACUCAGGGUAACUGACUUCCCGAAUGAACCCUGCUCUCAAGAACUUCUCCACCUCGCUAUUUAUUGCCUCAUACAUCUCCUGGUUGAAGCACCUCCUCUUCUGCCUUACUGCCCGAGCACCUUUCUUUAUUGCCAGCUUAUGACAUGCUACCUCAGGGUCAAUCCCUGGCAUGUCUUCAUGUGUCCAAGCAAACACAUCAGAAUGAGCCUGUAAGCAUUUCACCAACUCCUGCUUUUGCUCUCCCUCAAGCCUCGACCCGAUUCUGAUCAUCUUUCCCGGAUUCUCUGGUCCCAGGCUUACUGUUUCCAGAUCUUCUACAGGUUCUUGUCUGCCCUUCUUGUUUUCCACUCGGGUAUCGAGGGAUGUUAUCUGCAUUGCUUCCCUUGCUGCCGAGGAGUAGCAGCUUCUUGCGAUCCUCUGGUCUCCUCGUACCACUCCUACUACCCCAUUCACCCGGUACUUCAGAGCGAGAUAGUGGUUGGACAACACCGCUUUGCUCAUCCUUAAAAAUGGCCGACCUAGGAUCAUCUGGUAAGGACCUUCCUCGUCCACUACGACAAAGUCCAGUAUCAUUGUUCUUUCUGUCAGGGAGCUCCCAAUUGUGAUAGGCAGCUCGACCACGCCCAGAGGGACCAGCUUCCCUCCUCCGAACCCCUUCAAGGAGGUAUUGGUGUAUUCCAACUUUCGGUCGGCUAUUCCCAUCUCUUCCAGGGUUGACUUAAAUAACACAUCAACUGAGCUCCCUGUAUCAAUCAGUAUCCGGUCAAACUUCUUGCUAGCGACAGUAGCCUUGAUGACUAAAGCAUCAUCGUGGGGGUAUAGAAUCCCUUCCUCAUCCUCAUCCGUCCACAUGAUUGGCACUUGCCUGACCCUUGCUCGUUUGGCUGCUGGGGUGUUGAAGAGUACCUCUUUACUGGUCAUGGCGUACCUAGCAUAAUUUUUUCUCGAUCUGUUGGAAUCUCCGGCCAAUGUUGGGCCCCCAGCUAUCACCCUUACUGCGGGCUGCUCGCGCCUCAAGUUUCUACCACUCUGCUCCCCUUCACCUGUUGUGGCCACCAUCGGGAAAGUCCCAUCCAUAAACUCGUCCAGGUACCGAUUUCUCACCAAAUCUUCGACCUGGAUCUUGAGAUCUCUACACUCUGCCGUGGUAUGGCCAUGGGUGCCAUGGAACUUACAAUAACGUCUUCUAUCCCUCCUGUUGGGUAGCUUUGUUAUUGGUGUAGGGAGGUGCAGCAGACCUCGAUCCUUUAUGGCCUCGUACACCUCAUCCAGGGACAUCUUCAAGGAAGUGUACCGCCCAUAGUCCGGGUCCUGGUCGAUCAGGUGCACUGCUCUUUCUCUGUUUGCCCCGCUUUGAGUUGGGGGCGGUGGAAGUAAUUCUGGUCUGCUCGCUCUGCUACCAUGUUGGUGAAGACCACCAGAUGCCGACUCAUGCCUUCUCCAAGGCUCCCUAGCUGGGGAACGAGGAGGUUGCGCCCCGCUGCGCUGAUACUGUGGUGGCCUCUGAUGAGGCUGGUAAGCAGUUACCCGACCUCCUGCUCUACUACCGGAGGCCUGGUGGUCUCUCCUCCUGAUCGGCCCAUUCCCCGGUAAUGCUUUCUUCUCUUUCCUCCCCAACCCUUCCAACUGGUCUGUCUUAAUCCGUGCAGCCUUCUCCUCUUCAAUCUCGAUGUCUCUCUUAGCCUGUUCGUAUGCGGCUGCAUACGUUUGAAUAGCUGGGCUUCUCAAAUUGUACCACAACCUUCCUAUCUUCACCCCUUCUUUCAAUCCCCUUAACGCCUGAGGGUGGUUGAAGGCUCCCAAGUCGAGGACAGCCCGAUGAAACCUCUUGAUGAAUUCCCGAAGGGUUUCUUGCUCCCCCUGUUUCAUGCUUUUCAGCUCCAUCAUGUCGUCUUCCGGUGCCAUUGCCCCACUAAACUGCUCCGCGAAUUCCUGGCACAUCUGCUCGAAGGUUUUAAUGCUGCCCCGAGGAAGUUUCCUGUACCAUUCUCGUGCACGUCCCUCAAGGGAUAGUGGGAACACCCUGCACCUUUGGGAUUGAGAUAAUCCUUGUACCCCAGUUAUGUCGUUGAAGCGCUCUAUAUGCACCAGCGGAUCAGUUCUUCCCGAGUAUCUGAGGUCUGGGAGGCGGAAAUCUCUCGGAAUAACUGCCCUCAUGAUUUCUGUUGCGAGCGGCGAUUCUCCGUCCAGCAUUAUCCUCCAACCAGGGGCUCUGUUCCUUCCUUGCAUGUCGUCAAUUAUCUGCGCUAGUCUGCGCACUUCCCCCUCCAGCUGCAACGCACGACCAGGGUCACGUGCUGCAACUUGAUCCCACUCUUGCUCUACAUCAUGCAAGUGUUGCCUCAACUCUGUUUCCUCUGCAUUCACCACCCCGUCGCCCUCGUCACCAGUCUGUCUUGCUGGGGACUGCUCUCUUUCUCUAUGAAAUUCUCCCUGCAGAGGUACGUUACCUCUCUCACCACCAAAUCUCCCGGGGGUUUGACUUCUCCCCGCACUAUCGGGACCUGGUGCCACUCCACCGCCUCUCACCCUUCCCUCUUGGGUUACCCUUCGCUCGCUCCGCAGCUCAUGCAGGAUGGUUGUCAAGGUCUCCAUCUGCUUUUCCAUCCGUUCCAUCUGGUCGAACAUGACUUUUUCCCGUGCUUCGCUGACUAUCUCCCUCAGCGUCACGGAAUCGUUAAGCCUCCUAUCACCCCCUUGUGCACUACUUCUUCCUGUCUCCAUUGCUUUUCACUUGCUUCACCCCUCUUCUUGCUAUCAACAGAAGCUUUUUGCUCUGGUCCCCACAGACGGCGCCAAAAUGUUGAUGCAGGAUUCCGGUUCUUCUCGUUCUACGACCAGGAUCUCUGCUCGAUCAACUUCGUCACGACCAGGAGGUCUCCUCGCAAGACUUUUUCUCUAGAGAUUCCUGCGCACACAGACAAGUCAGAGUACGCCGGUUGUUUUCCCGGCGCAAACCCUCCGACGCUCAAGUCAGAUAUGAAGGUUCGGGGAACGCUUGCCACCGAUCUUAUGGCUUUUUCGUGGUUUUCUCUUCUUUUUAAUUCCUUUUCUAAUGAGAAAAAUGCCAACCCUUUUACCUCGUCGGCUACCUUUUUAUAGGCUUCCUCUGAAUCCCAGUUUUCCGCUCUUUUCGAGACGGUAUGGGACUCUGACUGCUGCGUUAUGGGCAAACGUGGGAUCUUGCGUGUUACGCCACCGUUCUGGGAAAAGCGCGGCAGUCGUGGUUCUGUGAGAUCUUGCGUGUUACGCCACGGUUCUGGGGAAAGCGUGGCUGUCGUGCCUAGGUUCUCGGGCUGGAGAGCAUGUCUCGUCAACUGCCGUCGACCGGGUCUCCUCGCCUCUCGACCUCUAGCCGGAAUGACCUUAUGCCUCUUACAGGAAAUUGGCCUCGCGGAUGACCUGCUCGUGGACGAGCAGGAUAUUUCUGCUCCUGUUCCCCCGCGUACCAGGCUUUUACGGGACACACCGGUUCGCAGAACUCUGCCAUCAGAUAUCUGCUCACCGUGCCUGGUCUCGUCGACGUAUUUCUCCCAAACACCUGGUAUGACUGCUUAUGCUGGAUUUUAUGAGGUGUGCUCUCCUAAGCAAGGAGAGUGGGUCUUAAUAUGGGCAAGGGUGCAGUUGGUCAGCUUAUGGGGCAGUUUGCAAAGUUACUGGGCUGCUAUGUUGUCGGAAGUGCUGGAAGCAAAGACCAGGUAUACAAACAAACAAUCCGUAUCAGUUGCUUGAUUGUUCCCAUUUUGCUUUCAAAAUAUCUAACUUACAUAAGGAAAAUUUUCACCAUCUCGUCUUUUCUUUGAUUUUGAACGCUAAGAUUGAUCUACUGAAGAAUAGGUUUGGGUUCGAUGAGGCGUUCAACUAUAAAGAAGAUCCUGAUUUGAAUGCAGCCUUGAUAAGGUUAGUAUAUCAGCAAACUACAAAUUAGAAGACAUUUUUUCCUGAAAAUCAAAUAAUGUUUCUAAUUUGACAGGUGGUUUCCUGAAGGCAUUGACAUAUACUUUGAAAACGUUGGUGGGAAAAUGCUCGAUGCGGUGCUGAUCAACAUGAAAAUCGGUGGUCGAAUUGCUGUGUGUGGGAUGAUCUCGCAGUACAACCUUGACGAACCCAAAGGCGUACACAACUUGACGCGUCUUAUUUCGAAACGGGUUCGGAUGGAAGGAUUCCUCGUAUCGGAUUACAAUAAACUCUAUCCGAAAUUUCUGGAAAUGAUCAUUCCUCACAUCAAGGGGGGAAAGAUUGUAUACAUUGAAGACACGGCUGAAGGUCUUGAGAGUGCUCGGGCAGCUCUCGUCGGUCUGUUCUCUGGCCGGAAUCUCGGGAAACAGGUGGUUGCAGUUGCUUCUGAAUGAAUGAAGGAUUUGGUUGUUUACAUCAUGCUUCUACUCGUCCAUUUAUUUAAUAAAAUGGUUACGCUCAAUGAGUGUAAUUUUUAUGAUGCUAAAUUAAAUGUGGAAUGUGGCUGCUGGUUUGAUAAUGUUAAAAGUGCUAAAAAAUUUCAUGUUAGGCGCGGUGUGCGUCUGUAUAUCAUUUUUAGGUACGGGCAUUCUAUCUUUUUUUUUUAAUUAAUACAGACACAUUCUUAAACUGUAUGGUUUAAGAGAGAGUUAAAAAAAACUUUUACCACAUGGUUUAAAAGCGUAUCCGUAUGGAAAAAAAAUGAAAGUCCAUUGGAGAAGAAUUUUAUAUAUAGUCCAGGAUAUUAAAGUGCGGGAAAACUAUAGAGUUUUAAAAACUUAAAAUUUAAAACGUUUAAACUGCACGAUUUAUGUGUUUUUCGAUGUGAUCCCACAUUUUAAAAUUGUGGAUUGGAACAUUUGUCUUUGAGGGAAAAAAAACAAUAACAACAACUUCUUUUGGAGACCGUGGGGCUCAUAUGCAGAUUCAACCCCGAGCUAUACACUGGAUCUGGUGGGCUAGGUUUGAACCCAAAACAAGCUCUAUUCAUUACACGGUUCAGCGGGUUGGUCCAUUUGACGCUUCUAACUUAACAAUUUAAUCAUAAUAAAUUGAAAAAAUAAAAUAAAACCCACGUAUCUAAAUUAUUGUAUUGAGCUAUUGGUGCAGAGAAUAAGUAUAUAUGAGAACAAAAACAACACGAUGUAGUCGCUCGUUUUGUCACUUCUAAAAUCAGGAUUUAGAGCAUCACCAAAAGGCUCUUCAAAUAAGAUUUUAUUACUCAUUUGAAGAGCCACAUCAAUAUUUAAAGCUCCAAAAGACACUCUAAUUAAGAUUCUUCAAAUAAGAAUUGAUUCUCUCUCUUCAAAUUUGGAGAGUUAAUUUCUCCCUCUUCAAUUUAUAUUUUAUUACUUUUCAUUAAAAAAAGAGAGAGAAGUGCUUUAAUUGCUAUUGACUUUUCCUUUUAAAAACUAAUUAUAUGAUUAAAAUAAUAUUAACUUAUUUCUAUUUGAAGAGUCUUUUGGAAAAUAUCAUAUUUUUUCACCCUUCUAUUUGCCACAUAGGUAAGCAAAUAGAUAUUUGAAGAGUAAAAUUUAUAGAGGCUUUUGGAGAUGCUCUUAUGAUAGAGUCAUAGUGUUAACAGUACAUCGGUGUAUAAUUAUUUGUAAUGAAAUUAAUUAAUAUGGGUUUUAUGUUGUCUUUGUCAAUAAUCAAUUAAAUUUUUCGUUUUCAUUUAAAUGUUACUGAUCGAUGAAACAUUUGACUGCGUUCAAGUUAUCUUUUAAUUUUGUGAGAUCCACAUUGUUUUUAUUUCAAAAACAUAAUUUUUCAUAUUAUUAAAAAGCUGUUGCUUGGGCCUAGAGAAAUUGGAUUAAUGAAAUACCUUAAGGGUGUGUUUGACACAUUAUAUUGUAUUAUGUUGCAUUGCAUUAUUUUAUUUGGUGUUGCACUAUACUUUACUAAUUUUUUUGCAAUUAAUUUAAAUUACAUAGUUAGCAAAUAAUAUUUAUUAGUGCUUAGAAAAAUACUAAAUAUAGAAGUCUUAAAUUUUAGAAAUUUAACAAUUUUUUUACUAUAAAUGUUAAAAAAUAUAAUAAUUCUUCAUAAAGAUGGAAGCUUACAGCCUUAAGUUUUUGGAAGCAGAGCAUUUAUUUUUUAGUAUCUUCUAAAUAUAUAAUUUUUGAAAUAAAGAUAUAAGCACAUAAUUUAAUCACAUAGUCUUUAAAUAAUAUAACAACAUAAAUAAAUAGUUAAAAUGUGCAAGAUUAGUUCAAAACUCAUCUUAGGAUGAUAUAAUAAAAGUUUAUACACACCACAAGAUAAUCACAAAAUAAUAAAGUGAUAAAAUUAUUAUAACAUAUUCACUACCAAAAUAAAUUAUAUUAAAUAAUCCAAGUGAGAGUUCUGUAGUUUAUAUAAUAAUAUUAUUUAUGUUAUUAUUAUUAAUUUUAAAUUAAUAUUAUCCAAAUUUAUUCAUACUUAAAUAUGUAUUAUUAGUUAUAUUACAUUAUUUUUACAUAUUAAUUAUUGUAAUAUAAUUAAAUAAUGUAAAAUUAUAUUAUAUUUUUAUAUACUAUUUAAGUAUUUAUUAUUAAUUAUAUUCAAUUAUAAAUUUAUUAAUAAAUUAUAGUGCAAAAAAAAAUAGAAAUAAAAAUUAAUAUUGUAUAAUAAAUAACAUUCUGCUCCCAAUUUCUGGAUUUUAAAUUCCAAAAAUAGUAUUCACGUUCGCCACAUUCAAAAAUCCAACCUGGGCUUGGAGAUUCGAUUCAUCUCAUAGAUUAAUUUUAUAAACUAAUGUUUAGUGAAAAAUUAACCUUAAUGGGUCCUCCUCUCCAGGCCUAAUUCUUAAUUUUUUUUUUAAUUUGGUCCUACUUAAGUGGCUUCUAACGUUACCGUGUCUUUAUUUUGUGUACAGUUGUUUUACUAAUUUGUCAUUUAGUGCAAAUAACAGCACUCAACUUGUAAUAUCCAGUAUCCACAAAUCAGCCACUUCGGCCAAGGCCGAAGUGGUGGGCUGCUGCCCUCACAAUGCUUGUGAGGGCAGCGGUUCUAGCCCCCACAAAAGCAUUGUGGGGGUUAAAUGUUCUUUAUAUUUCCAAAAAAAUCCUUCUCUCUUGCAAAAUGUAAGUGGAGUAUGGACAUCCCUCUCCUGUGAGGGGUUAUUUGUCUGGGCAUGUACUUCAUAGAAUUCAUUGUAAUAAUGUAAGUCCCAAUCAUGUAUAUCUGAUUGUAAAUAUCAGUGUAAUAUCUCUGCUACAAUAAGCAGUUGUUGUAAAUAUCUGUCUGAUGAUUAAUCAGUAUUCAAAAAAAAAAAAGUAUCCACAAAUCAUGAACUCAUUUUUUAGUUCUUUCAUGUGUACUAACAUUCGUACAAAUAUACAAUAAGUUCAUAAUUUAGUCCAAGUUGACGAGAAAUUCUUGACCCACCCCUAAAUAUCUGUCCGCCAAUAGCGUGAAGUGGCCGGCAUAAAUUUAAAGCAGCUGGGACAUUGUAACUCAUCCAAAGAUUGUAUAACAUCUCUUUUUUGCUUUAUCGUUUUUCUCCAGUUGCAUAGUUUCUUAUCCUACCGCUUUAAAAACAAUUAUUCCUAGAAAUUUUCAUUUAUCUAAUGAAUUUUAAGAAUUUUUUCAGCAAACAAUUUUUACUUUUUUUUUUUUUUAUCAUUGAUGGGUAAAGAAAAUAUUAAUGAAAAAUGAGGAGUUAUUGGCUGGUUCAACGGAUUAAUUGCAAUGAUAAAUACAGGGAGGAUUGGAUUAUAUGGCAAAUUUUUAUAGUAAAUGUAAUAUAUAUGCUAACACUUUUUAUUUAUGGCAAAAUAUCUUCCUCUUUUGAGACUUUUCCCUCUAAGAAAAUUGGAGGAUACGACAAUAUAUAUAUAUAUAUAUAUACUAAUAUUUAUCAUUUAUAGAAAAGUAUCUAUCCCACUUAAGAUUUGCCCCACUAGAAAAGGAAAAAAAAAUCCCUCAAAAUAAAAGAGCGAAAUGGAAACAGAACAAAAUUUGAUUUUGUGGAUCUUGUAUUGUGUGAUAAGUCCGGCAUGCAAUUUUGGGCCAGCUUACCGUGCGCAUGGGAGCAUUCACAAAGUAUCUCUCGUCACUAUCGAAAACUUUUAACAGUCAAUACAAAUGCUUCCGUUUCAUCCCAUAAACAAAUAAAAUUCACAUCUGUACACAUCUACUUUGCUUUGCUAGAUAGAGUUCCUCUGCAUUUCCCAAUUGCCUAAAGAGAAGGGGAAAAGAAAAAGAGGGCCAAAAAAUGCCUGAAAUGGUAAGGAACAAGCAAGUGAUAUUGAAGGACUAUGUGUCUGGUUUCCCAAAAGAAACAGACAUGUACAUGACCGAAAGUUCCAUAGAAUUGAAGGUGCCAAAAGGUUCAAAUGGGGUUCUUUUAAAGAACUUGUACUUGUCCUGUGAUCCGUACAUGCGACCAAGAAUGACCUACAUCGAAGGAUCUUAUGUUGAAUCCUUUAAACCUGGCUUGGUUAGUGCACUCGCUCAUGGCCACGCUUUUCAUUUCCAUGGCUUCUUGCUCUUUUGUUAUAGAAAAUUUAUUUUUGGUUGCAGUUUGGUUCGACUGCUAAAAUCUCGUGCGAUAAUUGUAUAAGAUAUCUAGAGUUUGAACUUCUUUCACAUUAGGGUUCAAGGAAGUUAACUUAAAUGAUUUUCAAAAUUUUAAAUGUGUACCAAUGAAUUUAAUUUCAUAGCUUAAACUUAUUGUUUGAUCAUACUCUAACUUUGGACAGGAAAAUUAUAUUUUUCCUUUUGUUCUUUGACUUCGUGUAUGUUGUGUGAAGUACUUGUGCUUGAAAAUGAAUUGCUGACACAGAAAUUUCUAUGAAUGCAUGCAGCCCAUAAGUGGAUAUGGGGUGGCUAAAGUUUUGGAUUCAGAGAAUCCAGAGUUCAACAAAGGUGACUUGGUUUGGGGAAUGACUGGAUGGGAAGAGUAUAGUCUCAUUACGGCUCCACACUUGUUUAAAAUUCAGCACACAGAUGUGCCUCUUUCUUACUAUACUGGAAUCCUCGGUAAACUUUUUGUUUGCGCAAUUUAUGUGAGCAAAUUGUGUCUUCUUUUUCAUAUGUAAAUGUUUUUGAUAUCUUGAUGUGAAGGUAGAAAAUUGCAUGUUUUGAGUUUUUGCAUAUUUGAUGGAAACACAGAACCGUACCUGAAUAUUUCAGAACCCCCUUUUCUUUGAAGUUUGAACACUUUUCUUGAAUGUAUCAACUUUAUUUAUGGGAUAUGUUGCCAAAUUGGCAAAUCUAUUCGUUAUAAAACUUUCCUUUGACAGUUUAAUCUAAGCAGAUGUUAAUUCUGCAAAUAGAGUGUGCCUUAGUUUAGAUUGAUAGAUUUGUCUCCUUCUGUACAGUAAAAACUUUGAGCAUUUUCGCCAUAUUCUGAUCAAUACACUCCAACUAGUUAGUUCUUGAGGCGUUUCCUGGUUUCGUGGAGUGAGCCAAGAUGUAUACGUUUGCAAAUUGGCAAUGUCUUUUGCUUGAUGUGUUGUGAGUUGUGAGUGUCAAUAGGAAAGUUUCAAAGUGCGCAGUGCUCACUUGAGCACCCAUAUUACUUGGUGACCUGUUGCCUCAGCAAACAAGACCUCUGUUUUAUGAACUCCAAAAAGUUAUUCUGUUAAAAAGAUCGAGACAGAGGCCAUACUAUAUUUAUUAUUGCUAUAAAAGUGUCAAACAAUAUUCUUUAUUUAAUAUUCUAAACGAUUGAGCCAUUUAGUUAUGAUACUCUGCUGUACUGGGGCUAAUAAUCUAAGUCGGUUCAAAGUGGUAAAUUUAUAAAUUGAUAGGUAUGCCUGGUAUGACCGCUUACGUUGGAUUUUAUGAGGUCUGCUCUCCUAAGCAUGGAGAGUGCGUCUUCAUAUCAGCAGCAUCUGGUGCAGUUGGUCAGCUUGUGGGGCAGUUUGCAAAGUUAUUGGGUUGCUAUGUCGUCGGAAGUGCUGGAAGCAAAGACAAGGUAUGUAAUCUGUGUGAACUACUUGAUUGUUUCCAUGUUACUUUCAAACAUUUAAAUUAAAAAGGAAAUUUUCAUAAUCUUGCCUUUUCUAUGAUUUUCAACACCAAGGUUGAUCUACUGAAGAACAAGUUUGGGUUCGACGAGGCAUUUAACUAUAAAGAAGAAGCUGAUUUGAAUGCAGCAUUGAAAAGGUUAGCAUCAAUAAAUGCCUUAGCUUGAUGCAGCUUGAUGAAGUAUGAUACACAUUUCUGACCAAUAUACUGCGUUCCCUGAUCUCUUACUUGAAAUAUCUUGGUUUGAGAAUCUCAUGCCAAUGCCUUUAACAUUUUGGCAGGUACUUUCCUGAAGGAAUUGAUAUAUAUUUUGAAAACGUUGGUGGAAAAUUGCUUGACGCAGUGCUACCCAACAUGAAAAUCCGUGGUCGAAUUGCUGCAUGCGGUAUGAUCUCACAGUACAAUCUUGACAAGCCUGAAGGUGUGCACAACUUGAUGUAUCUUGUUUCGAAACGGCUUCGAAUGGAAGGAUUCAUUGUUCUGGAUCACUAUCACCUCUAUCCAAAGUUUCUGGAAAUGAUCAUUCCUCACAUCAAAGAAGGGAAGCUUGUAUACGUCGAAGACAUGGCUGAAGGUCUGGAGAGUGCUCCGGCAGCUCUCAUCGGUCUAUUCUCUGGCCAGAAUGUUGGGAAACAGGUGGUUGCUGUUGCUCCUGAAUGAAGAACAAGUUAGUGUUGUGUGUUCUUUUACCCUUUGACACAAAACUUCAAUGUUAAAGAGAGAAUGCUGCUCAUACUGCUUUAUAAAAUAAUCAAAUGAGUGCAAGUUUCAUGAUAUGUGCUGAAUAAAAAUAUUGGAAAUUAAGCAGCUAGCCUAGCUCCUUCUUGUAGUUGCAGUUUGAAUGAUGCUGCUGCACAACUGCUGCCGAAAAAAUCCUUAAUAGAUGAUUAGCAAGGUUUCAAAAAUAAAAAUAAAUGUUUGUGCAAUGUGCCGAAUAUGACAGCCACAAAGAAAGAGCAUACAAAUUGACUGGUUUUAUGUCUUCUCUAGGAGAAAGCUACAAUACAAGAAAUUGUAUUGAUGCCAUGGACCAAAUUUCUUAUUUAAACUUUUAAUUUUUUUUUAUUAAAAUUACUUAUGUUAUUAUGGUUUAUAUUUUUAGAAAUUCUUUAGAAAUUAAUACAGAACUAGUAGCAAGUUGAGAAAUCUAAUGAAUGGUCGAGAUAUGAUCAUGUUUAUUGAAUUAAAUUGACAAUCAUCAUUUUGAUAAAUUAUUGUUAGGAUAUUUGAUUCAUCACAGGUGUAAGUAACUAAAUGUGCUAAAAAAAAAGUUAAUGAGUUGUGAGUGUUUGAUAUUCGUUUGUUGUAAUUCUUUUAAUAAUUGUUGUGGGAAAAAAAUUAUGGUAAAAAAAUUAUAAUUAUAAAAUAAAAAUUAAUAAUAUAUUAUAAAUAAAAUUUUUAAAUAAUAAUUUUAAUAAAAUAAUAAAUAUAUUAUGAAUUUUUCAUUAUAAAUUUUUAAGUUAAAAUAAUAAAUAUUUAUUAAAUAUUUUAAUAGCACAACUUUUAAAUUAUAACAGUACAAUGUAAAUACCAGAGGUCUUAAAAAAUAAAAUUACAGUCAAGUUUUAAAACUGUUAAUAAUGCUAUUCAUAAAGGCGCUCGUCGUGUAAACAACACAUGGGACCCAACCAAUAAAUGUUUAUGAUCCUCAACUUUCCUCCUCACCGUCCCUGCAAACAAUUCUGAUUUUCUUGUCUGAGAAAAAAACUGAGAAACAAUGGCGGCCGAACAAGAAGCUGUGAGCAAUAAGCGGGUGAUUCUAAGCAACUAUGUGACAGGUUUUCCAAAAGAAUCGGACAUGAAGAUAACAUGUGGAUCAAUAAAACUGGAGGUAGCAGACGGUUUAAAAGACACGGUGCUUUUGAAGAAUCUUUAUAUUUCUUGUGAUCCUUACAUGCGAGAGCGUAUGAGCAAGCUUGAUAGACCUUCUUUUGUUGAUUCAUUCCAUCCUGGUGAGGUUAGUUCAUCACGACCCAUCUCUUGAUUUUUUUUUUUUUUCAUUUGCUUCAAGUUUUGAUGAGUUUCUGAGGUCAUUUGUACGGUUUUGGAAUGUGAACACUAUUAGUGAUUUUGGGGCUGUAACUGUCAUUAAUGAUAUGUAGUAAUUCAAUCAGAAUUUGGAUUUAGUGCUGAUAUGAUCUCUGCUCAUUUUUUAAAAUCUUGUGUCCAGAUGCAUUUUUAUAAUCUUGUACGGUUGAGAUUGUAAGUAGAUUAAUCUACGUGCAGUAUUCUUGUCUAAUGACUACUAACCACAACCUUAUGAGACGAUCGAAACCAAGCUCAGAUCAAUAAUCCAAUUGAGAGAGGGUCCUAACUCAAGCUUAUCGUGUGUAGGAAUAUUUCGGUUAAAUUGUAAUUCUUUUAAUAAUUGUUGUGAAAAAAAAAAAGUUAUGAUAAAAAAAUUAAUAAUUAUAAAAUAAAAAUUAAUAAUAUAUAAUAAAUAAGAUUUUUAAAUAAUAAUUUUAAUAAAAAAUAAUAAAUACAUUAUCAGUUUUUCAUCGUUAAUUUUUAAGUCACAACCACAAAUAUUUACUAAACACUUUAACACCAUAAUUAACACCACAACUAUUGAAUUAUAACUGUACAAUCUAGACGCCAAGAGGCCUUAGUAUGAAAAAAAAAAAUUACAGUUAAGUUAAAAUUCAUCAUACAGAUGUGCCACUUUCAUACUAUACCGGGAUCCUCGGUAAUGAUUUUUGUUACACAAUAAGAUUUGCUUAUAGUAAUAUCAAUACAUAUGCUGCUUAAAUGCUUUCUGAUUUUUUGCCGGCCAUUGUCCAUUUUGCCAGGGAGUCUAUAAUUGAAGGAAUUUACUGAAGGAAUGCUGAUUGUUGGGAAUUUGAUUAUUCUAGGUAUGCCUGGUGUAACUGCAUACGCUGGUUUAUACGAAGUUUGCUUUCCGAAGAAAGGAGAGUAUGUCUAUGUAUCUGCAGCAUCUGGAGCUGUUGGUCAGCUUGUUGGACAGUUUGCAAAAUUAGCUCGUUGCUAUGUUGUUGGAAGUGCAGGAAGCAAAGAAAAUAUAGCACCGUGCCUUCUAGCAGAAUUUUACUUGCUUUAUGUUCCAACUAAGCAUCCAUAUUUGAUCAUGAUAAUUAGCAAGGUCAAUAAUUUUUUUUUGACUAUUUUUUCAACGUAAGGUCGAUUUGUUGAAGAACAAGUUUGAACGAUGCUUUUAACUACAAGGAAGAGCCUGAUUUGGAUGCAGCACUCAAAAGGUCAGCUGCAACAAACGUUUCAACUCUAAUAUUUCAUUUUAAUAUUACAGAGCUUUGGUUGAAGUGUGUGAGUUGAUCCCAGAAACGUAACUUCAUCAGUGUCUCUGUUUUCAAAAAACAGGACAAAUAGAAAUCUGAUUUUGCUUUAAAAUUUCCCAGAUGCUUCCCUCAAGGAAUCGACAUAUAUUUCGAAAAUGUUGGGGGAAAGAUGCUGGACGCAGUGCUACUCAACAUGAGGCUCCGGGCCGCAUUGCAGUAAGCAGUAUGAUCUCACAGUAUAACCUGGAAAAACCCGAAGGCGUUCACAACUUAGAGCAACUGAUCGGGAAACGGAUUCGCCUGGAAGGAUUUCUAGCUGGUGAUUACUAUCACCUCUAUCUGAAAUUCUUGGAACUGGUCAUUCCUCCAAUCAGAGAAGGAAAGAUGCUGUAUGUGGAAGACAUGGCCGAAGGACUCGAGAAAAUUUCUCGUAACUGCUACACAUUAAACGCGUUUCACAUUUCCACUCUCUUUCUAUAAAUAAAUACGCACAUAAAAUUUCUCACCAUCCAAAAACAAAAUCUACAUAAAAAAUGGCGGGUGAAGAAGCAGUGAGCAACAAGCAGGUGAUUCUGAGCAACUACGUGACAGGGUUUCCCAAGGAAUCAGACAUGAAGAUAAUAACAGGCUCAAUAAACCUUAAGGUGCCAGAGGGUUCAAAAGACACAAUGCUUUUGAAGAAUCUUUAUCUUUCUUGUGAUCCUUACAUGAGAGGACGUAUGAGCGAGCUUGAUAAGCCUUCGUUUGUUGCCUCAUUCGAGUCUGGCGAGGUCAGUUACUUCAAUUCCCAUCUCUUGGUUUCAUAAUCUUUUAUGGUUUUAGAAGGUGUUUUAGGGAAACAUUGUGGUUUUGGUUAGUGGGCAUGAGUCUUUGAAGAGAUUAUAAUGUGUAGGACUAUGCAUGCAAUAAUAAGCAUAGGGGAUCUUGUUAGGAGAAGAUUCUCUUAGCAAAAUAAAAACUUUUAUCUUAUCAAAACAUAUGCAGGGAACUUAGUUAUGAUGUCAUGUUAGCAUUAUCUCUGAGGAUUUGAUUUCUUGAUGGGGAAAGGGGAAUUUAAGGUUACAUUAUUCAGCAAUGUUUUUUUUUUAAAAAAUUAUGUUCAAAUUAUGCAGCCUUUAAGCGGAUAUGGAGUGUCCAAAGUGUUGGAUUCCACGCCUCCAAAUUAUAAGAAAGAUGACUUGGGUGGCGUUUGUUUUUUAACUUAAUGACUUAAAGUGACUUAACUUAAUUAAUUAAGUUAAUUAGAGAUGUUUGUUUUUAUAACUUAAUGUGACUUUUUAAAUAAUUUUGACUUAAUAAAAUAAGCCAAUUUUAUUUACUUUUUACUUAAUAGAGACAUCUGAAUUAAGUCAAGUACUUUCUAAUGUCAAAAAUAUACAUGCUUUAUAAUUUAUUUUUCAUGUCUAUCCCAAAACUCACCCAUAGACAUUUACCCCACAUAAUAAUCUCAUCAUUAUUUUUUUAGCCGUCAUGAAAUCCCUCCUCACUUUGGUAUCAACUCCUCAACUAUUGAAGAUCAAAAUUACAUGCGACAACUUCGAGAUGAAUGGCAAAUCAACUGUUUCAAGCAUCUUAUUCGUUUUUUUUCUUUUUUAUAUUAUAUACGAUAAAAUUUGAAAUUUAUGGUAUUUUAUAUAUUAAAAUUCCAAAAUCAUUAUAUAUUCACUUGAAUAUAGUUUUACUUAUAAAUGUUAAAAUAUUGUGAUAUUUAAUAUAUUAUUUAUUUGACAUUCAAAUUUAAUAAGGAUACAAAUGUAAAAGUACAUAUUUUUCAGUUUUUUAAGUUGAAAAAAGCAAACAACUUAAUAAUUAUUUUUCGAGAUUCAGACGAAAAAACAAACAUAUUAUUCAGAUUCAGACAUUCAGAUCUAUUCAGAAUUUAGACUAAUUCAGGUCUAUUCAGAUUUCAGAUAAAAAAACAAACGCCACCUUGGUCCGGGGCUUAACCAGUUGGGAGGAGUUCAGUCUCAUCCAAUCACCACAACUUCUGAUUAAAAUUCUGGAUACAAGUGUGCCUCUGCCAUAAUUAAUUGACAGGUUGCUAUGUUGUUGGAAGUGCCGGAAGCAAAGAAAAGGUGAGUUUGCACCCUUAACCCUUACGCUCUAAAUAAAAACAUAACACCUUCUGAAAGAAUUGUGCAUAGAGAAUUUUGCAUGUCACAUUAUUUGUGUUCUAACUAAUCAUGGAUAUUUGAUCAUUAGUCUAACUAAAACUGACAUAUUACCACCUAGUUGACUGGUCUUUGAGAAAUGUUAGUUGAUAUAUGCUUGAAAUCAUACUUGUUUUAUUAGAUGAUUAUAUUAACCUGCUUCUUUUUCUUUGUGCUGUUUCUCGUUUGAUUACAUUUUCAACAUUAGGUCGAUCUAUUGAAGCACAAGUUUGGGUUUGAUGAUGCCUUUAACUAUAAGGAAGAGCCUGACUUGGAUGCAGCUCUUAAUAGGUUAGCACGAAUGAAUGCUUUAACCAUUUUUCUCACUUCAUUAUUACAAUGCGCUGAUUGAAGUAAUCAGUGUUGGCUCUGAAAAUGUAACGUAUACUUCUCUGUUUUCAUAAAACAGGACAAACAGUGAUCAGUGAUCUCAUUCGUUACAUUGAUAUUUUCUACCAUUGCCAUACAUAGUAUAAACUAGGAAUUCAGUUGCUUAAUAGAUAUUCAUUUCAGAGGGAAAUUUUCACUUGCAGCUAACAGAAUCAUGUUUGUGAUGUAUGUUUAUUUGGGAAAUGAAAGGAUUUGUUGCAUUAUUUUAUUCCAAGUUUGCUGAAAUCAUAUUUGUUUUCCCAGGUGCUUUCCUGAAGUUAUCGACAUCUAUUUCGAAAAUUUUGGAGGUAAGAUGCUUGAUGCAGUGCUACUCAACAUGAGAAUUUGUGGCCGCAUCGCUGUAUGCGGAAUGAUCUCACAGUACAACUUUGAGAAGCCUGAAGGUGUACACAACUUGAUGCAAGUAGUUGGAAAACGAAUUCGCAUGGAAGGAUUUCUUGCCAGUGAUUUCUACCACCAAUAUCCAAAAUUCUUGGAACUGGUUAUGCCGGCAAUCAAAGAAGGAAAGUUAGUAUAUGUCGAGGACAUAGCUGAAGGCCUCGAGAAAGCUCCAUCAGCCCUAGUUGGGAUAUUCACAGGUCAAAAUGUUAAAAAACAACUGGUUGUAGUUGCUCGGGAAUGAUAUGAUUACUAUAUGCUUUAAAAAGUGGACUUUGCCAUGCACUUUAAAAGCUUAGUGAAGAUGCCUUUGUCUUAUUUUUGAUACAUGUUAUGUUUGUUUGAUCAAGUUGUACUCAGCUAUAAAUCAAAGAUUCAGAACAUGUGUAUGAUACUGGUUUCUAAAUCAAUGAACGCGUUGAAAUGUUAGUGUUUUCACAGGAGAAUGCAAUUUAAUUCAUCAACAAUGUCCCAACAAGACCCUCAGAGCUGUAGCUUGUAAAGUUAAUUACGAUAUUUUUUUGUAAAGUAAAUUACCAUAUUUUUUUCUUUCCAAUAUAUUGCUUAUUUCAUAGAAAGUUUACAUUAAAGUCUCAUGUUUCUUUGAAAGGUAAGCAAGUGUGAACGUUUCAAUCUAGAGCUGGAAAAUGCAUUUCCGGGCAACUUACUUGAUACAUGAAGUUUUCAUCUCUGACCUUGAUGUUUCCCAUAGUUGCAUUCAUUUCAGCUGAUCUAUUUAAUUUUGUUUUCGAAGGAGUGACACAAAAUCUCCUUUGUUAAGGGGAGAAUUUAGAGUGGCUUUGACUGUUAGCAAAUAGCCUAAUGUAAGACUUAACCAACUUCCUGCCCUGUUGUAUGCUUAUGAAUUUUGAUAGAGCUAAGAGUUUGCAGAAGCUACUGUAUUAUUUGUCGUUAGAGGCUGUAAAAAUCAAACACAUUUAAAUUUCAAUGAAAAUUUACUGGAAGUAAAUUUCCUAUGAUCCCACAGGUGACUAAUUAAUGAGAACUUGACAAUGACAAAAGAAAGUCUAUGAACUUUGCAGGCUGGCAUGCCAAUAUUGACUGGGUGGCACCAUCCACCAUCUGCAAGUGAAUAUCAUUGUUGUUUAAUCAACAAGGUGGAGUCCACUGGGACCACACCACAUCGUCAGCCUUAUCUCUAUUCCUCAAUUUUCAGUAUUCCAUACAUCAAACCAAUUUCAGUUUUGUUAUCAAUUAUAAUUUUAUUGUUGGUGACGAUUCUGAUUCCUUUCUGACAAAAGGGAACCAUGGCUGCUGCUGGAGAGAUCUUACUCAACGCCUUCUUUCAGGUACUGUUCGACAGGUUGGCUUCUCGUAAUUUGCUCAGCUUUGUGCGUCAACUCCAAGGCGGGGUUGAUUCGGAGCUCAAAAAGUGGGAGAAAAAGCUGAAGAUGAUUCGGGCUGUGCUCUGCGAUGCAGAGGAGAAGCAACUGACUGACGAGGCUGUGAAGAUGUGGCUGGACGAACUCCAAGACUUGGCUUAUGACGCUGAGGACACUCUUGAUGAGUUUGCUACUCAAGCUUUGGAAAGCAAGUUGAUGGCGCAAAAUCACGAUAGUUCUGGCCAGGUUCUCAGUUUCAUCCCGGCUGGUUUGAAUCCGAAUGCUAUUAUGUUCAAUUAUAGCAUGGGGUCCAAGAUGAAAGAUAUUACUAGCCGGCUGGAGCAACUCUGCCAAGAAAGAAUUGAACUUGGACUGCAACGGAUUACCGGAGAGGCAUCAUCAACUGCUGCUGCUGCACACCAGAGGCCACCCAGUUCGAGUGUCCCAACAGAACGUGAAGUAUUUGGAAGAGAAAAAGAUAAGGCCAAAAUUCUUGAUAUGUUAUUAGCCGAUACCAUAAGUGAUCAUGCUAACUUUGUUGUAAUACCCAUUGUUGGCAUGGGUGGGAUAGGAAAAACAACUCUCGCUCGGGAGGUUUACAAUGACAAAGCCGUUGGAGGUUCCAAGUUUGAUGUAAAAGCAUGGGUUUGUGUAUCUGAUGUCUUUGAUGUUUUGGGCAUCUCAAAGGCACUUCUCGAGUCAAUCACCCGCAGGCCUUGUCUUCUAAACAGUUUAAAUGAAGUGCAGGUUGAAUUGAAAGUAGCUGUGGAUAAGAAAAGAUUCUUGCUGGUCUUAGAUGAUGUUUGGAACGAGGACUACAGCUUGUGGGUAGACUUAAAAGCUCCGUUCCUGGGUGCUGCACCAAACAGUAAGAUGAUCGUCACCACACGCAAUUCAAAUGUUGCAUCAACAAUGGGACCAAUUGAACAUUACAAUCUCAAGAGUCUGUCAGAUGAUGAUUGCUGGUCCAUUUUCAUAAAGCAUGCAUUUGAAUCUAGAGAUCUUAACGCACAUCAAAUUUCAGAAUCAUUCCGCAAGAAAGUUGUUGCCAAGUGUGGAGGCUUGGCCCUGGCAGCAAAAACACUCGGAGGCCUUCUGCGUACGACGAGGCAUGAUGCGUGGGAUGAUAUAUUAGAGAGCAAAAUAUGGGAUUUACCUCGACAAAGUGGGGUUCUCCCAGUAUUAAGAUUGAGUUACCAUCAUCUUCCUUCUCAUUUGAAAAGAUGUUUUGCUUUUUGUGCCAUCUUUCCAAAAGAUUAUGAAUUCACUGAGAAGGAGCUGACUUUCUUAUGGAUGGCUGGAGGUAUUAUUCGACAGUCAAGAAACAAUGAGCAGCUGGAAGAUUUGGGCAGCAAGUGCUUUGGUGAUCUAGUGUCGAGGUCAAUUUUUCAGCAAACAGCAAGCUCUGAUAGUUCUAAAUUUGUAAUGCAUGACCUUAUUCAUGAUCUUGCUGAAUUGGUCUCUGGAGAAACCAUAUUCAGGUUAGAGGAGGCCAAUACUCUGUCAAGAAGAUUUGAAAGGGUUCGCCAUUCUUCCUAUGCUUGUGGUGGAUGUGAUGGUAAAAAUAUGUUCGUGGUUUUCAAUGAAAUUGAACAUCUACGAACAUUCUUGCCAUUACGCUUACGCAUAAGAGGUGGCUCUAAUACUAGUUACAUAACUCGUACGGUUCUAUCUGAUUUGCUGCCGAAGUUCAAAAUGUUGAGAAUGCUAUCUUUACAAGGAUACCGUAUUGGUGAGUUACCAAUUCCAUUUGAAGAUUUGAGACUACUAAGGUUCCUCAACCUUGCUGACACUGACAUAAGAAGUUUACCUGAGUCAACAUGCAAAUUGCUGAACUUGGAAAUUUUGAUAUUAAGAAAUUGUUCCUAUUUGAUAAAGCUUCCGCAGAAAAUGAGGAAUUUGAUCAAUUUACAUCACCUCGAUAUAAGAGGUGCGAAGUUGCUGAAGGAGAUGCCAUUCGGAAUGAAAGAGUUGAAGAAGCUUCAAACAUUGUCCAAUUUCAUCGUGGGCAAGGGCGAAACUGCAUCUGGUUUGGAAGAUUUAAAAUGUUUAAACUUUCUUGGUAAUGAACUUUGCAUUGCUGGAUUAGAGAAUGUGAAUAAUCCACAGAAUGCAAGAAGAGCCGCAUUAUGCGAGAAGCUCAAUCUUGAAGCAUUGACUCUAGAAUGGGGGUCUCAAUCUGACAGUCCUCGAGAUGCAGUACCAGAAGAGAAUGUACUUGACACUCUACAGCCGCAUAAACGUAUAAAAGAGCUGGCAAUCAGACACUAUGGUGGUGCAAGAUUUCCACUUUGGAUCGGAGAUCCUUCAUUCUACGAGAUGAAGGUCCUUAAAUUGGAGAACUGUGACAAUUGUGUAUCUUUGCCGUCGCUUGGCCUGAUGAGUUCACUUAAGCACCUUGCUGUUAAAGGGCUGAAGAAACUAAAAAGCAUAGAGUCUGAGGUUUAUGGGGAGGGUUUCUCAAUGCCUUUUCCGUCACUGGAGAUUCUAAGUUUCGAGAAUUUGCCAGAAUGGGAGCAUUGGGACACCGAGAUCAAAGGAAAUGCGCCUGUUGAUUUAUUUCCUCGUCUCCAAGAACUUUCCAUUGCAGAAUGUCCCAAACUCUCUGGACAACUGCCUGAGCUCCUGCCUUCCUUGAAGACACUUGUUGUUAGUAAAUGUGAAAAGUUGGUAGUUCCAUUGUCUUGCUAUCCAAUGCUUUGCAGAUUAGAAGUUGAUGAGUGCAAAGAACUAGUCUGCCGGACUCCGAUUGAUUUUAAGUUGAUAAAGUCCAUGACUAUUUCAAAUAGUUCAUUAGACAUGAAUGGACGCAAGGGGAUGUUAUACGAUGGUCCAGCUGGCUCUUCACUGCCAAACCCCAUGACUACUACAAAUGUUUUAGAGUUUGGAAAAUUAUUGAAGCCUGGAUUUCAGAUAUUCGAAACUUUGGUAAUUGGCAAUUCUGAACAGCUCAAGUUAUGGAGGCAGCAUGGGGAUUUUCCGAAAAAAUACAUGGUCACUGACCAUGGGUUCAAGAAACCAGUACGAGGGCUGAAUAUGCUCGCUUCCCCUGAAGAGGUAACAAUUGAAGAAAGUUGCGUACGUCUUGUUUUGAUUCCAGAGAUCAAUUUCCUUCUCAGAAAUCUGCGCUCUCUUAUAAUUAACAACAGCACUGCUUUCAAAUCCUUACCCGAGGAAAUGAUGGAAAACAAUUCACAACUCGAAAGAUUGUAUAUCAGAGAUUGCGACUCUCUAAUAUUCAUCGCAAGACGGAGGCUACCAGCAUCUCUUAAAAGGUUUGAGAUAGGAAAUUGUGAGAAAUUGCAACGUCUGUUCGAUGAUGAAGAGGAUGCUUCUUCUUCUUCUUCUCCUUCAUCCUCGUCUUCCCCAGUGAUGCUGCAACACCUGAGUAUAGAGAACUGCCCAGAGCUCACCAGUUUAUCAUCGGGUGUCCAAUUCCUUGAGGCGCUUGAAGACCUCGUGAUACAGCAGUGUCGAAAGCUGGAGUCAAUACCGGAUGGCCUGCCCAAUCUUAAAUGUUUACAGAGCAUUAAUAUACGGGAAUGUCCAAGUCUUGUUUCCUUAACAGAAAGAGGGCUUCCCAACACCAUUUCAUUUGUUUACAUUUGCAGAUGUGACAAGCUCGAAGCCUUGCCCAAUGAUUUGCACAAACUCAGCUCUCUUCGAGAAUUAUUCAUACAGCUCUGUCCAAAUCUUGUAUCGUUUCCAGAAGAAGGUUUUCCUACCAAUCUAACAACACUUGUAAUUGGAGAUUUCAAAAUGUAUAAGACACUCGUCCAGUGGGGGUUGCACAGGCUUACCUCUCUUAAACGCCUCUGGAUUGCUGUACGUGAUGAUGAAGCAGAGUGUUUUCCAGACGAGGAGAUAGGAAUGACGCUGCCCACCUCUCUCACUGAUCUGCACCUUUUUGAUUUCGAAAAAUUGAUAUCUCUGUCUGCGACGGGUUUUCAGAGUCUCACCUCUCUUCAGAGUUUGUGGAUCGGGAAUUGCCCGAAUCUCACAUCAUUUCCAGAGGUGGGCCUUCCAUCCUCACUUUUGGGCUUAGACAUUAGAUAUUGUCCAAAGCUUAAAACAGCGUGCAAAAGAGAUGAAGGAAAAGAGUGGUCCAAAAUUGCUCACAUCCCUCACGUUGAGAUAGACGGUAAAUUCAUAUACGAUCCAGAAGCAGAGGAGUAGGUUCUACUAUUAAGGUCAGUUGAUUUGUAUUAUCCGCUAUAACAAGCUCCUCCUUUUUUAUUUUUUUUAAAAAUAAUAAUUUUGCAGUCACUCACGUGAUUCCGUUUUCACAAGUCAGAUUGUAUGUUGAGGCUAUUUGCCUUUUAAUCGCAGAUUAAAUUAUAACACUUAUCUUAAAAUUUAAUACCAUACACAGAUAGACGAUUUUUUAAUCCAAAGUUUUUUUUAUUCACUUCAGUUAGCAUUUUUUUUUUCCCCAAAUCAUGCAAGCCGAGAGUUUCAAUCAAGAAUUGGAGGAUGUGAAUGGGAUUUUUGUGAAAGAGUAACAUAAUGGAUGAACGAACAUUUCAUAUGUGAUCUCAAAGUCAACAGAAUUUUAUUCACUCGUUGACUUUUCAACUGCUGUGGUUAUUUAUGGGUGAAAGAUAAGGGCAAUUACAAAAAAUUUGCAAAAUUUGUCAAUUUCUUAGAUGGUAGAAAUUGGAGUAUAAUAUUUUGGAGCAAGCAUACUUGAAAUUUCUGUCUUCAAUAUUUUGAUGCUUUCUUAUCCCAUGCACAAAAGUACUAGAAAAAACUAAUAACAACUAACCGAAAAUCCCAGGCGUCAUAUUCCUUUUUACCGCGUUUUAAAAUGCACAACAAUGAUAUUCUUACAAAUUUGCAAAAUUUGUCAAUUUCUUAGAUUUCAGAUAUUUUAAUGCUUUUUUUAAUUUUUGAUCUAGUAAAAAUACAUAGCCUUCACCGGCAGGAUUCUAGUCUUGGCUUUCACCUCUCUAACUCAUCUGUUCCCAUUGGGAUUCCAGAAGCUAGAAAAAUGUGUAGUUUUCAGAUAAGGAGGCUUGUCAGUUCUCUAGUAAGAAUCCAAUGAUUUGCUUUUGAACGUCCAUCUAAUUUGUGGAUCCUUGCAUCAGAAUUUGAUCAAUCCAAAAGGAAUUGCUUUUAGACAGAAGAAGAAUAGCAGCACCUAGCCUACCCGCAAACCUGAAACUAUUAGAUUGAGGUAAAAAAAUCAUUGACCCUCACAUGUUAACUUCUUCUAGUUACUUUCGUUGGGAAAAAAAAAAACAUUUAAGGAAUUUGCAAUUUGUUGUUAGUUAUGGUAUCUGAUGUUCUUUUCUGCUUUAGCAUUUGUAGAAUCUACUGUAUUAUGUGUUGGCAGUUGCCGUAUCUGAGGUAACUUGCCUUUAUUUGUUUGCUUCUGACUUAAGGACACCAACAUUUGCCAGAGAUUUAGAGAAUCAUCUCAAAACACUUAGCAAACUUGACAAACUUCAAGAUGCACUUGCCCCCACGCCUUAUUCUCAACAACGCAAAACUUGUGAGUACACCUAUGCCUGCAAUUAUUGUGAAGUGUUCGCAAUUCUGAUGCAGAGAAAUGGUUUCUUGAUGCAAAGUAUUAAACUGUUAAGAUUUAUCCUGCAGGCUUGUUAGAUGCUGGAUACGCGAAAAGCCAACAACAUCAAGAACUGCAACUCCAAGACCAGCUUUGCGUUAAUUCAGUCAGCUGUAAUAAUGAUGCAAAUGACACUAUAUCAAGCUGGACUUAGAGACUAGUCAGAUAAAUCAUCCAUUUCAUCAACGGUUAAUGUCAUGAUGGUGGCUAUCAGAGGAAACAAAAGAUGUGUCGGAAUCUAUACAAACAUUGAGAAGCAUGAGAGGAGCUUUGAUUUUGAGUAGGGUCAAUGAACUCAUAUUGGUAAGUGGUAAUUAAAGAAACUUUGUAAGCUUAGUAGAGUUUCAGUAUUUUCUGUUUGGAGUAUAGUUGAUAAGUUGACUCUGUUUAAGAAGCCCGAUUAUAGUAGCUGACUGUAUUAACCUUUUUUUUUUUUUUUUUGGGUCUGCUGUUGUUUUUGGUUUCGAUUAUUUUUUCAACAUUGGGUUGAUCUGUUGAAGAACAAGCUUGGGUUUGAUUAUGCUUUAACUACAAGGAAGAGCCAGACUUGGAUGCAGGCGUUAAGCUUUUAAUGGGUAAGAACAAAUGAAUGCUUUAACUAUGUUUCUCACUUAUUAAAAUGCACGGAUUGAAGGCAUCUGGGUUGAUCCUGACAAUGUGAUGGAAAUACUUCUCUGUUUUCAUAUAACAGGACAAAUAGAGAUCUCUGAUCAUGCCUGAAUUUUUGUUGCAUUGAAAUUUCUACCAUUAUCAAACAUAGAAUGAACUAGGGAUACAUUAGCUUAAGACUAAAUUUUGAGAAGGAAGUUUGUACUUGCAGCCUAUAAAAUCAUGUCCAUGUUGUACGUUUCUUUGGGAAAUGAAAGAUUCUGUGUGUUCUUUUAUUUCAAGUUCACUGAAAUCACAUUUGUUUUCUCAGCUGCUUUCCAGAAGGUAACAACAUCAAUUUCAAAAAUGCUGGGGCAAGAUGUAUCAUGCAGUGCGACUCAACUUGAGAAUUCCUGGCCACAUUACCCGUAUGUCUAAUGAUCGCACAGUACAACCUUGAGAAGCUUGUAAUGAGUACACAACUGGGUGCAAGUAGUUUUGAAAUGAAUUUGCCUCAAAUGAUUUCUUGCCGGUGAUUAAUAUAACCUCUAUUCCAAAAUUCUUGGAACUGGUCAUACUAGCAAUGAAGGAUUGCAUACAUUGAAGACAUAGCUGAAGGCCUUGCGAGAGCUCUGUCAGCCCUUGUACCGGAAAACAGCUGGUCGUAGUCGCUUGUGAAUGAUAUGAUUAAUAGAUACUGCAAAAAUGAAUUGUGCCAUACAUUUUCAGCGCUCUGUGAAGAUGUCUUGGUCAUUUGUUUGAUGCUUGUUUGAUUUAUGUUGUAUUCAGCCAUAAAUCAGAGAUUCAGAACUUGGGUAUGUUUCUGGUUUCCAAAUCAAAAAAUUGCCUUGUGAUGUUAGUGUUCACUGUUUUCACAGGAGAUCAGGUUCCUUGUUAAUGAAUCAAGAAGAAGGCAAGCGCAUCCAUGUCCAAGUUCAAAUGUGUCUCCUCUAUUUUCUAUUACCCACUCAUUUAUUUUGAUUUCUUCAUUGUAAUUGAAUUAGUUUUUUAUUCCAAAUUAGUCAAAACCUCGUAGAGUCAUUAAGUUCUUUUAGCAUUUAAAGACAGAACUACGAACCAAAUGAUUUAAGUUCUUCGUUGUAAUUGAAUUUGCUUUCCCAUCUUUAAAGAUAUUAUGUUCUUUUUCACUUUUUCGAUUUGGUUAGUGGUGAUUUCUUAAAGACUCAAUCCAUUUGCGUUAAUACAUUUUUCUUUUGCCUUGAUUUCUGUUUCUUGGGGAGUUUAUACAUAUUCUUAUUUUAUGCUACACAUGCCAUAUACAGAUUCUUAUUUUAUGCUUCACAUGCCACAUGAAAGGUCAAAGCCUUGUGUGUGAUUAGAAUUUACUGGCAUCAUAGUAACUUUAAACCAUUGUGACGUUUUAGUAAUAACAGUCUGAGCUCUCCCUGAAGGAUUCAAAGCAUUUUAUUUUAUAUUAUACUCCUUUAUAUGGUUUGGCUGGUCUCUUUUAAGGCAAUUCCUGUUUAAAGUAAUCAAAAUUUUGAUUUCGAAGUGUCUUUCAACACUACCGCUAGUUCUUUAAGAAAAGUAAAUCGAUUUUGAGUCUUCUGUAUCAUCUGAUUGAAAUACAUGAAAGCACUCUUAGCUGCAAAAGUACACUUGGAGUUAUAAUAGCAUUCUGAAAUCUCCUUGAAGGAUUCAAAAGCUCUUUAUUUGCUAGUCUUUGCUUGCAAUAAACUCCUUUAAUAUACAUUGGUUGAUCUUCUUUAAAGCAAUUACCAUAAGUUCUUUAAAUAAUAAAACGAUUUUGAGUCUUCUGUAUCAUCUUGUUGAAAUACAUGAAAGCACUCUUGGCUGCAAAAAUGCACUUGGGGUUAUAUAUAAAGUCUUCAACAGAAUUUUAUUUCCCCCUUUAUCCUCAUGGUGGUUUUUUUAGUUGUUUUUUAAGAAAUCGCUUGAAGGUUCUCUUUAAAAAUAAUUUUAACAUAAGCAUUCUUUAGAAGCACUUUAGAUGUCUGGCAUUUAGAAAAUUUUGUUCCUGUGUUCACAUAAUAUAAUAUAUAUAUAGAAAGCUGACUGUAGAAUAGAGGAGAACGAGUUGGUGUUGGUCUGAACUCUGAUCUUUGAACCUCAUGUGACUCCACUACUUUUUACUUGUUCUGUACAAGGUCUUUUAGCUUUUCAAAAAGUUUUAGCUUUAUGGAUAAAAUACUGUUAAUUGUAAUCUAUAAAUAAUGAAAGGAAUUAAUAAAAUAUUAGGUAAAUUUUAUUUUCUAAAGUGUUAUGAGUUCUAAAACGGCUGUAUGUAUAUAAAUUUAUUUACACAUAUAUUUAUAAAUAUGAUUAUAUAAUAAUAUUUUAUGUGUACAUAUCAUAAUUGAUAACUAAAAUAAAUAUUUUUAUUUUAUUAAUGGUUUUUUCGUCUCAAUGUAGUUGGUAAUAAUAAUCUCUUUAGAUGUAACGAUUUUAUUUCCUAACUGAAUAAGGAAAAUUUUAGAUUUUUAUAAUAAAUGUUAAAUAUAUUUAGAAUUACAUUAAGUAUGAAAUAAUCCUCAAAAUUAGAUUUUGAAAAGUUAUUCUUUUCUUGCUUUUAAAAAUAUGUCAUAUGAUGAGAUGAUUUUACUAAAAGUGAUUUUUUUAAAAAAAAUUACUAAACAUCAAAAUUAACUCUUAACUUUUUAAAAUCAUUUCUAAUCUUCUCAUCCUAAGUUCUUUAUUGUUUUGUACAAAAUCCAAGGUUUUGACUUUUAUAAAAUGCCCACUCAAAAAUAAAUUAUUUUCUAAUUAAGAUUUGUUGUUAAUGUAUAACUCGAAGUAAUAUUAGAUAUUUGUAAUUUUAUUUCAAAAAUUUUAUUCAAAUGAUAUGGCAAGCAAUGAACAAUAGUUGAUAGCAAUUUGUUUUUUUUUUUAACAAUGUUCAAAUCAAUCAGUUGCAUUAUCUCACCAUUUUUAUGAUGUCAUGUUAUUUUAAAUGAUUUUUUUAAUUUUUAUAUAAAGCAUACGACGUGUUAACAUCAUUUGCAUAACUUGACCUUUUUUUUUUCCUACAAAUAGUAAGUCAAAUUUACUCACCCUAUUUGUACCUAAAAUCUACCUAAAACUCAUGCAUCACUGUAAAGCAAAUCCAAAGAUUGCGGUACGUUUUUCUUGGUAAGAAAUCAAUAAUUAGGUCAAGUACCGCUACUAAGCGUGCUCAAUUAAUUCUAAAAUACGGUGAUCAAACUCAUACUUCACGCAAGAGGAUAAGGGCUAAACCUCAAUUAGGCAUUAUUCAUCCAAAAUUCAUUGACUGGGCAUUCUUUGCAAGUGGUAGCAUGGGACAGCUAAGAUAAUUAGCAAAUGAUAUGGACCAUACGCACCCGUAUGUUUGUGACAUGUGAAUCUUGGCAUUAAAGGAAAGGUAAUGUGUUAAAAUUUAAUAGAGCCCAACUCUUCAUUGAAUGAUUAUCAGAUCCAACGAGCAUCCUUUGAUGGGAUUAUUUUAAGUCAAUUAUUGGUGGAUUGGGGCCCACUUGACUCUACCAAAUCGGGCUCCACCAUAUCACCUAUUAACGACCACCUGUCCUUAUCAUAAAUAGCAAAUGUCACUUGUUUUAUUUUGUAUUUUACCAAAAGCAAAGUCACUACGAGCACUAAUGAAAGUGACCCCAAUUUUGGGGGUCAUGAACUUGGGAUUAUUAUGGACACAAGAGACAAGCGCAAUGUUUCUCAUUUCUCACUAGAUAAGAUUUAAGUUAUCAACCCAAUAUUAAUAAAUUCUGCUUGAAAAGUAAAGUUUGAAGCUUCAUUUUGCGAAUAUUCAAUGGUUAACAUUUAAGGGUGCGUUUGGGAUUGAGGUUGGGCAGCUGUAGCUUAAAAGCUACAGUACUAAAGUGUUUGGUAAACACUAGCUACUGUAGCUUUUAAGCUAUGUUGAUAUAAUUUUUCACUUGUAUAAUAUAAAAUUUAUUAUAUCUUUAAUAAUUUUGAUAAAAUUAUUAUUUAAAAUUUAUAUUUACUAUAUAUUAUUAACUUUUAUUUCAUAAUUACAGCUUUUUUUUCACAGCAGCUGUAGCUUAAAAGCUACAGCACCUCAAUCCCAAACACACCCUAAGUAAUUAACCUGAUAUUAAUCCAAUUAAACUUUUUAUGUAAUCCAAGUCAAACAUAUAUUGAUAAACCUAAAUUAAUCUAAUUGGACAUAUUAUUUCAACUUGAAAAGGUGAAUCUAUCAUUUUUCAAUUAAUUUUGAAUCAAGCUAUGUAAAAUAUAAGCUUAUUAAGGACAUAUUUGAAAAAUUCAAAUUGAAUUAUUUGACAAUUACAUUUCAACUAAGUUGUACUGCUAAUUAACUUCCUCAACUUAAAAUGUAUUUUUCUCAAUUAAUUCGUAACAAAGAAUGUUAGAUGUUUUGUUCGAAUAAUAACAUUCAACAUCCUUAUUCUUUAUGAUUAUUGCAUAAAAAAUAUAUUUUAUCCAUUUACGUCACAUAUGUUCCUAAAUUGUAUAAGAAAAUCACUAAAUUUACUCUUGUAAGUUACUAUAUCAAUGAACAUGAAAUUAACUAAUCAUUAAAGUCUCGGAAUGACAUCAUGAGGGGGAUUCAGUUACAUUUAUUGAUAGGAUUAUAUAUAUACCUUCUCAAAUAUUAGUAAGAGCAAUUAAACAGAUGCAGCAAUUAAAAAUAUGGAAUUACUUAUCUCGUCAAUAACUAACGAUAUUUUUUAUCUAUGCUCGAUAGGCGUCUGAGCUAUAUUAUAAAUUGUAAUAUUUGUAGAUUGUAACAAUUAUUAAAAAAAAAAAAAAAAGCUCCCUAAGACUAAAUGACAAAAGGACUGUUUUGAAAUAGAUAGAUAAAAUAUGCCCUUAUUUGAGAAAAGGUAAAACACUAGGGAUCUAAAUGUUAUUAUAAUCCCAUGCACAAAAAUACCAGAAAAAACUAAUAACAACUAACCGAAAAUCCCAGGCGUCAUAUUCCUUUUUACCGCGUUUUAAAAUGCAACAAUGAUAUCACUACUACAAAAAUGACAUUUACUGACACUUUGUUUCUGACACUUAGUAAAAAGUGUCAGAAAUGGUGUACAUUUGGACCAUUUUCCUCCUUUAACAAGUAUGUAUCAUAAAUCAUUGAUACUAAGGUGUCAGUAGCUUAAAACUCAGUGAUUAUUGAUACUAAAGCAUCAGUGAUAAAAAAAUAAUAGUAUUAAUUUUGUUUUAAUUUGAACUCGAACUCAAGAUCUCUAAACUUAAAAUUUGUAAGUUUAGAGUGCAAACCAUUGAUGCAAGUGUUUUUAAAUUUUCAAUUUGAUUAAUUUUUUUAUUUAAUUAAAUUUUAUACAAUUACUUUGUGGACAAUAAUAAUAAUAAUAAUAGUUUUGAGAAUAAUAUUUUUUAUUUUGCCACAUGUCAGCUUGUAAUUCGUUGUUAAUAAUAAUAAUUUUACUUGACCACGUGUCGACUUAUAGUUUGUUGUUUUAUUAAAUUACAAUGCGAACAACUACACUAUAUAAUUUUUCAAAGUAUAAAAUGAAAAUAAGAAACCCUAAAUCUAACCUAAUCAAACACACCACUUCUUAAGUUGCUGCCGCCGCUCCCCUGCUCCUUGACUUUCACUGCUGCCGGCCGCUGCUCCUCGACUUUCACUGCUGUCGGCUGUCGUUCCUUGACGUCACUGCCGCCUUUGCUCUGCUGUUGCCAAGCUUCAGCCACCGACGACUAGCUAGCCACCUUUCAGUACGUCGCUGCUACCACUUUUAUGCCGUCACAUCAACUUCAGCUCAGCCAGCCACCGUUCCUUUACCGCCGAGAUCAAGAACCAUUUCUUUCUCUUCUCUCUUUUGGUACAGGUAUGAAAAUAUUGCAGAGGAGUUAAUCUGUUAAUUACCUUUCUGUACGUCGCUGCUGUCAUUCGUGUACGUCAUUGCUGCUACUCAUCUUGGUCACUGCUGCCGCUCCUCUGCCGCCACGACAAGCUUCAGCCUUUUUGACAAAACAUUUCACUUGGAAUUAUAAGCAAACCCUUUUGAGACCAUAAAAAACUAAGCCAAUUUCUUUGGUUUCAAGGCCUUGUUUUUUCACUUUGAAAUCGGAUCAUACAAUGACAAGCCAAUUGAAAACUUCUGUUCAAGAUUUCAUUGUUAAAUUCAGCUUUAUUUUUAUUAUUUGUGUUCCUUUCAUUUUCUUUCCCUUUUUUUGAUUUUUAAUUCAAUUUGGGAUUUGACAGAUAUAUUUUUUAAUUUUUAUAAAAAUUUAUCUUAUUUGCAGGAUGCUAAGGGACAGGAUGUUGAUCUUAGCAUCUACAAGGGAAAGGUUCUUUUGAUUGUCAAUCUUGCAUCACAAUGGUGUGCCUCAGCUCCUUUCAUUUUUAAUUUUUUUUCCAUAAUGAUUUAUUGAUUAUUGUUGAUGCUUCCAUUUAAUUAAUGCUAAUACGUGUUAUCUAUCUAUCGGGAGUCUAAAUUUUAUAGAAUUAUAUCAUACUCGGAAGUAUGCAUGCUCCCAAUACAAAUAAGUGUUUAUAAGAGAGGAUUUCACCCAAAAUCUUUAAUUCUUGCAAAAUGCUAGUGGCUCCGUUUGCACAAGUUUAGUUUUCAUCCAUGUUCGUUCCUUUACCAUAGCGGUUCCUUUACCACUGAGGUCAGACACCAUUUCUUUCUCUUCUCUGUUUUGGCACAGGUAUGAAAAUACUACAGAGAAGUUUCUCUAUUAAUUACCUUUUAUGAAAAUAAUAUAUAUAUAUUAUUCACAUGUUUAAUUGAGAACAUCUAAUAAUAUAGUAAUAAUAUAGUGGGCAAACUAUAGGAAGGUUGUUAGUAGACAAUUCUAAUUUUAGCUUUACUUUGCAAAUGAAAGAUUAGAAAUAUUCCGUCGAACCCAUUUUACUAUAUUGGAGGUUUGGGCUAAUCUUGUAUAGAUUUUUGCUCAGAAGAAGGAUGGUUCUCCAAGGGCGGUGGGUUGGUUUUUCUAUAGACUAUUCCCCUAUUUUCCCAUUUUGCUUUUCUUUGAGGAAACCUGGUCCAUUUUUUUUGUGUUUUCUUUCUUCAAUCAAAUAUGUAUUUCUCAAUCUCCUCUCAAAAAAUACCUAUCUCAUUUUAUUAUAUGUUUAUGAAUUACUAAUUGUAUUUUGUUAGUAUUCCAUGUUCGAAGAAGAAUAUUAGAUUGAAGAAAGAAGAAUAUUAGAUUGAAGAAAGAAGAAGUUGUUCCUUUGCUAAUCGUUUGAAACCCAGGUUUGCACUGAAUCUGAUUUUUAUCUUUAACUUUUUUACUUGACCCAUACUUGAAUCAAAUUUUUGCUCCACUUUCCUUUCUUUCGUCAAUUUAAUUAUCAAUCCACUUCAAACCUAAAAAGAUUUAGUAAUUGGGAAACCCUUUUUUUUUUAAAGAAUUGCAAAGUACUGUAAUUGGAAACUGGGUUCAUGUCUUAAAAAGUAACCUGAUUUGUAAUGUUUGGCUUAUAGUGGCCUUCUAUUUCUGUUUUUCAUCUCGGCUUGGUUAAUUUCUUUACUAGUCGUUUAAAUUUUGUUAAUUUUUAUUUUUCCUCUUUAAGCUCAUUAAAUAUCUUUUUUUUUUCAAUUUAUGGCUUUCGGUCCAACUGAUCAUCGUUGAAUGUGGGCACUAUAAAUGUUAUAGUGCUUGUUAACUUAAUGUAUUUGAUCAUAUAUUAUAGUAUUGUUUACUUUAAAUUUAGACAAUGAAAUAGAUUACAAAAAAAAUAACUUAUGCUUGUCAAGUUGUAGACACCAUCGUUCAUGUCAUCAUUACUGAAUAUUGAUGUACUUAUUAAGUGUUCUCUUUAAUACUUGAUAGAAUACUUUUGGUGAAGCAAUUUUGGUAUCAUGAUUGCAGGCUGUAAUUAACUUGGGAACGUGUAGAUUCUACAAUUUCUUUUUCUGAUUCCUUAACUUGCUUCUUUUAAUCCUACUCUUCUAUGUUGAAGUAAUUUAUGAAUAUUUUUGCUUCAAAAUAACUAAGAUAUAUUUUUCACAGUAUACUAAUUGAUUUUAUGCAUUUGUAGGUGGGAAAAAAAUGAAGCCGUGGAUGGAUAUUGAGUGACCUUGUGCUUUUUUUUUUUUUUUUUUGGGUUGGAAACUUAAUUGAGUAGUAGUUAGCACUUGUUGUUUAGAGAUUGUUGAAAAUUUAAUUUGAUACUUAUGUUAAGUCUUUUACAUAUAGUGAUGUAGUUGAAUUGUGUGAAUUUAUGUGAUGUAUUUGAGAUGUUUAUUAUAUGAAUUGUGUUGCAAGAUAUUUAAUAAUAAAUAUAUUUCGUGUUUUCUUUUGGUUGUACAACAAACACGAAAAAUAUAAUUAAAAUAAAAAUAUACUAUUAACCAAAAGCAGUAUAACAUUACUAAAUACUGACACUACAUAUUUAAAAUAACAAUAAGAAUUUUUUAUAUUAUCGAGUCAGUUUCUGAUACUAUAGUCACAUAAAUUACUGACAUGUAAAUAGUAUCAUUAAAUACCAACAUCAUCGUGUCAUUAUUUUAGUGAUACUAUAGUGAAACAAAUUACUGACACAAAAAUUACUGACACCAAAAAUUAGUGUCAGUGUGUUCUGGCUUGAGCAACACUGACACAAUUAACAAGUGUCAAUAAAAGUAAUUACUGACGCUAAAUUAGUGUCAGUAAAACUCAUUUUUCUAGUAGUGUAUUCUCACAAAAGUUGGUACAAAGGUUUGUACAACCAGGGCCUCUUUGUAAAUUAUUUCAAAGUUUUGUGUUAUUUUUUAAAUUUAUGAAUUUUGUUAAUUUUGAUUGAUUGGAGCAUUUCUCCUUCCAUCUCUUCUACAUCUAUCUUUAAAUUUCUUUAAAAUUUUGACUAUAUCUUUAUAGAGUUCUAAAUGAUUAUCUUUUUCAUAAAAAUCUAUACUUAAAUUAAUCCCUGAAUUUAUAAUCAUUUGUCUUCUUUGAGUCAUAGACCAAAUUUUUUCUUCUAACAUAUCUAUAUAUACUCCUAAGCUAUCUUUGCAGCUUAGAUACAUUCUAUCAAAGCUUUCGCAUAUAAAUUGUAAUUUGAGAUCUGCAUCUUGAAUCAACAUGUCUAUAUUAUCCAUUGUUUUACGCUCGAUUUUGAGUUCUAUUAUUAGUCUUGCACAUGUCUUGGAUUAUUUCGAGGGUAGUUAAAAUUGAUUCUAUUAAUGCUAUCCUGUUUUCUUCUUCAAAAGAAUCAAAUAUUUCUGAAUCAUUAAUUUCUUUUAUUUCUUCAUACAAGCGUUUGUUUGUCGCUAAUCUUGUUUUAAUCAAGGAAACUGUAUAAGCAGCUUGAUAUUCUUGACAAAAGUCUAAAUGAUCUAUUGCAUCUAGAAAUUUAUUAAUAGAUCUUUCCAUUUUUAAGAAAUUGAGUUACUCUUAUCACUUCCAAUCUUUUAACAUCUCAGAAAACAAACAAGGCCCAACAUGCUUCCGUUUGUAGCUAAAAUAAAAGAAGAGUUCAUAUCACUAACCAGUGUAAUAUCUCUCGGAAUUCUGAGAUAGACUCACUAAUUGCCUCUAACCAUAGAGAGGUCCAUGGUUAGCACCACUAUAGCUCCACAUAUCAUACAAAAUCACUUCAACGACUGUUCCAUAUGGCCCAAAGCAACACACAGCAGACUGGCCUAAUAGGAUAUGUUUAAGUGAUUUUCUUGCAGUUGUCUCUGGAAGAGUGCUUAGUAAUAGAAAAUCUUCUUCGUUUAGUACAAGUAUUGGCAUGUAAGGUUCUUGGUUAAUUUUUAAAAGAUGUAUAAGAUAUCUAGAAGAUGAUAAUUUCACUCAAAAGAGUUUUAUUUAUUCCAUCAUUGAAAUUGUUUACAGAGGAAGGUUACAGAGAAUACAGAGGUAAUUGAAGGUUAGACAUCUGAUAUAUUUCCUUUCUUACAUGCUUUCAUUUAUAUAUCUCUCUAGAGAUAAGAUUAUUUCUUUUACAUAACACAUGUUCGAUCCUUGUGGUGGAAUCUCAAUUUCCUUUUGAUAAGGUGACCCCUUCUUUAUCAUUGAAGCUAGUAGUUGUCUUCUUUUCAUGUUGGCAGACAUGAAAUAUCUGGUUCUGGUGAGCUUUUUCUUUUUUGGAAUCUGUCUUUUUGAAUUAUUGAUACUUUUUGGAUAGCACCUUUUAUCUUUUUCAGUGGUCCUCGUCACGUGCCAAUUAUCAGAUCUUCAUCUAUAGACAUGUCUUCCCCACUAGAAUCUCUUUUUUUGAUCCUUCGUAGUAGUAGCCACAUGAUGAUUGAUGCUUUAGCACCUUAUAUAUCUCGUGGUGUGUUAGCAAGGUGGAUUCCACGAGAUUUUCGAAUAUGCCCUUUUUCUUUUCUAAUAUGUUAUCCUCAUCUUUAUCAAAUUCACAUUUACAAUAUAAUUCUUUGAAGCUACAUGUAUAUUCUUCUAAAUAACAUAUAUUACAUAUUUCAAGCCUUGUUAGCUUCAUUAAAUUUUCUAUCUGUUUUCUUUUUAUUUCUUGUUGAAAAUCAAUUUCCUAAUCUUCUCCCAAGAAUUUUUUUCUUAUUUCAUUUUUGAAUCUAUUUAAAACCUGAUCAACACUUUCGUUUCGAUUAUUAUUUUCUCCAUACAAUAUUCUAUUUUUAUGGUUAUCAUUUAAUCCCAUAAACCAAUGAGAAACAAUUCCUAUAAACGAAAUUUUAAGGAAUUCUAUACUAUUAUCCCUAUCAAUUUUGUGAAAUGCAAAAGCCAUUUUCAUAGAUUUAACCCAAGCGGUAAUCGUUUUAUCUCUAUCUUUGAUACAGUCUAAAUCUAACCAUACACCAUCAUGGUUGAUUGGUCUUUCUCUAUAUUCUCCUGGAGUUUUAUAAUCUUUUUUAGGCUUGUUAAUCCUAAAAUAUUGACCUUGUAAUCUUUCCUGAGUUGGUAUUUCUUCCCUAACAUAGGAAGCUCCAUUACUAGUUUCUCCUUGUUAAAAACCAUUUGGCUUUGAUUCAUUCAUUUUUAGAUGUUCUAUUCUAUUUUCAAUAUCCUGCAAAUUAAUGACUAUAUCACCUUCUUCUUCGGAUUCAGAUUCUUUAUUAGAUAUCUCUUGAUUAGGUAAUUCUAUGUUUUCACUUAGCAUUCUUAGACUUAUUAAUUUUUUGUCUUUGUUUAUUUUGUUAAAUAUCGGUUUAGAUAUUGUUAUCAUUUCUUUAUCUUUAAGUUCAUUAUAGUAAAUUAUGGUAUCUUGUAAAAUUUUGUUUUGUUUAUUGAUCUUCUGUACUUCAAUCCUUUUGUAAUUUUCCAUUUAUGCUUAUAGCGAAUUUAUUACCAAGUUGUUCAACAAUUUUUUCAAAUUUUUGUAGUUGGAUUUCAAUCUUGUUUGAAUUUAUUUUCAAUUGAACUUUUGUUCAUAAUAUUAAAGAUUUCUUGUUUUAAUCUAUCUUGAUCUUCAAUAUUAAAGUCUUUUAUUAAUAGCUUAACAAAAUCAAAUUCUUCACUCAUUCGCUCUCCUAUCAUUUUGACUUGUCUUAUAUUUUCAGCAUCAAAGCUUUUAAUCUCAAGUAUCUCAUUUAUACUUUCUAUAUCAUCUAUGGUUAAAUUAGGGUUUCCUAAUUUAUUUAAUAAAUAUAAUGAAAUCCAAUUUAAUUGAUUAUUUCCCCACAUAUCGGAAUCAUUUACUAAAUCAAAUGGUUGAAAUCUUCCAUAAGUAAAUCCUCUAUGCCUAUAGCUAGAAGGUGGUAAUAUGUUGGUUUCAAUAUUUUGAGAAAUUAACAAUGGUUUUGGUAAUUUAUUCAUAGUACCAUCUGCAUAAUAUCUCAUUAUAUUCUAAUAAGUAUUUAUGACAUAUAAUAUUUCUUAUAUCCUUAGGGAUAUUGUUUUAUGUUAAUCCUUUAUGUAUAUAGCAAAGUUUAUACAUAAUUAAAUCUUUAUAUCCUAUUAGCAUGUUGCUAGAAGGAUAAUAUUUACUUCUGAUUCUUUUAUUUUUCCAAUUGUAUUCACCUCGUUGUUUAACAUUUAAAAAUCCGUUGUAAUCUAUUAUAAGAUCAUCUACAUAAUCUUCAAUAGAGUUAAUAUUCCAUUGUUUCCAUGAAAAAUUAUUUCUAUAUACUUCUCUCCUGAUCCUAAAGAGAAGAAUAGGAUCAAUAUUUAAAUUUCUAAUUUUUAUUAUGAUGAGUUCUCCAAUUUUAAAUUCAUGAACUCUAACUAAAUAAAACUGUAUUAAUUGUUUAUCAUCCAAUAUAUUAACUUCUGAAUAAUAAUAUUGUUUAUGUUUUGUUAUAUUAUCUUUAAUUGUAUUUCUAUCUAUCAUUAAAUUAUAUCUUCCAUUAUUAAUGGAAUAAAUAACUGUUUCGUCUAUUUUUAUAUUUUAAACCAAAAACUUGGCUCUAAUACCGUUUUGCAGAAAUCAACUAAACCCAAAAUCCAAAUGAAUUCAAAUAGGGAUGUAUAUGAUUAAUUGUUAAGAUUUUAUCUAAAUUUUGUAAUUAUAAUUUUUCAAAACUCACAGUUUUGUGCAAUCAUUUGUGUAAUCCGUUGUGAGAAUGUCUUUUUCCUUGCAUCUAAGGCAACAAAGUGGAAAACGCGUACCAACGACUCACAUAACAAUAUAACAUCUGUCCCGGAUGGAGCCGGUUGUUCAUGUCAGCAACCUACUUUGAAACGACACGUGGACCGCAAUUUGUUCUUGUUCUCAACGUUGCUAUGAAAGAAAGCAUUUUUUUCCCCUUUUCUUCUUCAUUUUUUAAAGAAAUAUUUUACUAUAUAUUUAAAAAAAAAAAUCGUUGCAAUCUGAAGAUAUUAAAUUGUGGAUCUUGUAUUGUGUGAUAAGUCCGGCAUGCAAUUUUGGGCCAGCAUACCGCGCGCAUGGGAGCAUUCACAAAGAAUCUCUCGUCACUAUCGAAAACUUUUAAUAGUCAAUACAAAUGCUUCCGUUUCAUCCCAUAAACAGAUAAAAUUCACAUCUGUACACAUCUACUUUUCUUUGCUAGAUAGAGUUCCUCUGCAUUUCCCAAUUGCCUAAAGAGAAGGGGAAAAGAAAAAGAGGGCCAAAAAAUGCCUGAAAUGGUAAGGAACAAGCAAGUGAUAUUGAAGGACUAUGUGUCUGGUUUCCCAAAAGAAACAGACAUGUACAUGACCGAAAGUUCCAUAGAAUUGAAGGUGCCAAAAGGUUCAAAUGGGGUUCUUUUAAAGAACUUGUUUGGGAGAAAUACGUCGACGAGACCAGGCAUGGUGAGCAUAUAUCUGAUGGCAGAGUUCUGCGAACCGGUGUGUUCCGUAAAAGCCUGGUGCACGGGGGAACAGGAGCAGAAGUAUCCUGCUCGUCCACGAGCACGUCAUCCGCGAGGCCAAUUUCCUGUAAGAGGCAUAAGGUCAUUCCGGCUAGAGGUCGAGAGGCGAGGAGACCCGGUCGACGGCAGUUGGCAAGACAUGCUCCCCAGCCCGAGAAUCUAGGCACGACAGCCACGCUUUCCCCAGAACCGUGGCGUAACACGCAAGAUCUCACAGAACCACGACAGCCACGCUUUCCCCAGAACCGUGGCGUAACACGCAAGAUCUCACAGAACCACGACAGCCACGCUUUCCCCAGAACCGUGGCGUAACACGCAAGAUCUCACAGAACCACGACAGCCACGCUUUCCCCAGAACCGUGGCGUAACACGCAAGAUCUCACAGAACCACGACAACCACGCUUUCCCCAGAACCGUGGCGUAACACGCAAGAUCUCACAGAACCACGACAGCCACGCUUUCCCCAGAACCGUGGCGUAACACGCAAGAUCCCACGUUUGCCCAUAACGCAGCAGUCAGAGUCCCAUACCGUCUCGGAAAAAGCGGAAAACUGGGAUUCAGGGGAAGCCUAUAAAAAGGUAGCCAACGAAGGUAAAAGGGUUGGCAUUUUUGAGAUUAUAAAAGAAAUGAAAAAAGAAGAGAAAACGACGAGAAAGCCAUAAGAUCUGUGGCAAGUGUCCCCCGAACCUUCAUAUCUGACUUGAGCGUCGGAGGGUUUGCGCCGGGAAAACAACCGGCGUACUCUGACUUGUCUGUGUGCGCAGGAACCUCUGGAGAAGAAGCCUCACGUGGAGACCUCCUGGUCGUGAAGAAGUUGAUCGGACAGAGAUCCUGGUCGUAGAACGAGGAGAACCAGAAUCCCGCAUCAACAUUUUGGCGCCGUCUGUGGGGAGUGGAGCAAAAAGCUUCUGUUGAUAGCAAGAAGAGGGGUGAAGCAAGUGAAAAGCAAUGGAGACAGGAGGAAGUAGUGCACAAGGGGGUGAUAGGAUUAACGAUUCCGUGACGCUGAGGGAGAUAGUCAGUGAAGCACGGGAAAAAGUCAUGUUCGACCGGAUGGAACGGAUAGAAAAGCAGAUGGAGACCUUGACAACCAUCCUGCAUGAGCUGCGGAGCGAGCGAAGUAUAAUCCAAGAGGGAAGGGUGAGAGGCGGUGGAGUGGCACCAGGUCCCGAUAGUGCGGGGAGAAGUCAAACCACCGGGAGAUUUGGUGGUGAGAGAGGUAACGUACCUCUGCGGGGAGAAUUUCAUAGAGAAAGAGAGCAGUCCCCGGCAAGACAGACUGGCGACGAGGACGACGGGGUGGUGAAUGCAGAGGAAACAGAGUUGAGGCAACACUUGCAUGAUGUAGAGCAAGAGCGGGAUUAAGUCGCAGCACGUGACCCUGGUCGUGCAGUGCAGCUGGAGGAGGAAGUGCGCAGACUAGCGCAGAUAAUCGACGACAUGCAAGGAAGGAACAGAGCCCCUGGUUGGAGGAUAAUGCUGGAUGGAGAAUCACCGCUCGCAGCAGAGAUCAUGAGGGCAGUUAUUCCGAGAGAUUUCCGCCUCCCAGACCUCAGAUACUCGGGAAGAACUGAUCCGUUGGUGCACAUAGAGCGCUUCAACGACAUAACUAGGGUACAAGGAUUAUCUCAAUCCCAAAGGUGCAGAGUGUUCCCACUAUCCCUUGAGGGACGUGCACGAGAAUGGUACAGGAAACUUCCUCGGGGCAGCAUUAAAACCUUCGAGCAGAUGUGCUAGGAAUUCGCGGAGCAGUUUAGUGGGGCAAUGGCGCCGGAAGAUGACAUGAUGGAGCUGAAAAGCAUGAAACAGGGGGAGCAAGAAACCCUUCGGGAAUUCAUCAAGAGGUUUCAUCGGGCUGUCCUCGACUUGGGAGCCUUCAACCACCCUCAGGCGUUAAGGGGAUUGAAAGAAGGGGUGAAGAUAGGAAGGCUGUGGUACAAUUUGAGAAGCCCAGCUAUUCAAACGUAUGCAGCCGCAUACGAACAGGCUAAGAGAGACAUCGAGAUUGAAGAGGAGAAGGCUGCACGGAUUAAGACAGACCAGUUAGAAGGGCUGGGGAGGAAAGAGAAGAAAGCAUUACCGGGGAAUGGGCCGAUCAGGAGGAGGGACCACCAGGCCUCCGGUAGUGGAGCAGGAGGUCGGGUAGCCGCUUACCAGCCUCAUCAAAGGCCACCACAGUAUCAGCGCAGCAGGGCGCAACCUCCUCGUUCCCCAGCUAGGGAGCCUUGGAAAAGGCAUGAGUCGGCAUCUGGUGGUCUCCAACAACACCCCCACGGUAUCAGAGCGAGCAGACCAGAAGUACUUCCACCGCCCCCAACUCAGAGCGGGGCAAACAGGGAAAGAGCAGUGCACCUGAUCGACCAGAACCCGGACUAUGGGCGGUACACUUCCUUGAAGAUGUCCCUGGAUGAGGUGUACGAGGCCAUAAAGGAUCGAGGGCUGCUACACCUCCCUACACCAAUAACAAAGCUACCUAACAGGAGGGAUAGAGGACGUUAUUGUAAGUUCCAUGGCACCCAUGGCCAUACCACAGCAGAGUGUAGAGAUCUCAAGACCCAGGUCGAAGAUUUGGUGAGAAAUCGGUACCUGGACGAGUUUAUGGAUGGGACUUUCCCGAUGGGGGCCACAACAGGUGAAGGGGAGCAGAGUGGCGGAAACGUGAGGCGCGAGCAGCCCGCAGUAAGGGUGAUAGCUGGGGGCCCGACAUUGGCCGGAGAUUCCAACAGAUCGAGAAAAAAUUAUGCUAGGUACGCCAUGACCAGUAAAGAGGUACUCCUCAACACCCCAGCAGCCAAACGAGCAAGGGUCAGGCAAGUGCCAAUCAUGUGGACGGAUGAGGAUGAGGAAGGGAUUCUAUACCCCCAUGAGGAUGCUUUAGUCAUCAAGGCUACUGUCGCUAGCAAGAAGUUUGACCGGAUACUGAUUGAUACAGGGAGCUCAGUUGAUGUGUUAUUUAAGUCAACCCUGGAAGAGAUGGGAAUAGCCGACCGGAAGUUGGAAUAUACCAAUACCUCCUUGAAGGGGUUCGGAGGAGGGAAGCUGGUCCCUCUGGGCGUGGUCGAGCUGCCUAUCACAAUUGGGAGCUCCCCGACAGAAAGAACAAUGAUACUGGACUUUGUCGUAGUGGAUGAGGAAGGUCCUUACCAGAUGAUCCUAGGUCGGCCAUUUUUAAGGAUGAGCAAAGCGGUGUUGUCCAAUCAUUAUCUGGCUCUGAAGUACCGGGUGAACGGGGUAGUAGGAGUGGUACGAGGAGACCAGAGGAUCGCAAGAAGCUGCUACUCCUCGGCAGCAAGGGAAGCAAUGCAGAUAACAUCCCUCGAUACCCGAGUGGAAAACAAGAAGGGCAGACAAGAACCUGUAGAGGAUCUGGAAACAGUAAGCCUGGGACCAGAGAACCCGGGAAAGAUGAUCAGAAUCGGGUCGAGACUUAAGGGAGAGCAAAAGCAGGAGUUGGUGAAAUGCUUACAGGCUCAUGCUGAUGUGUUUGCUUGGACACAUGAAGACAUGCCAGGGAUUGACCCUGAGGUAGCAUGUCAUAAGCUGGCAAUAAAGAAAGGUGCUCGGGCAGUAAGGCAGAAGAGGAGGUGUUUCAACCAGGAGAGGUAUGAGGCUAUAAAUGGCGAGGUGGAGAAGCUCUUGAGAGCAGGGUUCAUUCGGGAAGUCAGUUACCCUGAGUGGAUAUCGAAUGUGGUGUUGGUAAAGAAGGCAAACGGCAAGUGGAGGAUGUGUGUGGAUUUCACAGACCUCAAUAAGGCGUGCCCAAAAGACAGCUUCCCUUUACCAAAGAUCGAUCAGCUAGUAGAUUCAACGGCUGGACAUGGUCUGCUUAGCUUCAUGGACGCGUUCUCGGGAUACAACCAGAUCCCCAUGUACGAGCAGGAUGAGGAGAGCACGGCUUUCAUCACUAACCAAGGUUUGUUCUGUUACAGGGUAAUGCCAUUCGGUCUCAAAAAUGCCGGGGCCACCUAUCAAAGGCUGGUGAACAAAGUCUUUAAGCCGUUGAUUGGGAAAACCAUGGAGGUGUACGUGGAUGACAUGAUCACCAAGUCCAAAAUCCCGGAGGAACAUGUCAGACACCUCGAGGAGACAUUCGAGCUUUUGAGGAAGUAUAAGAUGAAGCUCAACCCGGAGAAGUGUGCUUUUGGGGUCGAGUCGGGGAAAUUCCUUGGAUUCAUGGUGAGCCAUAGGGGGAUUGAAGCAAAUCCCGAGAAAAUCCAGGCGAUUGUGCAAAUGACGUCUCCCCGUAACCUGAAGGAGAUGCAGAGCCUCACGGGGAGGUUGGCGGCGUUGAGCAGAUUCAUAGCCAAGGCUACAGAUAAGUGUCAGCCGUUCUUUCAAGUGAUGAGGAGGGGAAAGAAAACAGAAUGGACCUCAGAAUGCGAGGAAGCCUUCCGGAACUUGAAGCAAUACUUGCAGCAAGCUCCGCUGCUGUCCACACCGAGGGAUGGGGACAAGUUAUAUCUGUAUUUAGCGGUAUCGGCUCGGGCCGUCAGUUCUGUUCUGGUGAGAGAGGAAGAAGGAGUUCAGUAUCCGAUAUAUUACACCAGCAAGGCCCUGCUCGACGCUGAGACCAGAUACCCACCGUUGGAGAAAUGGGCACUUGCCCUUGUGGUUGCUGCUCGGAAGUUGAGGCCAUAUUUUCAAGCAUUCCCGGUCUUGGUAAUAACAAACCAGCCAUUGCGUCAAACUCUGCACAAGCCAGAUGCCUCUGGUCGGCUCGUCAAGUGGGCUGUAGAGCUGAGCGAGUUCGACAUAGACUAUAAGCCCCGCGCAGCGAUAAAAGCCCAGGCAAUGGCCGAUUUCGUAGCUGAAUUCACAGAGCCCGAAGUAUGCUUAGAUCAACAAGAGGCAGAUAUAGGCAAUGACGAAACUCAAGUAUGGCAGAUGUCUGUGGAUGGGUCAUCAGGGGAGCGGGGUUCAGGAGUAGGGAUUGUCUUGGAAGGCCCAGAGGGGGAGGAGAUCUCUUAUGCUGUAAAAUUGGAAUUUGCAGCCACGAAUAACCAGGCAGAGUAUGAAGCCUUGAUAGCAGGUCUGGAAUUGGCUAAGGCCGUGAAAGCAAACAAAGUUAAGAUCAGAACUGAUUCCCAGCUGGUAGCGAAUCAUGUCAGUGAAAGAUUCCAACCAAGAGAGGAGAAGAUGGGGCAGUACCUGAAGAUAGUCAAGCAGAUGAUGGGGAAGUUCGAAGCAGUGGAGGUGAUACAGAUCCCCAGGGAGCAGAAUAGUCGAGCAGACAUUUUGGCUAGGAUGGCAGCAGUAGCCGACCCAAAAAUGCCAAAGUCGGUCCCUCUGGAGGUGAAGUCCGGCCCAAGUAUCGAUCAGAAUUUGGGGGUGAUGCGGAUAGAACAAAAAUGCUCGUGGAGGGACCCGAUAGUUUCAUACCUUAGAGACGGGGUAUUACCACCAGAUAAGAUGCGAGCUCGCAAGCUUAGAGCCCAGGCCUCGAGAUACACGAUGAUUGAUGGGGUACUGUAUCGGCGAGGAUAUACACUACCGUUCCUUCGGUGUUUGGAUGAGGACGACGCGGAUUACGUACUAAGAGAAGUACACGAAGGAAUUUGCGGAAAUCAUUCUGGCGGGAGGUCCCUGGCCCAUAAGGUUCUAAGGCAGGGAUAUUUCUGGCCGACAAUGCACCAGGAUGCGCAAGAGAAGACCAGGAGUUGUGUAAGUUGCCAGAGUUUUGCAAAUUUCUCUAACCAACCACCAGAGAAGCUUACCUCCAUGACCUCCCCCUGGCCAUUUGCUCAAUGGGGAAUUGAUCUGAUCGGCCCAUUGCCAAAGGCACGGGGAGCAGCAACACAUGCAAUAGUUGCUAUAGAUUACUUCACGAAGUGGAUAGAGGUAGAAGCCCUUAGCAGGAUCACAGAGAAGAAAACAACAGACUUCGUGUGGAGAAACCUGGUCUGUCGAUACGGGAUCCCUUAUGCCUUGGUAACGGAUAAUGGCAGGCAGUUCGAUAACCACAGCUUCAGGGAUUUCUGCCAGAACCUCGGGAUAGAGCUGAAGUAUUGCUCGCCUGCUCACCCUCAAUUGAAUGGACAAGUAGAAGCAGCCAACAAGACCAUCAAGAGGCUUUUAAAAACCAGGCUUGGAGCAAAAAAGGGUGCGUGGGUUGACGAGCUGUCAGGUGUGCUAUGGGCAUACAGAACAACCCACAAAACCGCAACUGGGGAGACACCGUUCGCUUUGGCUUUCGGACAUGAAGCGGUCGUGCCGGCUGAGAUAGGAACGACCACACACCGGACAAAUCAUUUCAAUGAGCAGGAGAACGACGAGCAGAUAUGUUUGAAUCUUGAUCUGCUAACGGAAAGGUGGGAGCAAGCAGCCGAGCGAUCAGUCAUUUACCAACAGAGGGUUGCUCGGUAUUAUAACCAGAAGGUGAACAUACGGCAAUUCAGGGUCGGAGACUGGGUACUGAGAAGAGUGAAUCAGAGCACCAAAGAUUCGACUCAAGGAGUGCUGGGACCGAAUUGGGAAGGGCCAUAUAGAGUCAAGCAGAUAGCGGGACCCGGAGCUUACAGGCUGGUUCGCACGGACGGCCACGAGGUGAAACGCCCAUGGAACGCAGCACACCUCCGAAAAUACUUCCAGUAAGACUUGUUCACAUGUGAAAACUAUUUUUGCUCAUGUUCAUUACCGUUUAUCUUUCACGCUUAUUGUCCAAACAAUUUCAUGUAAGUCGAAUCCUGCCAUUAAUGGAACGUCGAGGAAUUUCUUUCGCUUGAAACCGAGAAAAUUUUCCAAGGCAUGCAAAGGCUCACCAAGUCUCAAAGCCUGUCUUAUGGCGAGACAGAAGCCAAGCAUGCCAGGAUCUGCUCGGCCACGAGAAGGCAAGCAGAAUCCCAAUCCUCGAAGAAUCCAAGGCAUGCAAAGGCUCACCAAGUCUCAAAGCCUGUCUUAUGGCGAGACAGAAGCCAAGCAUGCCAGGAUCUGCUCGGCCACGAGAAGGCAAGCAGAAUCCCAAUCCUCGAAGAAUCCAAGGCAUGCAAAGGCUCACCAAGUCUCAAAGCCUGUUUUAUGGCGAGACAGAAGCCAAGCAUGCCAGGAUCUGCUCGGCCACUAGAAGGCGAGCAGACUCCAAAGCAUUCGAAGAAAUGCCCAAGGCAUGCAAAGGCUCGACAAAGUCUCAAAGCCUGUUUUAUGGCGAGACAGAAGCCAAGCAUGCCAGGAUCUGCUCGGCCACUAGAAGGCGAGCAGACUCCAAAGCAUUCGAAGAAAUGCCCAAGGCAUGCAAAGGCUCGACAAAGUCUCAAAGCCUGUUUUAUGGCGAGACAGAAGCCAAGCAUGCCAGGAUCUGCUCGACUACUAGAAGGCGAGCAGACUCCAAAGCAUUCGAAGAAAUGCCCAAGGCAUGCAAAGGCUCGACAAAGUCUCAAAGCCUGUUUUAUGGCGAGACAGAAGCCAAGCAUGCCAGGAUCUGCUCGGCCACUAGAAGGCGAGCAGACUCCAAAGCAUUCGAAGAAAUGCCCAAGGCAUGCAAAGGCUCGACAAAGUCUCAAAGCCUGUUUUAUGGCGAGACAGAAGCCAAGCAUGCCAGGAUCUGCUCGGCCACUAGAAGGCGAGCAGACUCCAAAGCAUUCGAAGAAAUGCCCAAGGCAUGCAAAGGCUCGACAAAGUCUCAAAGCCUGUUUUAUGGCGAGACAGAAGCCAAGCAUGCCAGGAUCUGCUCGACUACUAGAAGACGAGCAGACUCCAAAGCAUUCGAAGAAAUGCCCAAGGCAUGCAAAGGCUCGACAAAGUCUCAAAGCCUGUUUUAUGGCGAGACAGAAGCCAAGCAUGCCAGGAUCUGCUCGACUACUAGAAGGCGAGCAGACUCCAAAGCAUUCGAAGAAAUGCCCAAGGCAUGCAAAGGCUCGACAAAGUCUCAAAGCCUGUUUUAUGGCGAGACAGAAGCCAAGCAUGCCAGGAUCUGCUCGACUACUAGAAGGCGAGCAGACUCCAAAGCAUUCGAAGUAAUGCCCAAGGCAUGCAAAGGCUCGACAAAGUCUCAAAGCCUGUUUUAUGGCGAGACAGAAGCCAAGCAUGCCAGGAUCUGCUCGACUACUAGAAGGCGAGCAGACUCCAAAGCAUUCGAAGUAAUGCCCAAGGCAUGCAAAGGCUCGACAAAGUCUCAAAGCCUGUUUUAUGGCGAGACAGAAGCCAAGCAUGCCAGGAUCUGCUCGACUACUAGAAGGCGAGCAGACUCCAAAGCAUUCGAAGUAAUGCCCAAGGCAUGCAAAGACUCACCAAGUCUCAAAGCCUGUUUUAUGGCGAGGCAGAAGCCAAACGUGCCAGGAUCUGCUCGACCACUAGAAGGCGAGCAGUCUCCAAAGCAUUCGAAGAAUCUCCAAAGGCAUGUGGCAAAACCAUGAGCCAAGCCGGAACCUGCUCGUCUAGACAGAGACAAGCAGAUUCUCAACCGAAAAUUAAUUCAUAAUUACAUCACAAGAAAGUAAUCAAAAACCAUUUUUAUUAAUUUGUUAAUAAUUAACAGAGGGGAUAAUCUUCAUGAACAUUGUUCAUUACAAUACAAGAAAUAUAUCAGGAAGAUGGUGGACCAGUAAGCCCGGCAGCAUCGGUUGGCUGGACCUCCUCAGGUGCAGGAGGGGUAUCACCAGUUGCGUCCGGGGGGUGCUCGCCUCGCCAACAUCAGCAGGGACUGCACGAGCAGGAGAGUCUUCCUCCUCAAUCACGAUCGGCUCUACCCCAUCGGCAUCUUCCUUGGCCGCCUCCUCAUCCAUAUGUUGAGCAACACCAGCUGCAAGGUCAUCCAUCUUCAGAUCAGGGUGUUGCUUCCCGAGGACGGCCAUGAUGCAACGAUAGGAAUGCCGAAGUCCCUGGUCGUACUGGUUGUCAGCCUCCCUCUCCAAGUUCUCGACCUGAGCUCGGUGGGAGUCGCGGAGAGAUUCGAGCUGAGCCUCAUACAUAGCCUUCUGCCUUUGCAGAUCCUCCUUGACCGUGGUAAGCUCCUCCUCGAGGGAAAUGGCUUUUGCUUGAGCAAGUGAUUCUUGCUCUAUUAACUUCAGAUUCUCGAGAUUCAGCUCCCCUGCUUUCUUCUCGGCAACGUCAGCUCUGGUCGUCGCCGAUUGAAUAUCCUCCUUCAUCUUCCGGUCGUAGCGGCCAACCUUAGCCUUGUAAUAGGUGGUCAUGCAGCUGAGGUGGAAAGCGCUAUGCUGCAUGGCCCCCACCAGCUCACCCAAGGUGCGGCCGUCAAAGUCCUCCAAGUCCUUCUUGCUCAUGAGUUUAGUUAACUCAUUGAGGUAGGGGACCAGGUGUUCUGCUCGGCUGUCAGGUAAGCGAGAUCGAGGCCCGACAGGAGGAAAAGAGGAAGCAGGAUCUGUAGCUGCUCCACUAGCUUCCCCGACUUUUACAGGAGCAGGAGGUAAAAUCUUCAAGGGUGGGACCUGCUGCAUGAUGUUGGCCCGCUUUGCAGCAGGGGCAUUCUUAUUCUGGUCCCUCUUCGUGGUGGGAGGUCGGGAACGUUUUCGGGUCAGAGCCCCAAUCACAGCGUCCUCCAUCCUAUGGCCAGGAAGUAUCAAGCGAGACUCGAGCAAGUUGUAUGUAGUUAGCAGUUCUCGGCUCGAGCAGGAAUUGGCUAGUACAGCCUCGACCCGUUUGAGCUGGUCAGGUUCAAGCGGGAAGUGGACACCCCAAGAAACUACAACACAAACAGACACUUGGUUAGAGACAAGCCAAUAAAGCAAGAACAAUUAUGGAUGCAAGACAUCUAGAGCGAGCAGGCAACCUGGGACCGUGAAACGGGGUGGGACGCGACAAUCCUUCCCGCCUAUUUGUGCAACUUGACCCCAAGGACCCCCAGCAAAAAAGAAUUUCCUCUUCCAAGCCCCACCACCACCGGUUGGAAGAUCGGUUAUGGAUUUCCGGCUCUUGGUGCUAGAUUGGAAGUAGUACCAGCCGGCAUCUUUGGGGCUGCUCUUUAGCUGGUACAAGUGCUUCACCUCGUCAACCGUGGGCUCGCUUUGGCAACAUCUGUCCCACAAUAUGAACAGACCAGAGAGCACUCUCCACCCAUUGGGAUUCAGCUGACCAGGAGCUAGAUUUAGCCCGUUAAGUAUCCGGGCAAAGUAGGGUUGCAAGGGACACCUCAGCCCGUACUUAAAGCUCUCUAGAAACAGGGUAACGUAUCCCCUAGGAGGCCGGCUGGGAGCAUCCUUCUUUCCUGGGACCUUGAGAGGUAUCUCACCAGGAAUGCUAUACCUAAGCUGGAGGUCAUUGAGCUCGUCAAACAAGGUCGUGCACGUCAUGUAAUCAAUGGCAUAAUCGCGCGACAAGGCUCUGCCUCCUACUGUACCCCGUUCCUCUAGUCGUGAUGUUCCAGAUGGAGACACCUCACCAGAGUCACCUUCCCCAUUCUCACUUAAGGUGUCCUCAGAGCCAGAAGGUCCCCCCUCACCAUUGCUUCCGCUCGUGGAGGUUGUUUGGGGGGACAUCCUCCUAGCACUAGUCCCGACACUAAACCUAAUGGGUUCUAAGGGGAUCCCGGGGUCAAAAGCCGGAUCAGUGAGCAGACUAGGCAGGAAACUUAGUUCGUCGUCAUCAAUCUCAACGACUUUCUCCUUACCUUUCGACAUUCCCUAAGCCCUAACCACAACACCACCAACUACUACCUAAACAGAAGAGAAGAGAAAUUAUCUACAACUAUCCGAGACCAAGGAGAUAGAAGAAAUACCUGAAGUAAUGGUUCAGUCGGUGAAAGUCAGAGAUGGAGGCCUUUUAUGCCGGAACUUCUUUGCCGGAGAAACAGAGACGGAGACGGAGUGAAUGAUGAAUAUGCCGUUCGAGAGGAUUUGGUUUUCCUAAUGAAGACGGACUCUUGGGUUGCCAGCAUUUAACGGCGCCGAAUCCCGAGGGUCUCAUAACCGUCGGUUUGAAAUUCAAAUGAAGGGGGGGAUUUCUGCCACGUCACCUCGUCCGCAAUUAAAUGCGACAUGACUCUUGGCAGCCUUUUCCAAUCCCACGCGGGCGAGUACUAACGAGUUUCUACUGCUGGUCCACUACAUUACCCAACACCAGAAACUGGGGGACCGGUGUUUGGGAGAAAUACGUCGAUGAGACCAGGCAUGGUGAGCAGAUAUCUGAUGGCAGAGUUCUGCGAACCGGUGUGUUCCGUAAAAGCCUGGUGCACGGGGGAACAUGAGCAGAAGUAUCCUGCUCGUCCACGAGCACGUCAUCCGCGAGGCAAAUUUCCUGUAAGAGGCAUAAGGUCAUUCCGGCUAGAGGUCGAGAGGCGAGGAGACCCGGUCGACGGCAGUUGGCAAGACAUGCUCCCCAGCCCGAGAAUCUAGGCACGACAGCCACGCUUUCCCCAGAACUGUGGCGUAACACGCAAGAUCUCACAGAACCACGACAGCCACGCUUUCCCCAGAACCGUGGCGUAACACGCAAGAUCUCACAGAACCACGACAGCCACGCUUUCCCCAGAACCGUGGCAUAACACGCAAGAUCUCACAGAACCACGACAGCCACGCUUUCCCCAGAACCGUGGCGUAACACGCAAGAUCUCACAGAACCACGACAGCCACGCUUUCCCCAGAACCGUGGCGUAACACGCAAGAUCCCACGUUUGCCCAUAACGCAGCAGUCAGAGUCCCAUACCGUCUCAGAAAAAGCGGAAAACUGGGAUUCAGGGGAAGCCUAUAAAAAGGUAGCCAACGAAGGUAAAAGGGUUGGCAUUUUUGAGAUUAUAAAAGAAAUGAAAAAAGAAGAGAAAACGACGAAAAAGCCAUAAGAUCUGUGGCAAGUGUCCCCCGAACCUUCAUAUCUGACUUGAGCGUCGGAGGGUUUGCGCCGGGAAAACAACCGGCGUACUCUGACUUGUCUGUGUGCGCAGGAACCUCUGGAGAAGAAGCCUCACGUGGAGACCUCCUGGUCGUGAAGAAGUUGAUCGGGCAGAGAUCCUGGUCGUAGAACGAGGAGAACCGGAAUCCCGCAUCAACAGAACUUGUACUUGUCCUGUGAUCCGUACAUGCGACCACGAAUGACCUACAUCGAAGGAUCUUACGUUGAAUCCUUUAAACCUGGCUUGGUUAGUGCACUCGCUCAUGGCCACGCUUUUCAUUUCCAUGGCUUCUUGCUCUUUUGUUAUAGAAAAUUUAUUUUUGGUUGCAGUUUGAUUCGACUGCUAAAAUCUCGUGCGAUAAUUGUAUAAGAUAUCUAGAGUUUGAACUUCUUUCACAUUAGGGUUCAAGGAAGUUAACUUAAAUGAUUUUCAAAAUUUUAAAUGUGUACCAAAGAAUUUAAUUUCAUAGCUUAAACUUAUAUUUUGAUCAUACUCUAACUUUGGACAGGAAAAAUUAUAUUUUUCCUUUAGUUCUUUGCCUUGGUGUAUGUUGUGUGAAGUACUUGUGCUUGAAAAUGAAUUGCUGACACAGAAAUUUCUAUGAAUGCAUGCAGCCCAUAAGUGGAUAUGGGGUGGGUAAAGUUUUGGAUUCAGAGAAUCCAGAGUUCAACAAAGGUGACUUGGUUUGGGGAAUGACUGGAUGGGAAGAGUAUAGUCUCAUUACGGCUCCACACUUGUUUAAAAUUCAACACACAGAUGUGCCUCUUUCUUACUAUACUGGAAUCCUCGGUAAACUUUUUGUUUGCACAAUUUAUGUGAGCAAAUUGUGUCUUCUUUUUCAUAUGUAAAUGUUUUUGAUAUCUUGAUGUGAAGGUAGAAAAUUGCAUGUUUUGAGUUUUUGCAUAUUUGAUGGAAACACAGAACUGUACCUGAAUCUUUCAGAACCCCCUUCUCUUUGAAGUUUGAACACUUUUCUUGAAUGUAUCAACUUUAUUUAUGGGAUAUGUUGCCAAAUUGGAAAAUCUAUUCGUUAUAAAACUUUCCUUUGACAGUUUAAUCUAAGCAGAUGUUAAUUCUGCAAAUAGAGUGUGCCUUAGAUUAGUUUCAUAGAUUUGUCUCCUUCUGUACAGUAAAAACUUUGAGCAUUUUCGCCAUAUUCUGAUCAAUACACUCCAACUAGUUAGUUCUUGAGGCGUUUUAUGGUUUCGUGGAGUGAGGCAAGAUGUAUACGUUUGCAAAUUGGCAAUGUCUUUCUCUUGAUGGGUUGAGAGUUGUGAGUGUCAACAGGAAACAAGACCUCUGUUUUAUGAACUCCAAAAAGUUAUUCUGUUAAAAAGAUCGAGACAGAGGCCAUACUAUAUUUAUUAUUGCUAUAAAAGUGUGAAAAAAUAUUCUUUAUUUAAUAUUCUAAACGAUUGAGCCAUUUAGUUAUGAUACUCUGCUGUAUUGGGGCUAAUAAUCUAAGUCGGUUCAAAGUGGUAAAUUUAUAAAUUGAUAGGUAUGCCUGGUAUGACCGCUUACGUUGGAUUUUAUGAGGUCUGCUCUCUUAAGCAAGGAGAGUGUGUCUUCAUAUCCGCAGCAUCUGGUGCAGUUGGACAGCUUGUGGGGCAGUUUGCAAAGUUAUUGGGUUGCUAUGUCGUCGGAAGUGCUGGAAGCAAAGACAAGGUAUGUAAAAUUAGAAUUUGAUCAACAGAUUUGGAGUGUUUGUUUACAGAGAAAAUCUAAGAGAAAAUGUAAGAAACUUUAGCUGAGAAUAUUCAUUUUGUUCAACUUAAUAACAGAAUGAGAUUACAAAGCUUAUAUACUGCUAUCAAGAAUCAUCUUAACACAUACAUCAUUUUCACGUGUAUUUAUCUUUGAAAGAAGCUAAAUAACCAGCUUAACAAACUCACAACUACUUUGCUGACUGGACUGCCACGUCACCAUAACUAACUUAACUAAUCCAAUCAGUUAAUCACAGUUAACACAUAUUCUUAUCAUCCCCCCUCAAGCUUAAGUUCGGGGAAGGACAUUAAGCUUGGUACGAAGAUAAGCAAACUGAUCAAAAGAGAGGGGCUUGGUGAGAAUGUCUGCAAGUUGUUCUGAACUGGAAACAUGACUGAUCGUGAGUUGCUUCUGGGCAAUAUGCUCUCGAAUAAAAUGAAGAUCCAACUCAAUGUGCUUUGUUCGAGAGUGAUACUUAGGAUUGCUAGCUAAUGCCUCAGCACUCUGAUUAUCACAUUAUAGAACAGGACUUUGAGUUGGCUGAAUUUGCAGUUCUUGAAGCAAAUAAGUGAGCCAAAGAAUUUCAGAGGUUGCCGAAGCAAGAGCUCUAUAUUCAGACUCUGCUGAGGAACGAGAAACAAUGGUUUGUUUCUUGGAGGACCAAGAAAUAAUAUUGUUUCCUAAGAAUACACAAUACCCUCCAGUAGACUUUCGAUCAUCAGGAUCAGCUGCCCAAUCAGCAUCAGAAAAUGCUGUUAAAGUCACAGAGCCUGAAUUGAAGAAUUGAAUCCCAAAGUGUGAAGUAGCUUGAAGAUAUCGAAGAACCCUUUUACAAGCUUGCCAGUGUGCAAUGGUUGGAUGAGCUAGGAACUGACUAAGCUUGUUAACAGGAUAAGCUAUAUCAGGUCUUGUUAGCAACACAUACUGAAGAGAGCCCACAAUACUUCUGUAUAAUGAGGGAUUAUCAAAAACUUCACCACUGUCCUUUGUAAGCUUAUCACCUGGACUCAUAGGAGUAUUAAAACCUUUGCUGUCAAGCAUAUUUACUUUUCUAAGGAUAUCACCAAUGUAUUUGGUCUGAGAUAAAUGCAGUCCCUGAACAGAGGGUGUUACUUCAGUACCAAGAAAGUAGUUAAACUCUCCUAGAUCUUUGAGUGCAAACUCUGAAUGAAGAUAUUGAAUAACAGCCUCAAUAUGUUGAGAAUUAGAACCAGUAACUAAAAUAUCAUCAACAUAUAUAAGAAUGAGCACAAUAUCAUGGUCAAUAUGCUGAAUAAACAUGGAUGUAUCAGAUUUUGAGGAUUGAAAACCUUUAUGGAGUAAGGACCCUUUCAACCUCUCAUACCAAGCUCUAGGAGCUUGCUUGAGACCAUAUAAGGCUUUGUUUAACUUGCAAACAUAUGAUGGAUUUGCAAAGUCUAUAAAACCUUGUGGCUGAUGCAUGAACACAUCCUCUUCAAGCAUACCAUUGAGAAACGCAUUAUUAACAUCCAGCUGUCUAAUCUGCCAAUGAUGCAACACUGCUAGACUGAGGACAACUCUGACUGUGCAAGGUUUCACAACUGGGCUGAAGGUCUCAAAGAAAUCCACCCCUUGAGUUUGAUGAUAACCCUUGGCAACCAACCUAGCUUUGUAUUUGGAAAUGCUGCCAUCAGGGUUAUACUUCACCCUAAAUACCCACUUAUUACCAACUAUUUUAGCAGCACUUUCAGAGGGCACUAGAGUCCAGGUUUGAUUUCUUUGCAGAGCAUCAAAUUCCUCUUUCAUAGCACAAAACCACUUGGAGUCAUGCAAGGCACUUUUGACACUAGUUGGCUCAAGAUUUUCAGUAGCUGCUAGAUAUGACUUGGGUUUGAAGAUACCAGCUUUAGCUCUAGUAAUCAUUGGGUGAGAUGGUAAUGAAGAUGAGUGAGUUGGUUCAGCUGAAGGAUGAGAAUAAGAAGGUUGUGCUGAACUGGAACUUGAUGGAGGAGACAUUGCUGAAUGAAAAUUAGGAGAUGAUGACUCUACAUUGCUACUGUCAACCUGAGCAGAAGUUUGAAGAAAAGAAAGUUGUACUGGUGAAGAAGGGACAUCAACAUUGGAGACUUGUGAGGUAGAGUGUUUUAGAAACAAUUCUGUGUUAGGAAACUCAGUUUCAUUAAAAACAACAUGUCGAGCAACAAACACUUUACCAGAUGAAUUUAAACACUUAUAACCUUUAUGAAGUGGACUGUAACCAAUGAAAAUACAUUUUUGAGUAUGAAAGUCAAGUUUAUGCUGGUUAUAAGGUCUGAGGAAUGGAAAACAGGAGCAACCAAAAACCUUUGGAAACUGAUAGUCAGGCAGAUGAUUAUGUAAUUUCUGAAAUGGGGAUAGAUUGUUUAGAACUGAUGUGGGCAUUCUGUUGAUAAGGAAAGAAGCAGUGUGGAAUGCUUCCCACCAAAAGGAGAGAGGUAACUGUGAUUGAGCUAGAAGUGUCAGACCUGUUUCAACAAUAUGCCUGUGUUUCCUCUCAACAACACCAUUUUGAUGGUGUGUAUAUGGACAACUAUACCUAAAACAUAUACCCUCUUGCUGAAGAAAGGUUUUAAAAGCUAUAAAUUCACCCCCCAUAUCUGACUGUAGUGUUUUGAUAGACAAGGAGAACUGUUUUUCAACAAGAAGUUUGAAGUGUUUGAAGGUUUCUAAGGCUUCUGACUUUGCUGUGAGAGGAAAAAUCCAAGAAUAUCGAGUGAAAUCAUCCACAAAAGAGAUAUAAUAUCUGUAUCCACUCAUUGAAUAUUCAGGAGCUGGUCCCCAUAAAUCUGUAUAUAGAAGCUCAAGUGGUGCUUUUGUUUUAAUGGUAGUGACAGAAAAAUGAAGCUGAUGCAUUUUGCCAUGUUGACAAGCAUCACAGAAGCUAAUGAAUUUAUUUGAAAAGCAAUGUGUGGGAAGACUUUUAAUAAUUGUUUGCAAAGCAUGUUUAUUGGGAUGACCAUAUCUAUUAUGUAACAACUGAACUGAUAUCUUUCCAGCUCUAGAAGAAUUUCCAGAAACAGAACAUGCAAAAGCUUCAGACAUAUUUACAUUAUCCAACUUUGACACAUGAUUAUUUGACUCUGGUAAAGAGUUUACAACUUUAUUAUCAAAACAAAAUGACAACAUGGAACUUGGUUUAAAAAGAUUUGGAUUGCAAUCUGCAGAGUAAGGAGAGAAGACAUCAAGUGACAGUAGCUUGUAAAGACCACCUUUAACAAUCCCCUGUGCCAGCAAAGUUCCCUCCUUCUUGUCCUUAAUAAAGCACAUGGUGGAACAAAAUUCAAUGAUUAUGUUAUUAUCCAAAAGAAGUUUAGAUAUACUGAUGAGGUUUUUGGUUAUUUUAGGAACACACAAAGUAUUGGUUAAGGAUAAACAUGUGCCAAAAGAAGUAGAAAGAUGAGUGCAGCCAAUAUGUGUGAUAGUAAGACCUUGUCCAUUUCCAACAAACAACAGUUGAGUACCAUUAUAAGGAUUACCUUCAACCAGGUUUUGCACAUUGUUGGUGAGAUGAUGAGUGGCUCCACUGUCCAGAUACCAUCCCUGAUCAGCAACUCCUUCUGAGGUAGCCAUAUAAGCUGUUCUUGGCCCUGGGUUCUGCAUUGGAGAAUUUGAAACAAAAUUUCUGUUAAAUCUGUUUCUACAAUCAACAGCUGAAUGGUUUGGUUUAAAACAUAUUUGGCAGGUAAUAUUUCCUCUGCCACCUCCUCUACCAAAGCCACCAGAGGACCCUGGAUUUCCACCAUUAAAACCACCAUUUCCACUAAAUCCACCAGUAUUUCCAUUAAAACCACCAGAGUUUGAACCUCUUCCUUGGUUUCCAAACCAGCCUCUCCCUGAGUUUUGAUCCAUAAAGCCACCUCUGCCAGAUCCAUAACCUCCUCUAUUGUUGAAAUUUCCAUUUCCAUUUCUAUUCACAAAAUUAACAUUCCAAUUACCCUGGUUAUUAGUAUUCCAAUUAGCAUUGCUUCCUGACUUCUUCUGAUUAUUACCAGUCUGAGCCACAUUAGCACUAAAAUUCACCUUAGUUUCCUUAGCUACACCAGAAUGAUUACUCUCAAGCCUAGCUUCAUGAGAUAGCAACAUAGAAUAAGCCUCAUUGAUGCUCAUUUUAAGAGCAUUUGCCUCAAUAUAAACUACAACAGGAUAGUAAGCCUGACCUAGCCCUGAGAUUAAAUGUGUAAUGAAGUCAAUAGAGCUAACUGAACUUCCAGCCAUUGCUAAUUCAUCAGUUACUGACCUUAGUUUACAAAAAUAUUCAGUAAUUGACAUGGAUCCUUUCUUAAGAUUGUUUAGCAGCAUCUUUAAAUGCACUUUCUUAGCUGCUGUUUCAAAUCCAAACUGUUCCUCUAAGCUUAUCCAAAGUUCUCGAGAGUUUUUAGAAUUUACCACAAUGCUUAAGAUCUCCACACUGAUUGAAGAUAGAAGCCAGCUCAAGAUCAUCUGAUCUUGCCUUUUCCAAGUAGUGUAGGCAGGAUUUUCUGAGAUGACUGCCGCAUCUGUGCUUGUUGAUUCACCAGUCAGCAGCUGGUUUGGACAGGUACGUGAUCCAUCAAGAAAACCUUCCAGAUCAUUUGCUCGAAUGGCUGAAAGGAUCUGAGAUUUCCAUAUAGUAUAAUUCGAUCUGUCAAGCUUGAUUGGUGUGGCGAAAGUAAAUGUUGAGAUUGCGGAAGAAACAUUUGUACUAAGACUUGAAGAAGCCAUGAUCAAGAAGUGAUUCAAGGCUCUGAUACCAAAUUAGAAUUUGAUCAACAGAUUUGGAGUGUUUGUUUACAGAGAAAAUCUAAGAGAAAAUGUAAGAAACUUUAGCUGAGAAUAUUCAUUUUGUUCAACUUAAUAACAGAUUGAGAUUACAAAGCUUAUAUACUGCUAUCAAGAAUCAUCUUAACACAUACAUCAUUUUCACGUGUAUUUAUCUUUGAGAGAAGCUAAAUAACCAGCUUAACAAACUCACAACUACUUUGCUGACUGGACUGCCACGUCACCAUAACUAACUUAACUAAUCCAAUCAGUUAAUCACAGUUAACACAUAUUCUUAUCAUGUAAUCUGUGUGAAGUACUUGAUUGUUUCCAUGUUACUUUCAAACAUUUAAAUUAAAAAGGAAAUUUUCAUAAUCUUGCCUUUUCUAUGAUUUUCAAAACCAAGGUUGAUCUACUGAAGAACAAGUUUGGGUUCGACGAGGCAUUUAACUAUAAAGAAGAAGCUGAUUUGAAUGCAGCAUUGAAAAGGUUAGCAUCAAUAAAUGCCUUAGCUUGAUGCAGCUUGAUGAAGUAUGAUACACAUUUCUGACCAAUAUACUGCGUUCCCUGAUCUCUUACUUGAAAUAUCUUGGUUUGAGAACCUCAUGCCAAUGCCUUUAACAUUUUGGCAGGUACUUUCCUGAAGGAAUUGAUAUAUAUUUUGAAAACGUUGGUGGAAAAACGCUUGAUGCAGUGCUACCCAACAUGAAAAUCCGUGGUCGAAUUGCUGCAUGCGGUAUGAUCUCACAGUACAAUCUUGACAAGCCUGAAGGUGUGCACAACUUGAUGUAUCUUGUUUUGAAACGGCUUCGAAUGGAAGGAUUCAUUGUUCUCGAUCACUAUCACCUUUAUCCAAAGUUUCUGGAAAUGAUCAUUCCUCACAUCAAAGAAGGGAAGCUUGUAUACGUCGAAGACAUGGCUGAAGGUCUGGAGAGUGCUCCGGCAGCUCUCAUCGGUCUAUUCUCUGGCCAGAAUGUUGGGAAACAGGUGGUUGCUGUUGCUCCUGAAUGAAGAACAAGUUAGUGUUGUAUGUUCUUUUACCCUUUGACACAAAACUUCAAUGUCAAAGAGAGAAUGCUGCUCAUACUGCUUUAUAAAAUAAUCAAAUGAGUGCAAGUUUCAUGAUAUUUGCUGAAUAAAAUAUUGGAAAUUAAGCAGCUAGCCUAGCUCCUUCUUGUAGUUGCAGUUUGAAUGAUGCUGCUGCACAACUGCUGCCGAAAAAAAUCCUUAAUAGAUGAUUAGCAAGGUUUCAAAAAUAAAAAUAAAUGUUUGUGCAAUGUGCCGAAUAUGACAGCCACAAAGAAAGAGCAUACAAAUUGAUUGGUUUUAUGUCUUCUCUAGGAGAAAGCUACAAUACAAGAAAUUGUAUUGAUGGAGCCUUGGACCAAAUUUCUUAUUUAAAUUUUUAAUUUUUUUUAUUAAAUUACUUAUGUUAUUAUGGUUUAUAUUUUUAGAAAUUCUUUAGAAAUUAAUACAGAACUAGUAGCAAGUUGAGAAAUCUACUGAAUGGUCAAGAUAUGAUAAUGUUUAUUGAAUUAAAUUAACAAUCAUCAUUUUCAUAAAUUAUUGUCAGGAUAUUUGAUUCAUGUCAGGUGUAAGUAACUAAGAGAGCGUUUGGGACAGACACCACAGUUGCUCCCGAUGCUUUAUUUUAGGGAAAUAUCCCCUGGAAUAAUGCAUAGGGCGCAGCCCCAAACGGACCCUAAAUGUGCUAAAAAAAAAUUAAUGAGUUGGGUGUGUUUGAUAUUCAUUUGUUGUAAUUCUUUUAAUAAUUAUUGUAGAAAAAAAUAUGAUAAAAAAUUUAUAAUUAUAAAUAAAAAUUAAUAAUAUAAUAAAUAAAAUUUUUAAACAAUAAUUUUAAUAAAAUAAUAAAUAUAUUAUCAAUUUUUCAUCGUUAAUAUUUAAGUCACAAUAAUAAAUAUUUAUUAAACACUUUAAUACUAUAACUAACACUACAACUUUUGAAUUAUAACAGUACAUUCUAAAGACCGUGGAACAAUAGUACAAAAGGUGCUCGUCGUGUAAACAACACAUGGGACCCAAGCAAUAAAUGUUUCUGAUCCUCAACUUUCCUCAUCACUGUCCCUGCAAACAAUUCUGAUUUUCUUGUCUGAUAAAAAAACUGAGAAACAAUGGCGGCCGAACAAGAAGCUGUGAGCAAUAAUGUAAAGCCACAAAUUUUCAUAAUAUUAAAUUAUGAAAAUUGGGCUUUCAUUGAGAAUUAUGGGUGGCCUAUAACCCUUAUUAAGAAAGGGAUACUAAUUAUAAAUACAAGUUAUUUAUGAGAUAGUUUUGAAAAAAUGUUAUUUUUCCUUAUUAAAUAAGGUUUCUUAAGACUCCCUAUAAAUUCAUACUUUUUCCCUUCCAUGACCCUAAGUCCAUGACGUUUAUUCUUCUUCUCUGCUGCUCUUUACGCUCCUACCCAAAUCAUAGGAUUCAAACCUUUGUUUAGGAGAGAAUCAAAGCGACGAGUAAGUUAUUCUCCCUAUUCUCAACAGAUUUCUAAUCACUCUAUCUAGGGUUUAUAUUGGCACGAUUCUAGAUGGUUAUAGAUCAUAAUGCAUGAUUUAGAAUGUAUUUAGGCUUUGUUUAGGGUUUUGAUUUAUUAUGAGUUUAGUUAAUCAAUCCUUGACGUAUUAAGCACAGGAUAAUUCUGGACAAUAUGAGUAUCUCGAAUUUAAACCUAUAUUUUCUGAACGAGUUUUAUUAUAAAAUUUAUAUUUCUGGAAACUAGACAUGUAGGGCUUCUUGAGUAAAUUUUAUUUCAUUAAAUUCGACUUCGUUUUCAAUUUUAUAUUUAUUUUCGAAAUAGAAACCACUGCACUGGAAAACUGCGAUUCCAGCAUUGCGAUCGGAUUCACAAGACUAUUUGUACCACCAAACGAACUCGGAAAAUUCUGAAAGUUUAUAUGUAGGUUAAUAUAUGUGUCUAGGAUUACCAGUUUUAAUUUCAUAAUUUUCUGAUUAGUAUUUUAUUUUAUAAAAAUCACAGAACCCGUUCUGUUUGGUUUAGAUUAUGUGAAAACAGUUUCGAAUUUGCUGAGAAAUAAAUAGUUUCGAAAAUGUUUUUGAUAUCGGAUCCUCUUGCAAAUUUUACAUAGGGUACUCAUGGAUGUCCAGAAUAGUCCCAUAGAAUAUUAUAUCAUUCUGAGUCUUAGAUUAAGAGUUAAAUUCUGAGAAUCAGACCUGUACGGGUAUGAAUUAGAAAAUCAGAUUCUUAGAAUAAGUUAUUAAUUGUCAUAUCUUGUAUUUGUUUAAGGUGUUGAAGGUGAUUGAGGUUCUUAGAAGCUUAAAGGUGUGUUAAUUCAAAUUCAUUUGUCGAGGUAAGUUACUUCAUUCCUACUAUAUUGGAUAUGUAUAAGUAUUUUGAUAUUAUCAUUAUAAGUAUAAAUGUUUUCAUACUAUUUAGAAGAUUAAUGGAUUUUCAUAACAAAAUUAGCUUAUGAAAAUGUUUUCAAAACCUAAUUUCUUUUUAACAAAGCAUUUUAUAAAUACUUUUUAAAUAUGUAAGUUAUUUUGUUACAUGCCUACUUUUAUGAUUUUAUUUAUAAAAUAUUUUGCAAGCCUAAAUUAUUGUUAUGGACUUUUAUGAAUCCGAUACGAAUGUUUUAUGCCUAUGCAUGAUUUCAAUUAUAUAUGAUUGUAUGGGGGCCACCUCUUGGGACUAUAUGGGGGCCACCUCUUGAAGGCCAAAGUGUCGCAAAGUGCCACAUAUAGUGCAAAGUGCCACGUAUAAGUCAUUAUGUUUUGGCUCAUUGUCCGUAGUCAUUUUGAUUCUGAUUCUGAUCAUAUAAUACGAUAUAUGUCUGUUUUGGACCAGUACUGGGUUUCUGUUCUGAGUGUGCACACGAUAUUUUGAUUCUGUUUCUGGCCGGGUCACUGGGACUAUAGGUGACACUAUGUGACAAGAGCUAACCUUUUGUUUUCUGUAUACGUAUUAUAUGAUUUACUUCAUAAGUAAAUAUGCUUUUGGAUAUUCGGAAUUAUUAAGAAUUUAUGUUAUGUUAUCGUGAUAUAUUGUUUUAUGAAAUUUAUGGAUUAUGAUAUAUGUUUUAAACAAAAGAAGGCUUGCAAUAUUUUUGUAUCGAUAGGCCCAGUAUGUUAGAAAUUGUUUUACUUACCGAGUUGACGGCUCACCCCUCGUCAUUACUUUUUGCAGAUUAAGUUUCUUUUGAGAGGUGCGCUUAGCUUUGGAGUUAGUAAUUUUCCGUUUCCAUUUGCCAUUUGAAUAAGAGGAGGAAUAAACUCGUGUUUCUAUUUAGUUAUUUCUAUUAUGAACGUGUAAUUUGGAGUUUGAGACUUUUGUUAUUAUUUUUAUGUCCUCGGGAGAGAUUAUUUAGUAUUAGACGUUAGAAUUUGUGGAUUUAUUUGAAUAAGAAUUGGAGGUAUUUCAGUUUGAAACUUAUGAGUAAAGAUUAUGAUUUGUGAGUAACCUCCUUCUUCACGUGCUCCGCACGUGUUAGAUUUGGGGUGUUACAAAUAAGCGGGUGAUUCUAAGCAACUAUGUGACAGGUUUUCCAAAAGAAUCAGACAUGAAGAUAACAAGUGGAUCAAUAAAGCUGAAGGUAGCAGACUGUUCAAAAGACACGGUGCUUUUGAAGAAUCUUUAUCUUUCUUGUGAUCCUUACAUGCGAGAGCGUAUGAGCAAGCUUGAUAGCCCUUCUUUUGUUGAUUCAUUCCAU